Molecule: long non-coding RNA, 95835 nt
Filed under: Medicago truncatula (barrel medic)
Lineage: Eukaryota; Viridiplantae; Streptophyta; Magnoliopsida; Fabales; Fabaceae
Description: long non-coding RNA (MTRU_LNC008165)
Source: RNAcentral
AAAUGGGUAAUAUUGAUGUGCUUACCGGAAAGAAAGGAGAAAUUAGAAAACAAUGCAAUUUUAUUAACAAGAAAUCUUCUGAAUUGGAUCUUGGCAUUGUGGCCUCUGCAGAAUCAAUGGAAGGGGAUAUGGUUAGUUCAAUCUAAAUGAAUGUGGGUUACUUUAGAUGAAAUGUGGUGAUUGGAAUUCACUAAUAAAGAGAAGUGCUGGCUAAGCACAUUUGUGUCAUGAGGUAUACUGUAUUUUACGUGUUUUAUGUGUGUAAGAUAACCUUCUUUCAAUGUAAUUUUCAUUAUAAAAUCCUUUCUUUCUGUCACAAGCUCUUUCUGUGUUUUUUUUAACAACAAAGAGAAAAUUAUUAUAACAAAGAUGAAUAAGUACAACUACAAGUAGUACUAAAUGAAAAUUUAGAAAUGAAGUACAAAAUAUACUUCACUCUUAUAUUUUGAUAAAACCACUUAUGUACUUAAAUAUGAACUACAAUUAUUGAAAGUUGAAUUUUGAUGCCUAAAACUAAUUCUUGAUUUUUUUUUGACAAGAAAAAUAAUUCUUGAUUAUUGAAACAUUCAUUAGGUAUUAAGCAUUUUCAAUACAUUAUAACUACACCGCCAAAAUAAAAUACAUUAUGAAUGUUCAUAAGAUCCGUGCGGCGCACAGGUCAGCGAUCUAAUAGUAACUUCUAAAAACCAACAAGUUGAGAAGCAAAAUCAAAAUACCCUAAUCCAUAAAAUGAAAAUUUCACGAAGGUAGUGACAAACCUGAUAUUAAAUAACCUUGAUGGAAAAAAAAAAAUUGUUAUACACAACUAAUAGAUUAUUUAGGGCUAGCUGGUUAAAAUAGUAUAGGGAGGGGGUGAAAUAUACACAACUAAUAUAAUUGUACUUGUCUUAAGAGUCUAUUUAGACCCUCUAUUUCUUGCUACCCGGUAAUUGAGUCUAGUUAAUACAAAUGUUUAAUAUUACGAUAAAUUAACAAAAGAGUAAAGAACAAUGAAUCAAUGCGGUAUUAGUACCAAUCCUAAACUAAGAAAAUAUAUAAUUUCAAUGAGCCUUAAGACUCAACAAAAAGAAAGAAAGAAAGAAAGAAAAGAACAAAUAGCUACUGUCAAAUUGAGUAUGUGCAUAUUAUUUCAACAACUUCAUUAUCGAUAGAAAGCAAAACUAUAUUUUACAAUAUUUUUGGUAGUACCGUCAAAGAAGCAAUAUCUUUUGAAGUCUAACUUUAUAGAUCAGUCUGCCACCUAUUAUGUUAUCAGUAUAAAAAAGUUGAAAUAGCCUUGUAAUUGACACCAUAUUUUGUCCUCCUUAAUUCUUAGAAGAUUUAACAAAUAUAUUUUUUUUAAUCGGCAAAAAAACAAAAAUUAGCAUAAGAUAGUAUAAUCUACGUUCUAGUUAAAUAUAUAUGCAAUGUAUAAUUGACAAUAAAAUAAUUGAAUUAUGAAUUUUCACCUACGAAAAAUGACAUUUAAUGAUGGAUUUUGUUCGUAGGUACAAAUUUUUUUUCUUCCUUUUCUUUUUCUCUAACUUUUGAGGCCCUUUUAUGUUUGUGGCCCAGUGCCAAGGGCUUUGAUGCACACAGUCAAUCCAAAAAUUGGUGUGGUGCGGUAGUGGAGUGCCUAACAGCCGCUAUAUUUUGGUGGCACAACUGCAAAUACAUUUAAUACUAAAAUACCCCAAAUAUUAAAAUACCUUAAACAUUAUCAAAUGACUAACCUUCAAUGACCAACCUUGCGGAAACCCAAUGCAAAUGAUACUUUCAACCAUGAUAACCUUCAAGUUGGACAUGUGCAUAAUAAAUCAAUAUUGAAAAUAUUAAUGCACCAAAUUUAGUAAUAAUUAUGCAUAUUUCAAAAUUUAUUUUUAUUACUUCAACCAUUUUUCUUAGUAUCUGUGCAUUUUUGUAAAGCACUCGUAUAAAAUAUAAAAAUGGACAGAGGAUUAUUUGUUUAGAGAAGGCACGCCACAUGUAAAAUUGGAAGGAAAACAUUACUUUCAAUUAGAUUUUAUGAUCUAUUCCGGGAAAAAAAGUUUAAGAUGAAAAAGACAACAACUAUUUAUAUUAAAGCAGUUUUAUGACAGUUUACUUUCAAUAUUGUUUUCUAUUUUAAUUUUACUACAACUAAUAAAUAUAAGAGAAUAUUUAAUCGAAUAUACUCUUUACCAUUUUCUUUAACAAUUUUUUCAAGUUUAUCUUCCCAAUUUUAUUACAAUUGCCACAUGAAUCUUCCAACCCAUUGUUAAUAAUUUAAAAUGUUUAUCCAAAAGUGUUCAUAUGAGAUGACGCGUAUUUCUUCUAACUUAACUAAUAUACUGGUUCUAAUUCGAUAUUAGACAUACAACAACGUUAAAACUUUUAAGGAGAGUUUGUUACCAUUUCGUCAAACUUUAAAAUAAUUACUAUUAUAUAAGGUACAAAGUUUUUCCAAUAAAAAUUUCAAAAUAAAAAUCAUACAUGAACUUGUUUGGGAGGCUGCUGAAUCAAAGAGUAAGCCAAGUUGAAUAAAUUAAUAAGUGUGGAAGUGACAAACGAGAAAAGCCAAUGCUAAAAAUAAAAAAUGAGAGGGGGCAGAAAAAUAAAAUAUCUAUCUAUAUAUAGACUAAACACAACUUCGAAAUCACACACAAAUUAUAUAUAAUUUAAUGCAACACGUACCAUUUGUAGAAUAUAACAUCUGUCCAAAUUUUAUACAAUAAUAAUAAGGUCAUGUUGACUUGUGUUUUAAGGAUAUAAGUUAAGAAGUUAAAAAAGGAAUAAAUCAAUAAAUAAACAAGUUAAAAAGAUAAAAUUUAAAGCAUUUAAAAUUUUAUUUUUAUUUUUAGUUUCUUAACUUGUGCUUUUAGAGCACAAGUUAAUAUUCCCCUAUAAUAAUAGGAGUUAGUAAUAACAACUCCACAAAGAUUCUGUCAAACAAAACAACAGGGUAGUUAACAACGUAAAUGCCGGGAAAAUUAAGACUAUAGAACUAAUCCUGGUCGAGACACGUGAGCCCAUGUUCGGUUCAGCAAGACAUUUGACUAUUUUAUUUGACAAUAGUCAUGUGUUUUUGUUAGAGGACAAUAUAGUCAUAAUAAUACAUCAUUUUAAGGAGAUAUUGAUUUAUAUACUAAAACUUAUUUUCAUAUGUGUUCAAUUAAGUCAUGUAAAUAUUUUAAAAACUGAGCUAAAAAGAUGGCAUCAUGAUUUGAUUUGUAUAAAUGUACAUGUGUAAAAUAGAAUUACUAGGUUCUGUUUGGUUUGCAAAACAGUAAGUACUAAACAUAAUUGUACAAGACAGAACAACACAACACAAGACAGAACAAUAUAAGAAAAAUUUUUAUGGCAUUGAAUAAUUUUUCGUUUUAUACGAUUGUUAGCGGACGAAAUACUAUUUUGGAAUUUUAGACAACUUGUGCGUGGGACAAAAAGUUGUGAUGUGGUUUGGUGAGGAACAAAAAUAUGAUUUUUUGUCCUGUCCCUUGCCUCCAGUUUGUCCUGUAACUGAACAGUUUACAAAUCAAACAUUGGACAAUUGGAGUUGUUUUGUCCUGUCCUUCAUUUUUUAGCAAAUCAAACACACCCUCAAUGUAUAAAAGUUUCAAGUUAUUGAAGCGUACACAUAUAAAACUAUAUAUUGUAUAAUUAUUUUAAUAAUAUUAAUAAUGAUAAUAAAAAAAAUAGUUUUUUCUUUUCUACUUUUUUUAUUUGUGUGUGUGAAUGGAUUUUCGGUUGUUAUUACAUGACAUUGUAAUCGAUAUAUAGGGUUAAUGGUGUUUUACCCCCUGUAAUAUAGGUUAUUUUUUGUUUUUCCCCUGUAAAAUAUUUUUUUUUAUUUACCCCCUGUAAAAUAUUUUUUUUUUUAAAUACCCCCUAAUAGGUCAUAAAAAAACGACUUUAUUUUUUUUCCAGAAUUUUUUCGCUUUUUUAUGACCUAUUAAGGGGGUAUUCCAAAAAAUAUAUAUUUUACAGGGGGUAAAUCAAAAAAAAUAUUUUACAGAAGGAAAAACUAAAAAUGACCUAUAUUACAGAGGGGUAAAACACCAUUAACCCUAGAUAUGUACCUUCUUAUUGUAAAUAAGGCAAGACCGUUUUAAUGCGUAAAACUGAAUUUAAAAUUUAAAUCACCCACUCUGAAUUAUUUUAAAGACCUUUAAUCAAUGAUAUGAGAUAAACUCCGAAACUAUAUGUGAAAAUGCUAAAACAGGGAAAUAGAGGAUAACCAUGUGUAGACUAAAUAACUUAAAUUUAGAGUGUGACUACACAAACAUUGACCUCGGUGUAAAUACAAUCUAAGCAAUAGUUAUUGGAUUUUACGGGGUCCACACAAUACAACAUCAUUGACCAAAACACCAAUACUCCUUUGUUUUAGUUUUGUACACUUCAUCAUCAAGAAAUAAAGUGUGAUGGCGGUUGAGAUACGACCGUCAGAGUGGUGAUCGAUGGUGAUCAGAGUGGUGAUCGCAAUGAUGAAUAGAAUAGUAAUCUGAUGAUAGUUGGAAUGGUGACAGUGGUAGUCAAAGUGAUAGUCAAUGGUGAUCAGACUUGUAAUUUGAAGUUGAUUAAACGGUAGUUGGUGGCGGUUAGAGUGGUAAUCAUAAUGGUUAAUCAUGUGGUAGUGAAAUUGGAGAUUGAGAGUGGUUGAAGUGGUGGUCGGAAGUGCUCGAAGUGAUGGUUGGUGGUGAUCAAACUGGUGUUUGGCAGUGAUUAGAGUAGUUGUCGGAAACCAUUAGCGGUCACCCAUGUUAGACUCCAAAUAAAAAUGAAAAUUAUAACAUUUAUUUUUAUUUUUAUUAUUUUGAUAUUUAAGUGAAAUUAGGACUGGCCCUGGCCAAUUGCAACCAACCCUGCAACCAACCCGGCACAUGGCCUCACACUUAGAGGAGUCUCAAAAUGUUUAGAAAAAAAAAAUGUACCUACGGAUAAAAUCCGUCACUAAAUGUCAUUUUUUUCGUAGCUAAAAGUUUGGAAGACAACAAUUUUGCUGUGAAUUAUGAAUUGUACAUAAGUAAAGGUCUAUUUAUCCGUAGGUAAAAGUUUGGAAGACAACAAUUUUCCUGUCAAUUUUAAAUUGCCAUAAGUAAAUGUCUAUUUAUCUGUAGGUAAAAGUCAUGUUUGAACUAUUCCUUAUAUAUUUAAUAAUAAUUUGAUUGUUUAUCACCAUCAAUAGUGUUGGAUUUUUUUUCAAUUCUUAUAAAAUAAAAAUUGUCAAGUUUAUGACCGGACCUUCGAAUUGUCGGAACAGUCCUAAGUGAAAAUAUUUUCAAAUAAAGUAAGAAAUUAUUUUAACAUCAUUUUACACGAACGUGUUUGUUUUUCAAUUUAACUUUUAAAAUAAAAACUUACGACCAUCAUGAAUGGUCCCUAAUGUUUUACAAUGGAGAGAUACAAAAACGUUUUGUUAUCACCGAAGAGUUAAACUCUGUUUGUAAAAAAAACAAAAAACUCUUUUUGUCAAAGCCAAUUUUCGAAUUUAACAAAUACUUUAUAAAUUUAUAUGACCAAAAUAGACUUGUCUGUUAAUUAGUUUUUUUUAACGAGCCAAAGUCAUUUUUUACUAGGUUACAAAGUUGUUUGAUACACUUCUUCAAGUAGCAUUUGAACUUAUAAUUAAAAAGGUAAUUGUUUCAUAAAACCAUAUUUUUAUAUCAUUUGAUAUUUAUUUAGUUUAACCGUUAACUUUACCGUAUGAUAUAUGAUAUGUAUAAAUUCAAUCUACUACAUUAUUAGCCAUAUGCUAAUUCGCUAUCUGACUACCAAGCAUUUUUUUUUUUUAUCACUUUAUAGAUAAUUUGAAUGGAUAUUUAAAGUUACUUUGUUCAAUUAAUUUCUUUCGACUGCAACACUAUACAUAUACAACAGUAUAUGCUUUGAAAUCCUAAUCACUAAAGUCAUAAAAGAAAAAGUAGAUAAAUUUAGAGGGUUUGAAUUCAGAGUACUAUAAUAAUUAAGUGACGACAAUUUUCACUGGCCAGUAACACACAUCACCUUAAAUUGGUAUAUAUAAUAAUGCGAUUUAUAUAUUAUAUUUUUGAAGACUUGACAAAGUUUUCAGAUCAGAAAAAUAAUUACUAAAUUUACAAGUGUAUCUUAAAUAUUGAUGUAUAUUCUUAUGAAAUGUCACUCAUGGCAACCACAAGCCACCACCUAUAGUCAUGUUAUGGCCUAUAAAUAAAGGCACAUUUUCUUCCUAGCAAAGCACAUCAACUUCAAACACAUAGCUCUAAAAAUGAAUUCCCUUAGUCUCAUAGCAACAGCUCUAUGCUGUGUAGUUGUUGUGUUUGGAGGACUACCCUUCUCUUCAAAUGCACAGCUUAGUCCAGACUUUUACGCCAAAACAUGUCCCCAAUUGCAAUCUAUUGUGUUUCAAAUCUUAGAGAAGGUUUCUAAGACUGAUUCUCGAAUGCCUGCGAGUAUCAUUAGGCUUCACUUUCAUGAUUGUUUCGUUCAAGUAUGUAUACCUAUUAUUAUUCAGUCUUAGAAACCAAGUUAUUGUUUUUCACUUUGUGUUUAUGAUAAUGAAAAAUAAUCAGUAGUUCAUAGAGUUAACAUUUUCUCCUUAAUUUAAGCAAAAUGACUUAAUAUGACGAUUUAUGAUUGAAUCAGGGUUGUGAUGCAUCAGUUUUGUUGAAUAAAACUUCUACUAUUGCGAGUGAACAAGAUGCUGGUCCAAAUAUAAACUCCUUAAGAAGAUUGGAUGUUAUCAAUCAGAUUAAAACUGAGGUGGAAAAAGUUUGUCCUAAUAAAGUUUCUUGUGCUGAUAUUCUCACACUUGCAGCUGGAGUAUCUUCAGUUCUGGUAAAUAUGUUAAAACCCAAUUAUGUUUUAGUAAUUUUACAUAAUAUCAUAAUAACAUAAUAAUGGUUGAAUCAACUUCUUUUAUUUAUUUAUUUAUUGUAUUCACAGAGUGGGGGUCCAGGUUGGAUCGUUCCAUUGGGAAGAAGGGAUAGUCUAACAGCAAAUCAAUCCCUUGCCAAUAGAAAUCUUCCAGGUCCCAGCUCCAGUCUAGAUCAACUUAAAUCUUCCUUUGCUGCUCAAGGACUCAACACGGUUGAUCUAGUAGCACUCUCAGGUAUGCAAAUACAUGCACCAUUUCCUAAAUAAUAAUAAUAAUAUAAUUUUCUAUCAAACCAUGAUAUUUAGAUAAGAUGAUAUGAGCCUCCUUAAUUUUAAAUUUGAAUUUAAUCAUGUACCAUAGUGAUAUUAAAAUUUAUCGCGACUUUAGAUUUCACAUGACUCGGAUAAAAAAAAAAAAAAAAAAGGACAAACUGCAUCCAUUAACACUCAAAUAAGUAUUUUUAAAAGUAAUUAAAUCUUGAUGAGGAAUUGUUUGAACUAGGAUUCAAACUCGAAUUCUUCCAAAAAAAAUGUGUAUCUUACUAGAUCUUAUUAAUCCCUAGAGCUAUAUAGCACAUGAUGUAGGAGUAUAUGAUUUACUUGAAUGGUUCAAUUUCAGGUGCCCAUACAUUAGGAAGAGCACGUUGUCUUUUCAUACUUGAUCGAUUAUACGACUUCGACAAUACUGGCAAACCUGAUCCAACUCUUGACCCAACAUACUUAAAACAGUUGCAAAAACAAUGUCCUCAAAAUGGACCUGGAAAUAACGUUGUCAAUUUUGAUCCAACAACUCCCGAUAAAUUCGACAAGAACUACUACAACAAUCUUCAAGGUAAAAAGGGUUUGCUUCAAAGUGACCAAGAAUUGUUCUCAACACCGGGUGCAGAUACCAUUAGCAUUGUCAACAACUUUGGAAACAACCAAAAUGUUUUCUUCCAGAACUUUAUAAAUUCAAUGAUUAAAAUGGGUAAUAUUGGCGUGCUUACUGGAAAGAAAGGAGAAAUUAGAAAGCAGUGCAAUUUUGUUAACAAGAAAUCUUCUGAAUUGGAUCUUGCUAGUGUGACCUCAGAAUCAAUGGAGGGGGAUAUGGUUAGUUCAAUCUAAAUGAAUGUGGGUUACUUUAGUUGAAAUGCAUGUGGUGAUUGGAAUUCACUAAUAAAGAAAAGUGCUAGCUAGGCACAUCUGUGCCUUGAUGUGUAUGUUAUGUGCUUUAUGUGUGCAAGAUAAUCUUUUUUUUUUCUAAGUAAUUUUCAUUAUAUUAUAGUAUAUCCUCUCUUUCCGUCACAAGUUAUGUCUUUGUUUUUUUCAACAUUUCCCAUUAUUAGAUGAUCAUCCUCUUGCAUCCAUAGGGUUGAAUUAGGUUCACUUGCAUAAUCAAUUAACACUCGGCCUACAUAACAAUCCAUUACAAACUCAACAUGACAGUACACUUAAUAUAAAUAUCAAGAAUGCAUUGUGGAGAGCAAAAGUGAAUGGAACACAAUCUAUAGCACACAUGAUUCAACAAAAUAACUUAACUUUCCAACAUUACCUAAUAUAUAUAUAAAUUAUUUUGGAACAGACACAUCAUAUAAAUAUGUGUAAAACAACAACACAAGGAAGUUACUCAAAGUUUACUUUUAAACAAGAUUUAAGUAUGCAUUUGUUGAAUUCAUUAUAUUUUACCUUUUAUGUAAAUAUUUACCCAAUUGCAUUAAUAGAAAUCAGUUCCCAAAUUGUUCAGUUAAUUAAGUUCAAAAGCAAUUAUGAAAUCAAAAUGGGAUUGAAUCAACAAAAAACUAAAACUUAACAAUUAAACUAGAAUCAACAAAAACUAAAACUCACAAAAUAUACGAAAAAUGAGUAGAAUAUAACCUAGAUGGGAUUGCAACUAAUCAGCCUUUUCCAAUGGUUCCACUCUAGCUUCAUCGGAAACAUAUACCCAACCCAUUGCGGCUGUCUACGUCAUUACCUGAAAUAGUGUGAGUUGAGUGACUGGUUGGGCUUUUGUGCUUGCUUCCCACACUUGACUUCCUAGUUCAUCAGAUGUUAUCUUUUCCUUGAUCAUGUCAACAAAAGAUUUACAACCUUAGUGAUGAUGUAAAUAACUUCCAAAAACAAGUUUUCUCCAGAAACAUCAAUCAAAGAAAAAGAAUGACUCUGAUCAUCAAGGAAAAGAUCAACAUCUGACGAACUAGGAGAGUCAAGUGUGGGGGAAGCAUGCACGGAAGCACCACCAGUCAAUCAAGUCGCACUAUUUUAGCUAAUGACAAUCAUGAUGGUUUCCAAACUGAAAAAGAAUGAUGAGAAGCAAUGACAUUGGCGAGGAAGAAGAUCGGGCUGAAUGAAAUAGCCUUGUAAUUUUCUCUCUUUUAUAAUACUUGAUUUUGUUUUGUUUGUUUGUAACAAUACAUGCCUUUUAAUAAAGUUUGUCUUCCUAUAUAGAAGACCGGAGUUUUUGCCCAACUAUGGAUGAUAUAUGGUAACAUUUCAGAUUUCAUUUAUAAUGAAUGGCAACACAUACCUCCUUGCAUUGAGUAGGGGUAACAUUUUCUGCUAAAUAUUUAUGCUCAUUAAAGACAAGUUUUCCAUGAUGGACUUUUUCAUCACUACUUGCAUCUCUAUAUGGGCUAAAUGUACUGCUUUCGAUGCUCAAAAAAAUAAAAUAAAAAUUACCGUCUUCAUCCCUAAUUAUAAAACCCUUUUGAAAAAAAAAAUUAUUUUUUUAUAAGACCAUUUUAGUAUUUCCAAAAUACAUUAGUUAAUUCUUUACCAACAUACACUUAUUUAUUUUACAUCUUUUUAUUCAAUCAACAUUAAAUGUUAUGUUGAAAACAUACACCAACUCUCCCUCUUAAAUGAUAAAAUUGUAAAAACAGUAGUAAUUACAAACAAAUUUAGGGCCCUAUAAUUAUGGACAGAGGUAGUUUUAAAUUUGACUUUUGAAUGUGUGUAAAUAUUAUCAAAUUGUCCUUUGUUUAAAUGUAUUAAAUUUGACUUUUUAUAUUUCAAGACAAAGUUAGUAGUAUUAAUUAAAGAUAUAUUAAAGAAAAAUAAUAAAUAAAUCUAAUAAUUUGAAAACGGAUUUAUAUUUAGAGAUAAUUUUUUAGUCAAAUAAGUGCUUCGAUAUAGAAAGGAAGGAAGUAUUACAUAUGUUUCUUUCCAUGGUACCUGGAGACAAACCAUGUAAUGCUCAUCAACUGCCUUCACAAUUUGGUUGCUAGCAAUUACAGUACAUAUUGGUUCCCCAUAAGAGUGUCACAAAACCCAAUUAUUUACCGUUAACUCCCCUAUAUUAUGAGUAAUGAUAUUAUUACUAGUAUUUUGUGAUAACUUUCUUCAUUUCUCUUCUUAUUAUUGGACAAAAGAAAAAGAGACAAAGAUAGAGAGUAUUAAUUAUAGGCCAAUUCUAUGUGCAUAAAUGAGACAUACACAAGUUUUUUUUUUUUAUUCUGUUUGUUGAUAAAUCAAGAGUAUGUACAUGCAUCAAAUUAGUUAUAAGACAUCCUAACUACACUGACACCCCAAACAACGAAAAAUAAUUAGCAAACAUACUCAUAAUAUCACACACACAAGUUUGUCAUUUUCUCACUUAAUGAGGAUGAGCAUAAUGACAAUAAAUAAGAUGAAAAUAAUGACAAUAAUUAAGAGCAUUCUUGUUGGUUUUUUGAAACCAAUUAUACAUUACCAACAACAUGAUGGGAACAAGAAAGAAAUACAUUAUGUUUUCACUCACUUUACACUAACUGUUGGUGAUCCAUGUACAAGGAAUGUAUCUUAAAGUUGGUAAAUUUAUGUAACAUUGCGUAUCCAAUUUUUUUUCUUCUUGUGAACACAACAUUAUGCAUCCUAAUUAGUAACAAGAAUAUAAUUAAUUUAUAUACUAUUAACCAUUCAAUAAAAAUGCUUGCUAAAGAAUGGCGACUUACGUGCAUCAAAGAGAACGAGGAAGAGGAUACACACGCCAACUAGUGAUUUCUUCUCCAUGGCUUAGUGAAUUCAAAAAGGCUUCAAAGAGAAAAUUAUUGAGAGAAUUUCUAAUAUGGUUAACGAUUGAAAAUCACACAUCUCCUAUCUCCUAUACAUAUACAUUUCACAAUUAAUAGAAUGCCUAAUUAGACAUGUUAUGUCUCCUUCUCCUUUCAAAAAAAAAAUGUUAUGUCUCCUUUUCAACAAACUUUACAUGAGACAUUAAUUGACAAUUAUUUUAUCAUGUACAAUACUUUUUUUUUUUGAAGAAUCAUGUACAAUACUUAAUACCAUUAUUUUAACCAUUGACAAUUGUACAUUAACGCAUUCAUUUAUUUUAAUUUAUUCCAUUAAAAAGUUCUCGGUAAAAUUAUAUUUUUAAUCUCUUAACUUAAUUUCAGGUAACAGUUUGGUCCUUUAUAUAUUUUUCAUUUCAAUUUGGUCAUUUUUGUCCAUUUUCGUAUGAAUUUUUAAGCUCAAAAUUCAUGAUUUUAUUUUCUUAUGGUCUUUCAGUCUUCAAAUCUAUGAUCCUCGUCUAUGUUUGCAUAAAAAUAUAAGAUUUGAAGUUUGAAAAUGUAUAUAAAAAUGGACAAAAAGAACCAAAUUGAAAUGAAAAAAAAGAUAAAGGACCAAACUGUUACCAAAAUUUAAAUUAAGGGACUAAAUUAAAAUGUAAUUUUGCCAAAGUUCCAUUUGACCGUAACCAUUUUGAAGAUUUAUUUCAUUAUUAAAAGGUAGAAAAAAAAAAAAAAACAUUUCCAUUUCAUCCUUCCUUGAUUUAUGGCAAAGCCAACAUGCAUGAAAAAGUAGAUCACAAAUUACACCGGUAAUUAUAAUAAAAAAAAUAUGCAAUAUAAUUUAUUUUUGAAAUAAAAAAAAUUAUAAUUUAGAAAGAAAAAAAAAAUAAUGAAAGAAGUUUUUUCUUUUUUAAGAAAAUAUAAUGAAUGUAGUUAUCACGCUAUUAACAGACAAAUGUUUGCUACCGAUAAAUAUUAAAAGAAAAUUGAGACAACUAUUUGUCACUAAUACAUAAAUAAAAAACACAACAAACAUUUAUUAGGGAAGGCUAUACAAAAUUCACAUGACAUUAGUUGUAAUUUAAAUUGGACCACUGACGCGCAGUACGGAAGCGUAGAUUAGCAAGCGUUAAAUAAGGUGUUGCUAACCGGUGCCCCCGAGGCACCGGUUGAAGGAGCAAUAAAUUGAUCAGUUCUAUUUAUUUUAUCUCAAUUAAUAUGAGAAAUAAUAAACCAAUUAAUUAAAAUUGUAUUUAAUACUCUCUUAUGGAUUUGUAUGGGUAUCUUGUAAUCUUUUGUUUUUCAACUUUUUGGAUUUGUUCUCGUUUUGGCUUUGGUUGUAGGUGCCUGUUGUUUGUAACAGACGUUGGGUGAUUCAUCAUUUUAGCACACCUUGUGCGGGGUGAAUUACCUUUUUACAUUAACCUAGAUUGAACGUAAGUAAACUGAAUUUACAAACUUAUUUUACAUCAACCUAGAUUAAACGUAAGUAAACUGAAUUUACAUUAACCUAGAUUGAACGUAAGUAAACUUAAUUUACAUUAACCUAGAUUGAACGUAAGUAAAUUUAAUUUACAUUAACCUAGAUUGAACGUAAGUAAACUUAAUUUACAUUAACCUAGAUUGAACGUAAGUAAACGUAAGUAAACUGAAUUUACACUAACAUCUUAUAUACAUACGUAAACUAAAUUUACAUUAACCUAAAUUGAACAUAAGUAAACUUAAUUUACAUUAACCUAGAUUGAACGUAAGUAAACUGAAUUUACACUAAUCUAAAUUGAACAUACGUAAACUUGAAUUUACAUUAACCUACAUACGUAAACUACACUAACCCCUUUUAUAUACAUACACGUAAACUUAAUUUACACUAACCUCUCACUUAAAAUCAAAUUGGCUGACAGACAUAUCUCAUACCAAAACAAACAAUAAACAAAUAGAAACUCAUCGAAAAUGAAAUUCAUGAAAUUCACUAACCUUUAUGAAUAUAGUACAGAUCAAUAACAAAGAUGUUGAUUCAGAUAUUGGUUGCACAUCUAUGGUGAUUUGUGGAUGAAAGGGGGUAAGGGUUCAAAAUGAUCAUAAAAGAUGGGUUUUUAAAAAUUUACAUGAAGAGGGCAAUUUUGGUAUUAUUGUAAAAUUUUAAAUAAAUUUGGGUGUAACUUGUUUUUUUUUGGGUGUGACUAGCACCGGUCCUCUCUUAAAGGCACAACAACUAUUAUAUAAUUUUGAGAGUUGAUCAAUUAAUAUCCUGUGAAAUAGAAAUAUAAUAUUAUUUGAAUUCUUCUUGUAAAUUUUCCUCAUAACAAUAUUGUUUUUUCCCGUGAAUUUUUUUUUGCACCAUUUUUUUUCGUUCCGUGAAUUUUACUCAGCAUAUUGUCUUCUUUCAUUUUUUUUUUUUAAUUAAAAGUUGUUGAAAUAAUUAAACAAAGACAAGAUAUUUUAAAGUCCAAAAUAAAUUGGCAAUUUGAAAGAUAAAACAUAUUCAGAUAAGAUAUCAAAUACAAAAUCAUUAAAUGUGUAAUUAAAUUCUCUUCAAAACAAAAAAUUGCAUCUUUUAGAGAAUAUUGAUCACAGCUUUUAUUAAUUUUAAUUAGUUACAUAUUAUUCCUCACUUUAAUUAAGAUAGAUAAGUAGAAUCUAUAAAUUUAUUGCUUCUUAACCAGUGUCCCCGGACACUAGAUAGCAUUACCCUAAUUGUGUUUUAACCCAUUGACAAUUUUACAUGAACUCAUUUAUUUAUUUUAAUUCAUUCCAUUAAAAUAUUCAUUAAACCGUAACCAUUCAUUUUGAAGAUAUAUUCCAUUAUUAAAUAGGUAAAAAUACAUUCCCACUUCAUCCUCCCUUGAUUUGUGGCAAAUCCAACCUGCAUGAAAAAAUAUAUCAGAAAUUAUACUAUUAAUUAUAAUAAAAAAAAUUAUUAAACACUCGGCUUGCCACUCCUUUUGUGAGAACAUCAGCUAAUUGCAAUUCUGAUCAUAUACAAAGGGAAAUGAAAUUAUUCCUGCUUCAAGCUUCAAGCUAAGUUACAUAUGCAUCAGCAGUACAAGCACACAUUCGCAACAAAUUUUCAAAAUUCCAAGGGAAACCUGAUCUAACCAUUAUAUACUCAAGGAAAUUCCAACUGAGAGAGUCGUAGACCUUUUCGAAAUCCACCUUAAAGAUGAGGUACUCCUUCUUAGUUUUUCUAGCAACAUCAAUAACCUCAUUCACCGCUACCACCCCAUCAACCAAUUGACGCCCCUUAAUAAAAGCAUAUUGGUUAGCAGAGAUAAGUUUAUCCAUGACAUCUGCUUUUUUGAUAGCUAAUAACUUACUAUGUUCUCUAAAUAUUGAACUUCAACAUAUAUUUUUCCUUUGGUUGCAGGGCCAUAUGAAAUUUCAUUCUAAUGUCGGAGUAAAAUUAGCAAAUGCCUAUAAGAUGCAUAAGAAAAUUUGAAAAUAGGCCUGAUUUUGUGUAUCCAAAUUCCAACUCUCCUCCAAAUUUUUAAUCACCUUUUUUUUCGAGGAAUAGGCAUAGCAUACACUUAUGUUACAUUGCUGAAUUAAGAUGUGAAAUGUAAAAAUAUUAUGUUGUUAUUGUUUAAUAAUUGAUCAAUCAAAUUAUAGAUUACAAUAAGUAACAUAUGUAGUAUUAUACGUAUAUGACACUUCCAUACACACACAUAUAAUAUUCCUCAAACAUAGGGGUUAUUAUUGGUAUUUGAUUUAAAUCUAAAGUUUAAUAUUCCUCAAACAUAAGGGUUGUACGUAUUUGGGUAUUUGCUAUUUUUAACACGUUGACCAUAACUGCGUUGUUACCUAUGACAUGUAGAUAACUUAUAUUUGUAUUCAUGCAAAUUUUGUAUCGUAAUAGUAUCAAACAAUAUAUAUAUUUAUUAGAUUACAAAUUCUUUAUUCAUAUAUUUCGUCCUUGCAUGCGUCUAUUGGAUCCAUUUAACAAUGUUGUCUAAGGCACCAACAACGGAAGUCAUCCCAGCACCUUCCACUAAAUGCGUGCUGUUUGUUCUUGCAAUAUUUGUUACAACGACUACGCAGGAAGAACGGAAUGCAUGGUCCCUUGAAUGUAGCAGAUAAUUUCUCAUUACAAUAUGUUGCUUCGAUCACCACAAUCUCCUCUGCAUCAAAGUACCAAAUUGAAUAUUAAUUGGAUAACAUAUUUAACUUUGAGAAAUGAUAUUUGUACAACCAUUUUUGCAUAACUUUUGUACAAACUUUCUCUCUCAUACUCACAUUAUCUUCUUAUUCUCUCUCUUCCUUUUUCCCUCUCCAUUGUUUUUGAUCAAUAAGAAGAAAGAAAAAUAAAUUGUCAUAAAGGUUGAACCAAAUGAUUGUUCAAAUAUCAUUGCUAUUUAACUUUUUGAUAAAUAUACAAGAUGGACUAUACUUUUUUAAGUCAAAUCAAAUGAGUAUAACUCAUAGUAUGAACAAUAUAUAAAGUGGUAAACAAUGAAUUGAGCUACAAUAAUAACAUGCCCUUGUUAUUUACAAUUGGAUGUGUGAAAAAAAUUAUAUAUGAGUAAGCGUUUAGAUUUAUAUACAAUACAAUAAAUCAAAAUUUCUAUUAUUGUUAUAAAAAAAUAAAUUAGUAAAUGUUUAUUAGAGAUAGAAAAUUUUAUUUAUCUCUUAUUUUAAUAUCUUUACUUUUCACUUUAAUUAUUUUUCUCUAAUCAUUUUAGCGAUCACCAUCAAAACAUCGUCAAAAGAUAUAUAUCAUAUACUACUUUAAUUGUUUUUCUCUAAUCUUUCUAGUAUCUAAUUAAGAACCACGCAUGUCUUUUUUUUUAUUAAGGAUCGUCGCAUGUAUUUUAAACACAAAUAUUUUGUGAACAACCGAAUUCUUAUACACGCAUUUGACACUCCAUUACAUUAAUUUAAUAAUUAAAAAUAAUUUUAUUUAUAUUUGAAAAACUAUUUUUCUAAAUAUUUUUAUUUAUUUACUAUUAUUAUUAGUAAGGGUGGGAAGUGAUCGGCCAACGAAGUUCUACCACCGCCUGAUGUGGGGUUACCAUAGUUCAACUGCAACCCACCGUAUGGUGACCAAACUCUACCUUUGGUCGAUCAGUAUCAUCCACCACAUAUGGUGGGGGUGCCAAAUGGAUGAAUGACAAAAAGAGUGAUCCUUGUAAAAGGAAUAUAUCUCAAAAAGUUGGUGAAUUUACGUAACAUUGUGUGUCUAAUUUUUUUUAUGAACACGACAUUAUGCAUCAUGAUUAGUAACAAUCCUAAACAAGGAUAUAAUUAAUUAAAAUACUACAAACCAUGCAAUAAAAAUGUAUGCUAAUGAAUGAUGUCUUACGUGCAACAAAGAGAACGAGGAAGAGGAAGCACAAGACAACUAGUGAUUUCUUUUCCAUGGCUUAGCGAUGAGUUAUAAUUUGUUAAAAGGUUUCAAAGAGAAAAUUAGCUCUAUCCCUAUAAUAAACAUUUACCUUCCUUCAAAUUGAAAGUACACGUGGCAUCUUCAUAUUUUUCAUCUCAUUUAAUAUUUUAUUAUCAACCAAUCAAAAUGGAUUAUGACACAUUUAUUUUAUAUCAACCAAUAAAAAAAAAGAUCAUGACUCAUUUGUGUAUAUCAACCAAUAAAAUUAGCUCCAUGCGCUUACUACAGGAUCAUACACACUUUGUCUGCUCUUAAACAAUUCUUGAAAAGUUUUUUUUUUUUUUUUGAAGAAGCUAAAUUAGCACAUCUAAAUUGACACCAGAGGGAAUCAAACAUGCCACUCAAGUUGGUGCAUGUAUAUCAUAAAUUCUCAAUUUGAAUAAAGACUCAUUAAACACUCGGCUUGCCACUCCUUUUGUGAGAACAUCGGCUAAUUGCAAUUCUGAUCAUACAAAGGGAAAUGAAAUUAUUCAUGCUUCAAGCUUCAAGCUAAGUUACAUAUGCAUCAGCAGUACAAGCACGCAUACGCAACAAAUUUAGAAUUGAAUUUGAAAUAUUUCAAUUCCACAAGAUGAUGACAAUUUACUAAAAAAAACAUGAUGAUGACCAUGCAAUGUGCAUAGUGUUACCUUUAAUGGGAGUGUAGAUUUAAUAAGAUGAUGACAAUGCAAUAUCGUUGUUAAAAUUCUGAUCAGAAUCCUACGAUUUUGUGAUUUUUCGAAUCCUGGGUAGAAUCCUAAAUUUUGCAAAAUCUAUUUGUAAUCGUUUAUGUUUAAGCGAUUUUACGAUUUUGAAUUUGUGGGUUUGUAGGCUUGUAACAUAACCAGACUUUCGAAGAUGUUCUACAUUAUAAAUGUCACAGAUAGAAUCAAGCUUUGAAGUAAAGUCCCCAUGUUUUCCACUCUAAUUUGGAAAACACUUUCAACUGAAUGUGAAUCAAGGACUUCAAUAUAGUUGCCUCACGAUCGUGACUAACUAAAUGAGUAUGCAUGCAAUUUUUGGAGCUAUCGUACAUUGUAUUUUUCAUUUGGAAUAAAUGCACCAGCCGUUGGUUUUAGUAGAACAAGUUUUGCAUACACGGCGAAAAAUUCUCAAAAGCAAUUGCCACUAGAAAUUGGUGUGUCAUUGAUUUUUCAGAUUUAGACUGAGUGACUCACUUAAUGAGGAUGAACACAAUGACGAUAAUUAAGAACCUGCUUAUUGGUUGUUGCAAACCAACUGUACAUUAUCAACAAGUUUUUUUGUAUGCAUGUUUGUUACCUUGUAAUUUUCUAUUACAACCCAACAACCUAGUGGAAAUGAGAAAGGAAUACAUGAAGCCUUCACACACUUGACACUAAUAGUUGGUGAUGUAACAAGGUUGAAAUAUUUAUUGUCUCACACUUAUUUCACUAAUCUUUUGAACUUGCCACGGUUAUAUCUACAUAAUCAUAUGAGGAGCGUAUGGUUAGCUUAAUUUAAUAAAUAAAUGAGGACUUGCAAUGCAAUUAAAAUGUUGUGGUUGCAAGUCACUAAUAAAGAACAAAUAAGCACAUUCGUGUCAUGUGUUAUGUGCUUUGUUGUGUGUGUAAGAGAAUCUUCUUUGAUGUAGUACUGUCCUCUCAAUCUCUCUACCAUUUGCUCAAUUUGUUUUUUUAAAACGGCAAGUUAAAGGGAAAUCCAAGGCUUUAAUAAACUGAUCAGAAGCACAACUUUAGUAACAUCUUUUAUAAUGACUUGGUAAUUUUGUUUAAAAUUUACGUUCAUGUGAACCAAUGUUUUAAGGAUAUUCUGUAAGAAUUUUAAAUUAUUUAUUAUAAAAAAUCAUUAAUAACAUUAACAUUUGUAUUUAUAUAUUCCAUCCGUUUCAAAUUAUAUGUCAUUCUAACAAAAUUUGUUUGUUCUAAAUUAUAUGUCACUUUACAAUAUCAAGGAAUCAUUAAUGUUUAUUUUUUUAUUAUACCCGUUACUAUUUAUAUUACUUUAUCUUUUCUAAUUCUUUUAAUUUAUGUUUUCUAUCAUAAUGAAGAAUAUUUUUGUAAAACAACUCACAAUUACUCUCUUCUAUACAGCAUCAACUAUAUUUUUUAAUCUAUAUAAAAUUAUUAUUUUUUACUAAAUUUAUAUGAAAUUGUUAAAGUGACGUAUAAUUUAGAACGAAAGAGUAUUAGUUUAUAAAUAUGAUCAAAAUAAGUGAUAUGAAUAAUAUAUCCUUAUUUAUUAAUGGCUUAAAUGCUCUUUUGGUCUCUUAAGUAUUUAUUUGGUAUCACUUUGGUCCCUUAACUAAUAAAAAGAUUGUUUCAGUACUUUAAUUUAAUUUUUGUUACACUUUUUGGUCCCUUUCGUUAGAGUUGUGAAAAAACUGUUGAGGGGUUAACCCCAAAUGUCUCUGGUGGACUCACAUUAUAGGUGGUCCACCAAAGACCUUAGUAAUACUUUUAACCUUAAUCGUUUGAUAUUUUUUAUAGAAUUUUUUUAUAGAAAAACAACCAUUAAAUCAUACAUGUCUACGAGAUCUAACUAUAUACCACCAACACUUAAUUUAUUUUUUAGCUUUCUUCAUCUCCUUCCCUCAUUCUCUUCUUCAUAUUCAUCAUCACAUACAUACAUUCAUAACAAAACUAAAAAAAAAACCAGAAAAAUCCAUAAAAUAAAUUAAAAACAACCAAAAAAAUCAUAAUCAUAAUAACAAUUCUUUUCACUCAAAAAACAUCACUUUCAUUUAUCUAACAACACAAAUUUUCAAAUCCCAACAACCAAAAUCUCCAAACCCACAAAAUCAUAAUCAUCAUCAUUUUUACAUCAUCAUGUUAAAAAUUCAUACUGCCCUACCACAUAAACCCCAUUUUCGAGCUUGUUAAUCCUCUCUCCUCCAUCAAUUUUCUUCUUUCUUAGCAAGAUCAAAAGAUUGUUGUUGUUGUUGUUUCUUCUCUCCUCCAUUUUCGAGUUUGCCAAUUCUCUCUCCUCCGUCAAUUUUCUUCUUUCUCAGCAAUAUCAAAUGAUUGAGGGAUAUACUUUCUGCAUUUGUUUCUCUAUUAUAUGUAUGGAUCUGUUUAAUGGAUAUGGGUUGCUCGAAAUUGCAGAUCCAAAUGAAGGAGGGAGUAUGUGAAUUGUUGUUUAUGAAAUUUUGGUGGAUAUGUUUAUUGUUGCAUAUUCGAAAUUUCAGAUCUGAAAUUUUGGUGAUUUUUGUUAUUUAUUGUUGUUUAUGAUGGUGGUGGUGAUGAUGUUGUUGAAUUUCUAGAUUUUUUAUGGGUUUUUUGAUGAAGCUUGAUGAUUUUCUAGUUUUUUUUUUGUGUUGUUCAUGUUGUGUUCUUCAUUAUUUUCUUUGAAUGUUUAUGUUAUGUUCUUCAUAUUUUCCAGAAAGGAGAUGAAGGAUUGUAUGGAGAAGAUGAAGGAAAUAAAUAAGUUUUCAACUAAUGUCAAAACGACACGUGUACCACACUUAACGUUUUUUGAAUUUUUUUAACAGAAGAAACCAAAACAGGUAACAGAGAUAAAUAUAAAUUACUGAAACAAUCUUUUUUUUAGUUAAGGGACCAAAGCGAUACCAAAUAAAUACUUAAGGGACUAAAAGAGCAUUUAUGCCUUUAUUAAUUUUAUUAGGUCUGCAGCAACUUAACUUAAUAAUUUCCCUCUAAAAUGCUGCAUUAGGUUAGCAGCAAUUUAACCUAACAAAUUUCAUCUAAAAUAUAGUGCACCAAUUUAACCUAUCAAAUUCCCUCUAAAAUGCAGCAAUCCCUAAUAUUUCUCCUCACUAAUAAGUUUUUCAUUCCUAUCAUGUUGUGUCAUCGUUUGUAUAUAUUUAUUGUUUAUGUAGACUUUUUUUUUUACAAGUUAUUGUACACUUAUUUAAUACGUUUACAAACAAAAUACCCUAAUUUUCAUGCAAACUCGGCUACCAUAAUUUCAAUGCAAAUUCAACUAUAAAUAGCAAACCCAAAAUCGUGUUUCUCUAAAAAAACCAAAACUAUUGUAAAUUACAAACUCUGCUACCCUAAUUUUCUUUUAUAAUACUUUCAGAUUUUAUACAUUUUAUAAAGUGUUUUAUUGUGUCUACUAUGGAUUAUCACCUGUUCUUUUUUUUCACCGUUAUCAAUUAUAUAUUGCAUUUUAUUAUUCGUUUGUCAAUCUCUUAACAAUAAACAUGUGUGAUGCACGGGUCAACUAUCUAGUAGAGUCUUACUAACGAGUGCCCUAAUGACAUUCUUUAAGAAUUCCUAAUUAAGAAACUAUUCAAUAAAAAAAUCUGCUUCAAUUUUCGAUAUAUUGAAGUCAUAUGCUUUCAUAAAAUCUUACUAUUAUCUAAAGUCCUUAAAGAGUACUUUAAGACAUUCUUAACAGUUAACAUUUCCAGAUAUAUCGUUAAACUGCAACAUGUGUAAUGUGUUUAAGAUCUUUCAGGAAAAUUCAUUAGCAUUUCUUUAGAAUCUAGAUGGCUUGUUUUUUACUUUGUUUGGAUUGUUGUGUUGUGUCACCGAAAUAUGCUUUGAUUCUUUGUUUAUAAUUAGAUGGUUAUGUCACCGAGAUAUGCUUGACUUUAUUUAGAUGGCUCUACCUAAUAUUAAUCGCGACAGUGAUGGCUGCAACUGCUAACAGUUGAACAACAAAAACAAGUACUAAUGACAAAGAAGAUAAGACCAUAUUAAUAAAAGAAGACCAAAAUAAAUGUAUUGAGAAAUUAGAAAUCUCAAUGAUAGAUCGACCAACUCAAUUUGCGCACUUUGUGUCCGACCAUUGGAAACUACACCUUAUUUUAAUGCAACACACUUAUGCUUUGUUAAAUAGUCCUAUUUUAGCUUGAAAAUUGCAUUUUAAACUUCAAAAAUUUAUCUUCCACAUUCUAAAAUUAUAAUCUCUCCGUCUUAGAAUGGGUAUCGUUUUAGCAAAAAAAUUGUUUUAACAUGAAUUUUAUUUUCAGUUUCAAAUUCAAUAAUAACUUUUUUAUUUUCAAUUGUAUCCUUUAAUUAAUACUAUAUACAUUACUUUCAAAAUAUUAUUUUUUCUUUAAUGAAAAACAAACAAAUAGUUGAUUAUAAUAAUUUGGUAAUAUAAUAUCUUUUUCUUUUAAUUAAUGCAUUUCUUAAUAUGUGCGUAAAAACUUUAAACGACAAUUAUUUACGGAUGGAGUAUUAAUAGUAGUUAAUUGUAGUUCAUCAUCAUGGUAAUUAAAAGGUAAUAAACGAUAAAUAAUUGUCGUUGAAGGUAUUAAAAUAAUUCUAAGGCGCGGGUGAUCAAUUUUUGAAGUUUAAAGAGUAAUGUUCUUUCACUUUUGAAGUGUAUAAAUGAAGUGUUAUAAACAUUUUUUUUCACAUUUUCUUUUUUGUUGAAUGAAGUCGUGAUAGACUCCGUAUUUUUUUUUUUGAAGGAGACUCCGUCUAUAUUGAUAUUUAUACCAAAUAAAAGAGCAAAUGUGUCCCCGUGAGCAUAGCUCAGUUGGUAGGGACAAUGCAUUGUUAUAUGCAGGGGUCGGGGUUCGAACCCCGGACACCCCACUUAUUCACCUUAUAAGGUGAAUUCUAGCCACUAGGUUACCUGACAAAAAAAAAAAAGAGCAAAUGUUAAAAAAAAGGUUUAUGUCAUUUAUAAAGUUAUAAAAACUUUGUACUUUUAAAAGGAAAAUUACAAUGGUUUAAUCUAACGGUUAAAAUAAAAAUGUAUUUUCUCUGUUAAAAUUUAGAAUAUAAUGCAGAGAUGAUCAAGAUCUUAGCAUCAUUUUAGAGCGAGUUAAAAUAAAAUCUACUUAUAUUCUCGAGUUUAAUUAAAUUAGUCUUCUUUAUUUUAUUUUUGUAUCUGGAUCAAUUAUCUUUUAUGCGAAACAUUAAAGAUUAAUCUCUCGAUACAAAUAGAACCGCGAAAAAGAAAUUUAAUAAUAUUGCAAUUUUUAUUUGGUCAAGUAGUAAAUGAAGUGUCCGAAGUUCGAAUUUCGAUCCAUAUAUAUAACAAUGUAUUUCCUUGUCAAUUGACUUAUACUCACGGAAAUAAUAACAAUGCUACAUUCUAUAAAAUCGAAUUCAAAUUCAAAAUCUCUGCUAAAACUUUAAAGAUUUUAUUUUAACCAUUUUAUUUAAAUGUUUAUUGAACGAAGUUUCUCUAUUUUGAACUAGAGCAUCAUCCAUUCACACUGAAUUUACACUAAGAGUAAGUAAAAGACUCAAUUACACUUUUAGCCCCUAUCUUUUCAAAAGUUACGAUUUUGGCGCCCUAAAUAAUUAAAAUACAAAACUUCCCCUAUGUAUUGAAUCUUUGGCCCCCAAGGCCACUUUUGACCCCCUAUCUUUCCACUUUGGGGGCUAAAACUGCCAAAAAUCCAAUACAUAGGGGGCUGUUUUGUAUUUUAAUUAAUUAGGGGGUUAAAAUUCCAACUUUUGAAAAGAUAGGGGACCAAAAGUGCAAUUAAACCUAAGUAAAAAUAGUCCUUUCAAAAAAAAAAAAGUAAAAAUAGUACUUUUAAAUAAAAAAAAAAAAAAAAAAAAUUUACGUACAAAUCGCGCUCGUGCCGCCCACGUGUUUGUUUAACGUGACCAUUUCUUUUGGUUACACGAUGCUAUGGAUUUAUCGGAUGACAAUAAUGUCAAUGUCAAUCGUGGUUGGCGACUUUAAUAUGGGCCCACACAUGAGAGCAGCACUGCCACUUGCAAUUUUUAUUUUUUUUUAUUUUAAGGAACUACCACUUGCAACUUAAUGACUGGAUAAUUUUCUUAUGGAAAACUAUUGGGUAUACCAUUUAAAAUUCAGUUAAAAAAAUAUUCACCAUUCUUAUAUUAUUUGUCAUUUUUUUUUAGUUUUCAUCGGGUCAUAAUUUUUAUUAUUUCAAUUUAUUUUCUUUUUUAUAGCAUAAAUACAUUAUUUAUUAUUCUUUUUCAAUAACAUACCUUUAAUUAUUGUUUUUCAAUAAUCUAUAACUAUUCAUAACUAUAAUCGAUAAAAAUAUUUUAAUAAAUGAUGCACAACUUACUAACAAUAUUUAUUAUUUCUUUAAUAAAUUUGUAAAACGCAAAUGAGACACUUAAAAUGAGACGGAGAGUGCUUCAUUCUUCCCUUAUUAUAAAGUUCUUUAAUAAACAUUAUGAAUAUAAAUAAAAGUUGUUGAAUAAAUUUCUUUGAAACAUGUGUGACUAUUAUUAAAUUACUCAAUUUGUCUUAAAUUAUAAGUCACUUUGGUAAAAAAAAUAUUUUAAAUUAUAAAUUGUUUUACAAUACCAAUGACAUAUUCCUCAAAAAAUACCAAUGAAAUAUUGUUAUUUUUUCGAUUAUACCAUUAAUCAUUUAUUACUUUAUUUUUUAAGAUUAAUUUUGUAAAACAACUCAUAAUAUAUUUUUUCAUACAAAAUUAAUUAUAUCUCCUAAUACGUGUGAAAUAACCAAAACAACUUAUAAUUUAGGACGGAGGAAGUAAUCUUUAUAUAUAAACUUACGUUAAGUUGGACACUAACAUGUUUGUCUCUGUGUUUUUAUUGAUAAAGAAUGAUAAAUUAUUGGAAAGGAAAGUUGAGUGUGUAUUCCUUUUAUAAUUAUAUCUUGAUAUAUAUGCAUUUAAAGAAAAGUAAUAUAUGCUCUUGUAAAAAUUUGUAUAGAAUUUUAUAUUUAACGAAAAACGAAGUACUUAAGAGAGGAGGGAGUACUUAAAUACUUCCUGUAUAUAAUAAAUGUUAUAUAGUUGAUUAUUUCACAAAAUUAAGAUCAAAUGAUAAAUAAAAAAAAUUGGAUUACUAUCACACAUAGUAUUAUUUCACAAAGAAUAUUAUUAUUAUUUUUAAAAUAAAAAAACACACGCUGUUUCUUGCCAAAAGAAAAUGUUUGUUGCUAUAUAUUAUUACAAUUUGCAACCUCAAUACUUUACAAGUCAUGGCCAUUAUUUUCCUUCAAAAAAAAAAAAAAAGUCAUGGCCAUUAUUAAAAUAUAAUUGUCUAGUCUUUAUAAAUAACGGUUUGAUUAAUGUCCAAUCAUACUCAUAACAACAAAAUGAACUCCUUUGGUCUCACGUUGACUGCUCUAUGCUGUGUAGUGGUUGUUCUUGGAGGGUUACCCUUCUCCUCAGAUGCACAACUUGAUCCUUCCUUCUAUAGGGACACUUGUCCAAAGGUUCAUUCCAUUAUUCGUGAAGUCAUAAGGAACGUCUCUAAGACUGAUCCUCGCAUGCUUGCUAGUCUCGUCAGACUUCACUUUCAUGACUGUUUUGUUCUGGUAUAUACUCUCUCCAUAUUCAUUCUUUCCCAUGUCUUUUGUGUCUACUCAUACUCAUGUAUGUAGAACUAGCACCGACAUGUCAAACUAAACAUGUUUUGAUAUUCGUCACUAAUACUAAACAUUUAUACAUAUAAUUAUUUAUAAUAUUUAAGUUUUUCAAAUUGUUACUAAUAUAAACGUGUAGUGUUAGGUCUGAUGUCCAUGUUAAUAUUUGUGUUGGAUAUUUUACUCGUGUAGAAUCACUCAUAGUUCUUUACUUGAAUUGCUUCUAUUUGAUAUAUCUAAUAUUGUUAGUUUUAGUUUUAUAUUGAAUUUAACUUAAUCUAAAAUAUUGAUUUGGGCUAAAGGUUAUAAGAGUAAGAGAUUUGAAAUUUAAAUUCAGACAAAAGAGAAAAAAAAUGAUAUUCAUCUAACUACUAUUAUAAUUAUUGUCCAUUUCGUUGAGCUUGGUAACACAAACUUGUGACUUUAGUUGGGGUAUAAAAGGCACGGAUCCUCUUCUGUGAGGAAUUAAUUGGAGGACAUCCAGUGCUAAAUCUUACCGUUCAUUUUUUUAAAACAAUUUAAAUUGAAUAAUUUAAACAAAAAGUGAGUGGAGGAGAUUCCAUUGGAUGACACUUUUACGGGAGACAAUCCCCACCCGGGUAAUAAGAUGUUGAAAGAGGUCUUUUGACGUGUGCCAAAAUAAAAUAUUGUCCAUUUCGGGAAAAAAUUCUACAAAAUACGUUUAGAGUUUGUUCUAUUGGUCACGUAUAUUGUCCAAAAUAAAAUAUUGUCCAUUUUGGAAAAAAACGCUAUACCAAAUACAAGAUACAUGACCAAUAGAACAACAAUGAUACAAAAGUACAAUCCAAAGUCACACUUGCACUUCCACAACAUGUUUGCAUAAUGGAUCCACUUUUACACUCAACCGUUGAAAUUGGAGAGUUACCUAAAGGGGUAAAUAUGAUUUACUCAUGGUCACUACUACAGUGGAUACAUGUCAUUAUGACAUCAUUUUGGUUUCUUUUCCAUAUUAUUUUGAAGUUCUAACAACAAUUUUUUUAUUACUAGUAAAUAAAUUUUGAUUUUUAAUAUUUGUAUUAUGUUGUCUAUGAUUGUAACAGGGUUGUGAUGCAUCAGUUUUAUUGAACAAAACUGAUACCAUUGUGAGUGAACAAGAAGCUUUCCCAAAUAUCAACUCUCUACGAGGUUUGGAUGUUGUGAAUCAAAUCAAAACAGCAGUGGAAAAGGCUUGUCCUAACACAGUUUCUUGUGCUGAUAUUCUUGCCCUUUCUGCACAAAUUUCCUCAAUUUUGGUAUGCCUCAUCCUAACAUGAUUAAUAACAACUAUCAUUUUAAUUAUUAGUGAUGAUUAAUUAAAUUAAUACAUGUAUGUAUUGACAGGCAGAUGGUCCUAAUUGGAAGGUUCCCUUAGGAAGAAGGGAUGGUUUAACCGCCAACCAAUCGCUCGCUAAUCAAAAUCUUCCGGCUCCAUUCAAUUCGUUGGAUCAACUUAAAUCUGCAUUUGCUGCUCAAGGCCUCAGUACUACUGAUCUAGUUGCUCUCUCAGGUAUGCAAUGUUUUCUAAUUAAAAGUGCUCGAAUCACUUCGUUAUCAUGUAUAUAAUAACAAAUUAUAAGGCUAAUAUAUAUGCUUCAAAUGUAGGUGCUCAUACAUUCGGAAGAGCACGUUGCACUUUCAUCACUGAUCGAUUAUACAACUUCAGCAGUACAGGAAAACCUGAUCCAACUCUUAAUACAACUUAUUUACAAGAAUUACGUAAAAUAUGUCCUAAUGGUGGACCACCAAAUAACCUCGCCAAUUUUGACCCAACGACUCCUGAUAAAUUUGACAAGAACUACUACUCCAAUCUUCAGGGUAAAAAGGGUUUGCUUCAGAGUGACCAAGAGCUUUUCUCGACAUCUGGUGCUGAUACCAUUAGCAUUGUCAACAAGUUCAGUGCUGACAAAAAUGCUUUCUUUGAUAGCUUUGAAGCCGCCAUGAUUAAAAUGGGUAAUAUUGGUGUGCUGACCGGGAAAAAAGGAGAGAUUAGAAAACAUUGCAAUUUUGUUAAUUCAAAAUCAGUUGAACUUGGUCUAGUGAAUGUGGCUUCCACAGAUUCAUCGGGUAUGGUUAGCUCAAUUUAAGUACUUUAGGGUCACUAGUUUCAAAUGUAGUGAUUGGAGACCAUAAAUAAAGAUGUUAUGACUAGGCACAUUUGUGACUUGUGUCACAUAGUUACUAGGUGCUUUGUGAGGGAAGACUUUUUGUAUUUGAAGUAUUUCUUUGGGUUGUGUUCAUAAUCAAAUUUUCUCUAUCUUAUUUUGGACUUGUUUUGGCAAAAAUUUAUGAGUAACAUUAGUAUUUAUCUUAUGUGAAAAUUAUGAUGAUAAAAAAUUGACCAGGGGAGCUUAAAAAUUGACCAGACGAACUUAAAUACAUUUGCCAUUUCCUCUUCAAAAAUAUUGUUGGUUCUCAUUUUUCAAACCCCUCAAGUAGCUAACCAAAUUAUAUGCAUCACUUUCUUACUGCUCUUGAUUGCAACAACUCUCCAAAAAGCAAUAAAUGAUUCGACUACGAGAAAAUCGCGUGGUUCUCACCAAAUUUUUAAAGGAGCACAUGUUCCUUGGAAAAAAGAGUACAUCCAAGGAACCAAGUCCUUGGAAAACAUUUAGUGGAAAUAUUUUUUGAAUUCCAACAUCUAUGAGGAACAAAGUCCUUCGAAAACUGAGAGGCAAUAUUUUUUAAAUUCAACAUAUUGGAAGAACAAAGUCCUCAUAAAUGUCUGGAGAUCUAACCUUUAUAGAGCGUUUUUGUUGCUUUAAGAUGUGUGAUUCUAGGAUUUUUUUUUUAAGAAGUCAAACUAGCCAACCGAAAUUGACAUCGAGAAGAAUUGAAUUUGAGACCUUAAGAGAGCACACUCCACGGUCUUAAGCCAACACCAUCAAAACAACCCAAAUGGGUUUCCAAGAAAUCCUUUCUGAUGAGCAUUUUGAGGACCAAGUGCGUUGGAAACGAGCAUCAAGAAGACACAUUUUGCGCAUCAUAGCACAAGAAACUUUGAAGUCAUUGGAAGUCGCACAACUUUUCUAGGACAUCGUUCCUAGAAAAUAGGUUGUCCAAAAUUUAUCUUUAUAACUACACACUCUCUUCCAUAAUUUCUUCGGUUACAAUUCUCAUUCUUUUCUCCAUUAUUUCAUCUCUUAUUUUUUUUUCAUUUUAUUUCAUUUCUCCUUUUUUAAUCACUAUCUUCAAUCUCUUCAUCGUUUCAUUUCUCCAUGUUUUCUACAUUCUUUCAUUUUACACCGUCUUUUAUCAUUUCUUCAUUCUUUCAUUUCUCUCUCUUUUUUUCCCUUACUUCAUUCAUUUCUCAUUUCUCUUUUUUUUUUUCCUCCUUAAUUCAUUUCUCAUUUGUUUCUAUUCUAUCAUUUCUCCUUUUCCCAUAACAAAAUCACUAUUUCAAUUUAGAUUUUUUCAUUGAAGAUGGGGGAUUUAUUGAUUUUAUCAUUAAAUCAUUUCUAAUUAAAUGCAAAUCAAUUCAUUCAGAAUGAUUUUUUAGUUAUUUUAAUUUGGGUUUUUCUAUCAUGUGCAACUUUUUUCUCUAUUGUAUUUAUAUUUGAUAAAUGCCCGAAAACAAAGUGCAAUAAGACUUCUAGAGGAAUGGGAAUCAUCUUGAAGUUUGGUUAUGGUAGUUGUUGUAGAUUGCAUGGUUAUGUAAUACAAUCUCUAAAGUAGCUUAGCCCUAACCAAUCAAUCUUUAAGCUCCAAUUGUCCUAUAUAAAAAUUUGAAAUCUAAAAAUGUUAGAACAUUUGAGAAUCAAAGCAUAAUAUAGCACAUCAAUCCUUAGAGACUUUUGGAGUCAUCAACAUCCUUCCAUUCUUUACACACUUGCGAUUGAUCUGCAACAAUGGGCGGAUAGUGUUUUAUGUAGCAAACCUUCACAAUGUGACAUGCCAUUGUACAAUGACUACACACCUUGCGAUUGUUUGAUCUUUGAAUGGAACUACCGCAUCCUCUUCCUUGUGGUUUACGAAAUUCAAUAGAAUUUAUAAGGAUAUAUUGUUAGAGAAAAUUUUGUUGAUGUUAGGUAUAUGAUUCAUAAGAUGAAUAUGAGAUCGAACAAGAUCAAAAUUCUCAUUCAAACCAAAAAGAAGAUCAAAAUGUUUUUAGCUAUGUUUUUUAGUUUGUUUGUAUGCAUUUGAAGACAAUAUAGAGGUUUUUAGAGUGAGUUUCUCAUGGUGUUGGAAACGUUUUGUAAUGUUUUGAUUUUAGUCGUUGUAAUUCAAUUUGUUCCCUAAUUAACUAGACAACUUCUUAUUUGUUUUGAGUCUUUUAUGAUCAAAUUAUGUAGUUGGACGACACCUCAUGGAAGUUAUGGAAGCUAAAGAAUGAAAAACAACAAAGGUUUUAAGACAAGACAAGUUGGAGAAAUUAUGUUCCAAGUUCCAAGAGCAAGUCGAGAAAAAAAAUAGUUAAAGAACGAAGAAAAACGAAAAAAAAUACAUCUGAGCCACGUGACACGAGUAACCCUGUGCACCCUGCACAUGGAAUGCUUAUAAAGGUCAACUGGCCAUGUCUUAAUGCGACCCCCGUGUGCCGAGCAAGAAAAAUAACUUUUUGUUGUUUUUUUCGAUUGCAUGCAGGGGGAAAAUUCUAGUAACCCAGUGCAAACCCAAUGCGAAAAUGCCUAUUUUAAGGCCUUUGUUCACCUAAAAAUAUUCAUUCAGAAACAUGACGGUUUAAAGGCAAACAUGGACAACCAAAGCAUUAAAAAUAAGUUGUUUCCUACCUCUUUCCAUUUGUUAUAUAAUAUGUUUUGUUUUUACUUGAUUAUUUAUUCAGUUACCAUGAGUAAAUAAACACCUUAAGAUUAGGGUUCUAACAUGAAAUUAUAAUUAUUCGUGGGAAUGUUAUAAUGCUUGAUUUCUUUAUUCAAUUAUGAUCUGAGUUAUGCCUAAAAAAAUAUGAUAUGAGUUAUAUUUACUUGAAACCCGUAGACUUUGAAUUGAUCUUAGGUUCAGAUUUAUAGAUUGACAUAUUUCUCUAACUGAAAUCGUUAUUUAUGUAUUUUGCUCAAGAGUCAUUAAAAAACCUAGAGAUUCUUAGUAUUAUGGUUAGGUUCUAAGACACGUGUGCAACUGCAAAUCCUUACCGUGUCAAUAAUACGAUUAUGACGUGUCAUAUGUUUGUUCACAUAUAAUUCCAUUAAAUAGUUUAGUUGCAACAUGACAUUUUGGAGUCAAUUACCUGUGGGAGGAUAAGUCCAUGAAUUAUAUAUUCCUUAGGCUAUAUUUGGUAUGGAACAAUCUAAAAUUUGGAGGGCGAACAAUCUUCGACACACAUGGGGUUAACCAUCGUUUAUAUAGUCUUAAGGUCAUAUUUGAUCGGAAACAUGCAUUAAUCCAAUAAAGAGGUAUAGGGAAUUCAAAUAAUCUUAAUCGUUGUUAAAUCAUUUGAAUUUCUUCACAAAUUAUCUUAAGAGUGUGUUUGGAUGGGGGAAUGUUUUGAGGGAAUGUAUUGUUUUAAGGGAAUUCAAAUACUUUGGGGUGAAUUACAUUGUUUGGAUAAUAAUUUGAAGUAUUUUCAAAAUGAUGGAAAUUUAUGAAGUAUUUUGUUCAAGUUAAAUUUAGAGAAUUUUAAAUGACACCUAAAAGCUAAGAAUUUCAAAUUUCUUUAUUGUUGUUAUUUUUCAUAUUUUGCAUUUUGGUCCUCAAAUUUUCCAAAAAUUUUAAAUUGACCCCAAUAAAUUUCCAAAAAUUGCAAAUUGGUCCCUCAAUUUUUUCGAAAAUUAUAAUUUGACCCCUCAAUUUUUUGAAAUUUACAUUUUGACCCCUAAUUUCAAUUUUCAAAUUUGGCCCAAAAAAAUUAAAAUUUAUAAAAGUUGCCCAAAAAUGAUGACAAUGAAUUUUUUUAUUACUUCAUCCAAACAAAAGAAUUAAGAAAUGAAAUUAAUUUAAUGGAAUCAUUUAAAUUGUCUAGGAUUCUAAAUUCUUUAAAAUUUCUCAAUUACCUCAUCCAAACACACUUUAAAAGUAUUGAAAAUUUCUAAAACGGAUCCAAAAUUUUGCUUAAAGUAAAAAAUUUCACAUUGUAAUUUAGAAAUGCAAAGGAGGAAAUACAAGUAUGUAAUAAAUUAUGGUACAUGUAUUUGUACAUGUUGUAUAGAUUUUUGACAAAUUGACAAACUUAGUACAUAAAGAACAAGUUUGAGUAAUUUAUUUAUAUAUUUACGACUUUAAUGGGAAAAAAAUUGUGAUUUUGUUAUGGACUGAGCUUUGACCAACAUUGUUGGUCCAAUGCAUAGAGGCUCAUUAAUGUGUAAUAUUCUCCAUUCAUGACAAUACAUCAAAUCUCAUGUACGCCUCAUCACAUAGGAGAAAUUCUCAUCAUAUCCUAAUCGUUCAGCUAAUCUCCCGUGCCUUGUGCUGAAUUUCUAGAAAACUUUUAAAAUGUCUCAAACUAUAUAAGUGUGACUUUGCAUGACAUUCGAUGUACAAUUACAUUUGAACAUAUUUUCACAUACUUUUCCUUCCAUAAUUUCAUACUGACUUGAGCAUUGGAGUGCUAACCCUUUUUACAAGUUUCUUCCCCCUCGUACACUGCGCCAGAGAAUAAUUUCCCAUGCACCAUAAAUCUUUCUCCAUUGGUCCUGAUUCUUUGUUGCAUGAGCAUUGUCACCCGAUAACCUUCACUUUGGUCCACUCCGUAUUAUUUGCGUCGUCUAUGGGAACUAUGCAUUGUUUCCCUCGAACUUCCUCAAAUCCACUACCUUAAUUGUUUUCUGCUAUACUUUCCAAUGGACAGAUCUUCUCCAUCUUAGGCUAAAAACAUCAAUUUUGAUACUCCCAACACCAUUGGGACUCCCCAUUCUAUGUUGCCACUAUUGCAAGAUUGUGUUGAUCUUGUUAUGUCUUUUGCGCAUGAAGGAAACACAAACACCAACCUUUCUCUAGUUAUUGAAUGUCGCGUCGCCACCAUUCUUUCUCCAAUUUAUCAAGGUGAAAGUCUCCCCUACCGGAAAGAAUGAGACUCUUCGUGAAUAUAUUGAAAGGUUCACUAAAGAGGAAGUAGAAGUCUGGGGAGUAAAUGACAAAGUUAAAUGCUUCGGCUUUAAAAAUGGCCUAAGGCCCAAUUGCAUGCAUGUAUAGGGGGGAGUUAGGUCUUGAAGUGCUCAAAAAUAUGAGUGAGUUGCUAGUAGAAGCUAAACCCUUCAUUAACUACAAAGAAAAGCUGCUUGUAAAUGAGAUAGUGAAAAAUUAAGAUAACCUAGAAUAUUUGAUAUGUCAUGGACACAUCAAAAUUAAGUUAUAAUUUAGGCAAAAUGCAACAUUGAGUUUUUAAGUUUAAUGUUUGUAACAAUAUAAUUUUUGAGUUUCUCCAAAUAAAAAUGAUUUUAUACUAUGAAGAAAUAUUAAUCCCUCAAAGUCUUUCCUUCUUAAUGCCAUCUAUUUCUUCCAUUUACUUCUUUCUUUUUUCCAAAUCUCUCCAUCUUUUUCUCUCCAAACUUGCAAACAAAGUUGGACCACGAAGAUCCAAAAUUUAAUCUUAAAAUAACUCAUAGCAUACUUUUCGCAUAGAAUUACUUGAGAGGAAAAGUUUACUCAGUUUAUAAAUGGCUUUACCUAAUAUUUUAAGGCGGGAAUAAUCAUUGUACCCUAACAUAAAGCAAAAACGUACUAGUUGAACUAGUAAUAAUGGCAUCGAUCAGUCCUCAUAGAAAAAUCAAAGGUGUCAAAAUUGAAAAAGAAAGCUCUACACAACUUGCCAUCGGAGCUGGGAAAGCACUCUUUGCUUUAAUGCAACAAUUCCAACCUAACUUUAACAGGUUAUAAUUCUCUAAAUUCCUCUAACUUUAACAAAAGUUAAUAUCCUUGUGAUUUUCAAGAGAAAUUCUUAACUUUUUUAUAGUAAAAAGUACAGAGCUCUAAUAUUUAUGAGACUUGUGUUUAUAAUUGAUUUUAAGAUUAGAUUCAACGAAUAUCCUAUUGUGUUUAUGUGGCUGCCUGGCUUUGGUGAGCCUGCUUUAUUCUCUCUUUACUCAGCUUUUGGUGCUAUGUGGGUUUUGGGUGGUUUUUUUGUGUUCUCUUUAUGCCUUUAUAUUGCCUUUUAUUUUAUUGUUUUUAGUUCUACUGUAGUGCAAUUGUUUAUUCAUCUCAUUUUUUAAUCAAAAAAUUAAAUAAUAUUAUGUAAAAGAUUUGUUUUUUUAAAGGAAAAAUAGAGUUGUUGUUAGAAUUAUAAUUUAAAUGAGGGUCUUGCUAACUGUGUCUUGUUAAGGAUUCAAAAAUAAAAACAAUAUCUUUUAUGCCGAUAAAAGCAUUUAUUAGGAUUUUUUUUUGUCAAGUAGCCUAGUGGCUAGAGCUAACACAAUUUAUUGUGGAGAAGUGGGGUAUCCGAGGUUCGAACCACAAUCCCUACACAUAAUAUGCAAUAUUUCUACCAACUGAGCUAAACUCACGGGGAUAUAAAUUGAAGGAUAAAUAAUGAUAUAAAUCGAAGAUAAAUAAGAAUCAUGUAUGCCCUUUGCAAGCACUAAGAUAAUAAAAGUAAUUUUUUAUUAACAAAAGUAUUUUUACGAAUAGCUAAAACAAACUCACCCAAAAUCUUUCCUACGAGUCAUCAUUAUGUUGUCCAAAAUGUUCAUUACAGACUAAAAAUGGCAUGAAUAUAAAGAUAUUUUUGAACAAAUUCGUGCCGCCCACGUGCCUUCUUCAGCAGAACCAUGUCUUGGACAAGAUACAAUGGAUUUCAUGAGUGACAUUGAGCAACAUUAUUUCCCUAAAAAAAAAAAAUUGAGCAACAUUGUUCGUGGCUGGCUUUUAUGGGGUGGACAACUAAGAGUAUUUCUUUGUCUAUAACUUUAAAAUAUAAUAUUUUUUAAAUAAAAUUAUAUUUAUUAUUUGUUUCUAUUUUUGAAUGCUUAACAAAUAUCUUUAAGGGCAUUUUGUUGGUAUGGUACGUAAUUUAUUUGGUCAAUAUUGGUGUGACCAUUUACUACAACCACAAGCUAGCCUUUACUAGGAGUCAUGAGUGGCACAUGCCCAUUUAAUUUGGCUAUCUAUAAAUGUAAGAGCCAUUUAUGAAGAAUCUCAAACUCAAUCUCACAACAAAAAUGAACUCUCUUCGUGCUGUAGCAAUAGCUUUGUGUUUUAUUGUGGCUUUGUUUGGAGUGUUACCUUUCCCUUCCAAUGCACAACUUAAUCCAUCCUUUUAUAGCAAAACUUGUCCAAAUGUUAGUUCCAUUGUCCGGGAAGUCAUAAGAAACGUUUCUAAGACAGAUACUCGUAUGCUUGCAAGUCUUGUUAGGCUUCACUUCCAUGACUGUUUUGUUCAAGUAUGUAUACUUUACCUUCUACUUGUAAAUGAUUUGUAUUAUGCUAAUGUUAUAAUCAUAAUGUAAAUAAUGUAAUCUAUGACUUGAACAGGGUUGUGAUGCAUCAGUUUUGUUGAAUAACACUGCUACUAUUGUCAGUGAACAAGAUGCUUUUCCAAACAGAAACUCAUUGAGAGGUUUGGAUGUUGUGAAUCAAAUCAAAACAGCAGUAGAAAAGGCUUGCCCUAACACAGUUUCUUGUGCUGAUAUUCUUGCUCUUGCUGCUGAAUUAUCAUCUACACUGGUAUAUAUAUGCCUCAUCCUUUAUUAUAUAGUAUUUUUAUCCACCAUUGAAUUUCAAAUGGAAAUUCUUAUUGACUCUUUUUGUUUUGUGAUGUAAUAAAAUAGUCUCAAGGUCCUGAUUGGAAAGUUCCUUUAGGAAGAAGAGAUGGUUUAACAGCAAACCAAUCACUUGCUAAUCAAAAUCUUCCAGCUCCUUUUAACUCAUUAGAUCAACUCAAAGCUGCAUUUGCUUCUCAAGGCCUCAGUACUACUGAUCUAGUUGCACUCUCGGGUAUGUAACAUUUUUAAAGUUUUUGUUUAAAAAUUUCUAAUUAGUAGUAUGUAUGAUUAUUGAUCUAUAUCUGUUUCAAUUGCAGGUGCUCAUACAUUUGGAAGAGCUCAUUGCUCUUUAUUUGUUAGUCGAUUGUACAACUUCAGCAAUACGGGAAGUCCCGAUCCAACUCUUAACGCAACUUACUUACAACAAUUGCGCAAUAUAUGUCCCAAUGGUGGACCUGGAACUCCCCUUGCAAGUUUUGAUCCAACUACUCCUGAUAAAUUUGACAAGAACUAUUACUCUAAUCUUCAAGUGAAAAAAGGUUUGCUUCAAAGUGAUCAAGAGUUGUUCUCAACAUCUGGUGCUGAUACCAUUAGCAUUGUCAACAACUUUGCCACUGAUCAAAAAGCUUUUUUUGAGAGCUUUAAGGCUGCUAUGAUUAAAAUGGGAAAUAUUGGUGUGUUAACCGGGAACCAAGGAGAGAUUAGAAAACAAUGCAACUUUGUUAAUUCAAAAUCAGUAGAACUAGGUCUUGUCAAUGUUGCCUCAACAGAGGAGGGUAUGGUUAGCUCAAUGUAAAUGUAGUGACUGGAGCCAAAUAAUAAAUAAGCUAUAACUAGGCACAUUCAUGGUAUGUGUUACAUAUCCUUAAAAAAAAAAAAAAAAUGGUAUGUGUUACAUAGUUAUUAGGCGUUUGGUGAACAAUUUGUUUUUAUUUGGUACAAGUUUCUUUUUUUAUGUGAAGUACUCCCUCUAUUCCUUUUUAUGGGAUCUUGUAACGAAAAUCACGAGUAUUAACAAAACUUGUUGGAAUAAUAAAUUUGUCACAAAUAUGUAUGACUAUUACUAAAUUACUCUUUGUUAUAAAUAAGCAACAUGCUAUAUUAGUCUAUUAAUUCACUUAUCUAUCUUAACAUAUAUCAUAUUAUUUGUUUAAAUAUAUUCAGAAGAAAUAGUCUUUUAAACAAGAUACAAGUUAUAUCACCCUUUAGAAACCAAGAAACAUACCUAAAAAAUAUACCUACGAUAGGCUACAAAUCAAACUUAAACCUUAAAUGUUUUGACAAAUUAUAUCGGAUCUUGCAAAGCCUAACUCGACUUAACAUAUAUUUACCCCUUAUCACUAUGGAAGAUUUCAUGUGCCUGAGGUCUUCAGGUUUGAUAACAAUGUGGUUGGCUACAUGCGUGUAUAUAUGGAAAUGUUAACUUGUGUCCUUAGAUCACAUUUUUUGGAACUUAAUUAGAGUGGAAAUUUUGUCUAGGAAAUCAUGUCAAUUUAUUCUUCUAGAGAUUGAAAGUUAAUGUUUUGUAAUAAAUAUUUAUCAUUUAUGGAAUCUUUAGCUAAUAUAUAAAUGACUUUAUCGUUAAUAUAAGCGGAUGUCCAUAUAACAAUUGGGUUAAUGAGUCAUAAUAUUAGACCAUGCAUAUUAUAUUGUUUGUUCUCCAAGUUAUCUCUGUAAAUAAAACUCAAAUGUAACCUAAUUAUACACCACAAAAUAAUAAUAAUAAUAGUAACAAUAAAAUAUUUUUUCUCGGAUUAAUCGAUUUUUUGAUCGGAUACCGAGUUUUCAAAAAAGAAGAAAAAAUAAUAAUAAUAAUAAUAAUAAAAUAUUUAUCUCUCUUCUAUCCCUUCCUCCCCUUUCUUUAUUCUUGUUCUUAUUUCCUUAGUUUCAUAACAAUUAAUUUAUUGAUUUAGAAAACAAUUAUACAGAAACACUUUAAUUUAUGAGUGUGCCACAGACGCUUUCAACAUACAUGUUUGUAUAUCGGUUUUGAUGGGCUGUGUCUGACAUAAAAUUGGCGAGCUUUGUAUUUGCAUAUAAAGUGUGCCUCAUUCUUUGGGUUUUAUUUGAGUUUUUAUAUUAAUUUUUUUACCAUUCAAAUAAAAGAAGACCAAAACAACUUGGGUCAUAGUUUUAGUGCAACUUGGUGGCAUAGGAGAUACCAAUUUGCACGGAAAAGUGAUAAGUUCUGUCAAAAAAUAAUUAUUAUUUAAGUCUGGCAGGACCAGGGAGGGAUGAGAAUGAGGGAGAAAUGCUUAUUAUAGAUUAAUGAUCAAAUCAACAACGAAGAAAAGAAAAUGCUUAACAAGAUUAAUUAUUUUCUUUUUACAAACGUUCGAUUAAAUUAUUAAAAAUGUAUACGUUUGGAUCAAAAUUUUAAAAUAAUUUUUGACUGUGCAUUUUGUUAAUCAAAUUAAAUGUUUCAUUAACAUUAUCAUAUUUGUCUUUUUAUAAGAUACAAUGGAUUUCAUUGAGUGACAAUGAGCAACAUCGAUUCGUGUGGUUGGCUUUUAUGGGGUCCACUUAUACGAGUAGCACGAUAUGUAUAGUAGUACUAUUUGGACCUUGUUUUAUUCGGUCAAUUUUCACACCUCAAUGGUAAUAAUGUUCUCACACAUCAACCACAAGCCUUUUCUAGGAGCCAUUCACGACUCAUUGUCCCUUCUUUUUCUAUAAAUAAGUGCUUAUUUUAUACACAUUCUCAGUAUCACUUUCACUUUCACUUUCACAACAAACAAUGAACUCCCUUCGUGCUGUAGCAAUAGCUUUGUGCUGUAUUGUGGUUGUGCUUGGAGGGUUACCCUUCUCUUCAAAUGCACAACUUGAUCCAUCCUUUUACAGGAACACUUGUCCAAAUGUUAGUUCCAUUGUUCGUGAAGUCAUAAGAAGUGUUUCUAAGAAAGAUCCUCGUAUGCUUGGUAGUCUUGUCAGGCUUCACUUUCAUGACUGUUUUGUUCAAGUAUGUAUAAUAUUCAAUCAUUCACUAACUACAUGUUCUAUUUUGCUCAUUGCGUAUGACAUGCUAUAAAUUCUUGAAAUCUUAGUAUACCUAUAAUCCUAUAGUAGUAUGAUCUUCCCAUUUAAGUAGAAUUAGUACAUAGUAAGAUAUAAUAUAAACUAGAACAAGAUCAAAUAUAGCAAAUAAAGAAUAUGUUUAGCAUGUCCUUAUGCUGCCCCUAUAUGUUAUACAAUCCAAAAAUGAAAAAAAAAAAAAAAAUCUUAAUUUUGUGUCUUAAACAUAACUUGUGUUUAAGGGCACAAAUUAACAUUCACUCUGCUCAUUAAGAAAAUAUUAAGUAAUAUAUCUAGCAAAUGAAUUGAGUUGGAAUAGUGACUUUACUUACUUACCCGGCUGAACCAAAUUCUAAAAAUUUGAGGGUUGAAAUAAAUGAAAAAUAGAAUACUAUUAGAUAUAUUUACCCUUUUGUUUUAUUAUUAAAAUAUAAUCAUUCAUUAGUAUGUCCAAUAAUUAUAGUUUAAAGUGUAUGUCUAAUAAUUAUAGUUUAAGGUUUUUUUCCUUUUUAGUGAGAGAUUUUUUUUUUUACUCAUUUAGAAGCAAUGGAGCAAGUUUUUUUUUUCAAUUAGCAAAGACAUUGUAUAAAAAACUAUGGCAUCAACCUUUUAAAUUGUACGGUUGAAGUUAAUUUUUAUUAUGCUAUUGUUAUAAUCAUAAUGUAAAUUAUGUGAUCUAUAUACUGUAACAGGGUUGUGAUGCAUCAGUUUUACUGAACAAAACUGAUACCGUUGUGAGUGAACAAGAUGCUUUUCCAAACAGAAACUCAUUAAGAGGUUUAGAUGUUGUGAAUCAAAUCAAAACAGCUGUGGAAAAGGCUUGUCCUAACACAGUUUCUUGCGCUGAUAUUCUUGCCCUUUCUGCUGAAUUAUCAUCUACACUGGUAUAUAUAUGCCUCAAACUGUACUAUAUAUUUUUCUCAUUUACCAUUGAAUUUUCAAAUCCAAUUAUUAAUUCUGCUUAUUUGUUUUGUGAUGAAAUAAAAUAGGCAGAUGGUCCUGACUGGAAAGUUCCUUUAGGAAGAAGAGAUGGUUUAACAGCAAACCAAUUACUUGCUAAUAAAAAUCUUCCAGCUCCUUUCAAUACUACUGAUCAACUUAAAGCUGCAUUUGCUGCUCAAGGUCUCGAUACUACUGAUCUGGUUGCACUCUCGGGUAUGUAACAUUUUUAAAGUUUUUGUUUAAAAAAAUCUAAUUGGUCGUUACAAUGAUGACGCCAAUGUUACAAUAAUAAUAUAUUUGAUUAUUGAUUUAUAUAUGUUUCUCGAUUUCAGGUGCUCAUACAUUUGGAAGAGCUCAUUGCUCUUUAUUUGUUAGCCGAUUGUACAACUUCAACGGUACAGGAAGUCCGGAUCCAACUCUUAACACAACUUACUUACAACAAUUGCGCACAAUAUGUCCCAAUGGUGGACCUGGCACGAACCUUACCAAUUUCGAUCCAACGACUCCUGAUAAAUUUGACAAGAACUAUUACUCUAAUCUUCAAGUGAAAAAGGGUUUGCUCCAAAGUGAUCAAGAGUUGUUCUCAACAUCUGGUUCAGAUACCAUUAGCAUUGUCAACAAAUUUGCAACCGAUCAAAAAGCUUUUUUUGAGAGCUUUAAGGCUGCUAUGAUCAAAAUGGGAAAUAUUGGUGUGUUAACUGGGAAACAAGGAGAGAUUAGAAAACAAUGCAACUUUGUUAAUUCAAAAUCAGUAGAACUAGGUUUAGUCAAUGUGGCUUCCACAGAUUCAUCAGAUGAGGGUAUGGUUAGCUCAAUGUAAUUGUAGUGAUUGGAAGCAACUAAUAAAUUAAUAAGCUAUAACUAGGCACAUUCAUGGUAUGUGUGAGAUAGUUGUUAGAUGCUUUGUGAGCUAAAAUCGUUUGUAUUUCAUUUGAAGUGUUUCUUUGAGUUGUGAGUUGAUAAUGAUCAUUUUCUGUUUCUUAUUUCGGACUUGCUUUAGCAUUAAUUUUACAAGUUUUAAGUUAAUGGAGUGCAAGACAAAGACAUCUCUUACACUAGAUUUAUCCACUUUGUAUGAUAUUUCCCAUUAAUUUACAUGCUAAUUUUGUAUAAAAAAGUAAUAAGCAAGUAUCUCCAUGGUAUAUAUUCGUAUAUUUUCUAUUACUCAACAAACUUAGUAAAAAAAAAAAAAGGGUCAUUUCAUUUAUCACCGGAUGAUAUUGAACAAUUUAUCAAUUUUACGACUUUAAAAAUCAGUGAUUUGUUCUUACUUUAGGCUCGGUCAUACAAAUACUGAUGUUAUUACCUCUUUUUUUUUUUUUUUUUUUUUUUUUUUGGAAAAAUGAUGUUAUUACCUCUUUUGAAUUAAGUUAUGGAUUCUCCAAUCCACAUAAUUUUAACACAUGACCCCAUAUAUAUGCGCGGCUAAUUUAAUCUCAUCUAAAAAGCAUGAAGAAAUAAGUUAGUAAACAUACCCUUCCAUUUACUUUGACAAAAAAACUCAAGUCUUUCUUUUCAAAUAUGGUGACAUUGGUGGUAUAUACUUAAAUCCCUUAAAAAUUUGAUUUAAGUAAUGUUUAUUUAGUAAAUAUACUUUAUUAAGCAGACUCUCUUUUCAUAAGGUUCAUAAAUUUUAAUAAUUAAAAUAUUAUUUCAUUGUUUAAAUAUGGUGAUGUAUAAUUAUUGAUUGAAAUCUAAUUUAGAAAAUUUUGUUUGAGAGAUGUUAAAUUGAAGAGACGAGUAAGACUUGAUAAGUCACAAACCCAAAUCAUUUUGAUUUGGGAACACACACAUAAGUAAGGAAGAUAAAAGAAAAUAAAUUAAAAACUCCAAAUUGGAUAUGUAUGUUUAAGUGCGUGCGCGUCCAAAUUAUUUUUGUCUAAGAUUAUGUAUUGUGCCCAAACCAAUUAAUGUUGCUCUAAAGAGAUUGAAGGUUUAUUUAUUCCUAUAAGAUUAACUUACUGUUGUGAAUUCGAACUCAAAACUCAUACCAAUACAAACUAUGAUGUGUGGAGCAAAUAAAAGUAGUAAUCAAUAUCAAAGUGAACACAAGCAACAACAAUAAUAACAACAGCUAGAUCUAAUCUAGUAAUCAAAGUGAAAAGCUCAAAACCACAAACAAAAGAUAAAGAGAGAAGAGAAACAAACACACCAAAGAUUGUUGACCCAGUUCGGUCCAACUUGACCUAAUCUGGGGGAGAGGUUGAUCUCUCCAAUCCACUAUCUAAGAGUUCUUACAAAGUGAUACAAAUGGGUUACAAGAAAUUAGCUUAAACAAGCUCACAAAGAACAAAUCUAAUUUCUACCCAUUUUCCCAAUUUCACCAAUGAACAAGAGACUCAAUGAUUUUCACUCACCCAAGGUGUUUACAAUGUUUCCCAACCCAAGAGAACUCUAAUCAAAGACCCUCAACCCUAAAGUUACCUCCUUUGAUUUCCCAAGUUUUCCUCUCUUGAAGUUCUCUCUCUUUCCUCCUUCAAAAAUGAGCUGAAACACUUAAAGAGUACACAGUGAUAGACAAAAUCGCGAUGCGCCAGUGAAAAUCGCGCCACAGUUGAAGCGUGCGACCCAAGGUACGACAACCUUAUCCACAAACCGCGUCACGCCUGCACCAAUCGCACCAUGAUUUGCCUUCAGCAGAAACCAUCCAUUCUGCCACCAAAAUCGCGCCACGCCUCCCAAAAUCACGGCACGAUUUUGGCAUUUCACAACAUCACAAUUUGAAGACAAUUUCAACACUUGUCUUUAGAGCACAAAUUAAGAAAUCAAAGAUGAAAAUAUUUUGUUGGAAAUUGUGCAUUCAAUAUUCUAGAAAUUUAAAAUCUUAUCUUCUCAAGACAUAAUUUACUACUAUAAUUUAAUUUCAUUUUUAAAUUCUUAACUUGUAUCCUAAAGGUACAAGUUAACACUACCCAAAUUAUAAAUGAAUGAUGUAGUAUUUUUGGAACCACUUAAAUGACAAGUCAACACUCCCAAAAUUACCCGAUUUUCAUUUGCUUUUUAAAAAACUGAAAUAUGAGGAAGGUCAUUGUGAGAAUGAUAUGAUUGAUAAACAAAAUCUACUUUGUUUAUAAAUGCUAUUACCUAACAUAUACAGGUGGCGAUAAUCAUUGUAGCAUAAGAUAAAGCAAAACAGGUAAACUAAUAAUGGCAAGAGUAAUGAUAUUUGAACAAAUUUUUUGGUACAGCUUUUGGGACAAUCUUGUUGUGUUCUCUUUUUAUUGGUCAAAAACAAUAUAGAGAGAAAAAGGAAGAGAAAAAAUAAGAAGAUAAUAUGAGUAUGAGAGAGAAGGUUGUACAAAAAUUAUAUAAAAAUGAUUGUACAAAUAUCAUUUCUCUAAUGACAAAGAUAGAUAAGUCCACAAAAAAAUGUCAUAAUGAAGGUGUCGAAUGUCGAAAAAGAAAACUCUAUGAAGACCCAACAAGUUGGGGCGAGCUUUAAUGCAAUACUUCCAGCUAAGGCGGAUCCAUAAAUGUGCAAGAUAGGGCUUCAAAAAAUAUAAAUAAUCGGGGCCGGCUAUAACUUGUGCAAGCAUAAAAACUACAUAUUAGUUCUAAUUUGUUGCUGUUCAACCGUCUCAAAGUAAUACUCUCGUCAUUUCAGAAUAAAUGUUGUUUAUAAAAGUUUUGUAUUAAAAUAAUCGCUGUUAUGCUUUUUCAAUGCAACUUUAAUAAAUUUAUUCUAAGUUUGCUCUCACAUUAAUCUUAUAUGCACAACUUUUAAAUCAUUAUAUUUCACUUUGACAUUAAUGAUUUAAAUGUUAUAUUACUCUUAUAUUAAUCUUAUAAGCAAAAAAUUAUGCAUUUUAGAUUCAUUCAAUUAAUGAUGUAUGUGGGCUUUAUUAUAGACCACAUACAUCAUUCAGUUUAACAUAGUCGAGUAUAAACAAAAACUUGGUUGAGUUUUCUCGAGUUUAACACGUGUUAACUCGGUCAAACUCGCCAAACAUCUCGAUUUUACCAGAAACCGAGUUUACCUCCGAGUUAACACGAUUUCAGCACCUAAAAACGUAAAUUCGUCCGAGUUUACGAGUUAACACUCAAUUUGUGGAACAUUAUCCUCAAUCCCACGUAUUACUCAACUGACUUGAGAAAAAAAAAUGCACUCUUCCCGAUUCAAUUGUCUUAGCCUUCGCUUAAAUUUUCACCAACUAGAAGGACCCUCGCCUAAUCACACAUCAGCCGAUGUCGAUUAAUAAAGUAAUUAGUUUUAGGUUAGGUUUAAACAUAGUCAUAUGCCAAUCUAGCAAGUUAAUUUUCAUAUAUCAAAAUAGUUUUUGGAAAAAUAUACAUUGUUGACAAAUUUCAUAUACACAUAAUUUUUCUUAAUUAUUGUGUAUUAGUGAAGAGAGUUUUUCAUAUAUGGAUAUAUGUGGUAGCGUGUUUGUCCGUUUCAUUAAAAAGUCACCAUUCCCUUUACUAAUUACUUUCCAUUUUAGGAGAAACACUCUUUUAUGGGUCCCACCAAAAACUCUUUUCUUCUCUAUUUAUUUGGUAACCAAACAAAGGAAAUAGUAUACUCCUCUUUUAUCUCCAACCUCUCUCUUUCGUUCUAGUUUCCUAUGGAGCUAAACAAAUAUGCUAAAGUUUGAGGGAGUAAAUGCCAGCAAAUUGAGAUGAAGAUAUUUUGAAUUCUGAACAAAUUCGUGACGACCACGUUCCCGUAUAGACAGAGCAAUUUGAUUUAGGUAAAAAUACAACAAAGGAUUUCAACAUUGAAAAUAAGAAACUUCGAUGGUGAUUUGCCAUCUUUGUGGUCCACACAUGAGAGACGUGACACUAUAGCUAGUACAACUAUUUGUAUUUACACGUUACUCCCUCCGUCCCAAAUUGUACGACGUUUUCAGACAUAUUAAAAAAUACAAUUAAUAUUGUCUGGAAAAGAGAUAUUAUGAGUUGUUUUACAAAAUUGUCCUUAAUAAAUAAUAUGGGAAAGAUAAAUGAAAGAAUUGAAAGAAGAGAGGGUAAUAAAUAAUUAAGAUUAUAACAGAAAAAGUAACAUUAAUGUUGUAUUGGUAUUGUAAAGUGACAUAUAAUUUAAGUUAAAUUUUUUUCCCUAAAGCGACAUACAAUUUGGGACGGAGGGAGUAGUUUUUAGGUCAAUAGUUACACCUUAAACCCUUAAUAAUUGCUAGGCAAUGUUCUCACCGUUCAUUGCACAACAAGACUUUAUUACUAGCCAUUAUAUUUGUAUGUCUAUAAAUAAAUGCUCACAAUAAAUUAUAAGCACAUUCUCACUCUUCAAAACAAUGAACUCCUUAGCAACUUCUAUGUGGUGUGUUGUGCUUUUGGUUGUGCUUGGAGGACUACCCUUUUCCUCAGAUGCACAACUUAGUCCCACUUUUUACAGCAAAACUUGUCCAACUGUUAGUUCCAUUGUUAGCAAUGUAUUAACAAAUGUUUCUAAGACAGAUCAACGCAUGCUUGCUAGCCUCGUCAGGCUUCACUUUCAUGACUGUUUUGUUUUGGUAUGUCUUUAGGUGACUACUUUAUAUUUCUAAUAUUAUCUUUAGAUUUAUAAAUAUUAGUUUAAAAUAUAUUAUAAUACAAUAUGGUUAGUUCGAUCCAUGCGCAACUCCUAUAUAUUAUACAACUAAAAAUGGUAAAUAAUUGUCUACUACAACUGAUCAACAGACGUUUCCUAAAAAAAACGUCAAUUAGAUAUAUCUUCAUUUGUCCCUUUGAAAUUAACUGUCUUUUGAUCGAACUUUUAUUAUAAUGUCCCUUUUACAAAAUAGAAGGAUUAGAACAAAGAAACAAUAGAAAAAUAAUUCUUAAACACCUAAAACCAUUCUACCAUUAAAGAAAGAAGAAAUAAAUGGAAAUAAUAUAUGUGAUAGGUUGUUGAUAUAAUAGGAAGAGAGAGAUGAAGAGAAAAUAAAUGUAGAAGUAGAAUGUACGUAAGAAAAGUAAGAGAGAUGCAAAUAGGGUUCUAAUAAUUGUCUUGCACUUCUUUUCUUUAUAUUUUAUAAAAUUAUGCAUUAACUAGUAUUUUCUAAAAAUUGUAGGCCAAGUAUAUGAAUCAACUUUCUUUUUUAAGUUUUUAACUUUCAAGUAAAUUUUUAAUAUGCUUUUUUACCAUAUGUUCUUUAAUUUAUGCGUCAAAAAAUAAUGUGAUGCAUAAUUUUCACAGGGAUGUGAUGCCUCGGUUUUGUUGAACAAUACUGCUACGAUCGUAAGCGAACAACAAGCUUUUCCAAAUAACAACUCUUUAAGAGGUUUGGAUGUUGUAAAUCAGAUCAAAACUGCUAUAGAAAGUGCUUGUCCUAACACAGUUUCUUGUGCUGAUAUUCUUGCUCUUGCUGCUCAAGCAUCCUCUGUUCUGGUACAUAUGCCCUAAUUCUAAAUAUAUUUCUGUAAUUUAAUGCCUCGUUGAUCAUUAAAUUUCAAAUGCAAUAUUUAAAUGAUUCUAUUUCUGUUCUGAGUAUAUAAUACUAUAAUAUAUGCAUUUGAUAAUGGUUGCAAUCCAACAAAAAUGAUCAUAUAGUUAAUUAAGGUAGCGGCGCCGUCUGUAUUUUGUUUUCAGUUUUUGCCGCGAGUUUUUAUGCGCCUUGCAUUUACUCGACGUGAAUAAAUUUUCCGUUUCAAAAAAAAAAGUUAAUUAAGGUAGCUUCAAAAUCUAGGGUUAUUUUUAUAAUGAUUAAAUAAAAAAACCAUUUCAAGAAGUUAAUCAUCUAUGAAAAUUAAAUACUACAUCACAAGGCUAAGAGUAACACUUAUUUUACCUAUGAUGAAAUAAUACAGGCACAAGGUCCUAGUUGGACAGUUCCUUUAGGAAGAAGGGAUGGUUUAACUGCAAACCGGACACUUGCAAAUCAAAAUCUUCCGGCCCCAUUCAAUACCUUGGUUCAACUUAAAGCUGCAUUUACUGCCCAAGGCCUGAAUACUACUGAUCUAGUUGCACUCUCGGGUUUGUGCUCAUUUUAGCGAUGAUGUUGACGUUACAUAAAAUAAAAAUUAUAUAUAUGAUUAUUGAUUUAUAUAUGUUUCUCGUUUUCAGGUGCUCAUACGUUUGGAAGAGCUCAUUGCGCACAAUUUGUUGGUCGAUUGUACAACUUCAGCAGUACUGGAAGUCCGGAUCCAACUCUUAACACAACUUACUUACAACAAUUGCGCACAAUAUGUCCCAAUGGUGGACCUGGCACGAACCUUACCAAUUUCGAUCCAACGACUCCUGAUAAAUUUGACAAGAACUAUUACUCCAAUCUUCAAGUGAAAAAGGGCUUGCUCCAAAGUGAUCAAGAGUUGUUCUCAACAUCCGGUGCAGAUACCAUUAGCAUUGUCAACAAAUUCAGCACCGAUCAAAACGCUUUCUUUGAGAGCUUUAAGGCUGCAAUGAUUAAAAUGGGCAAUAUUGGUGUGCUAACAGGGACGAAAGGAGAGAUUAGAAAACAAUGCAACUUUGUUAACUCAAAUUCUGCAGAACUAGAUUUAGCCACUAUAGCCUCCAUAGUAGAAUCAUUAGAGGAUGGUAUUGCUAGUGUAAUAUAAAUAAAUUAGCGUCAAUGCACUUAUUGAAAUCUUGUGACUAGAUGCCACUAAUAAAUAAGUUAUAACUAGGCACAUUUCAUGUCACUUGAAAUCCUAUGCUUUGUAUAUGAAAGGACGUGUUCUUCUUGGUAUUAUACUAUAAUGAGACUUGUAUUAUGAGUCGUGUUUAUGAUCAAUGUCACGCUUUCUUGUUUGUGACAUGCUUUGCCAUAAUUUUAUGAGUCACUUACACUUAAGCACAUUAUUUGGUUCAUAGUAAAAAAAAAGUUAUAAGCAUAUUGUAACGAUCAUAUUUGACUGCUUUUACACGAUAACACCACUUCAAUUCAAUUUACCUAAGCAAGUAUGGAAAUUCAAUUUACCUAAGCAAGUAUGGAAACAAUUAAUUGGAGGGAGGUGACAAGUCACCGAAACAAGAGAUCAUAGCAAGAAAAAAGGCCGGCUCAAAGAUUUUUUUUGAAAGAUUUGUACAAAUAAUUUAUAGAAGUUGUGAAUAUAUAAUUAAUAAUGUUCUCAGUCGUGCUUCAGGUGCAAUUGUUUCAAGGUUCGCUUGGUUGGAGAAGUAUCGUUAGUUAGAACACCGUCGCUCAACGAUGUGCUGUUUUGCGGUGGUCGUCAUUUUGGUUUUGUUUGACUUUGGGGGUUGUUUUGGUUAUGAUUAUUGUUUUUGGAUGUUCCGCCUAUAUACGACAUCGUUGCUUUGUAAAUCUUAUUUCACUUGUCUUUGUUCCUCUUGAACAAGGAUUUCUUAUUAAUAAAUUUAGCCUUUUAAAAAAAAAGUUGUGAAUAUAAUUAAACUAAUAUAUUUUGCUUACUUUGAAAUACUCUUUGAUCACGUACUUUGAAAUAUUCUACUUUUGAGUUUAUAGACAUUCUUUCAUAAAGUAAAUUUAAUUCUUCUGCUAUAGUACUAUUAUUGUUUUCCUUGAGAAUUCAAAACUAUGCAAAUAUUGUCCUCGUUAAUUAAUUCUUCUACUCUUAUUGAAACCUGUUUAAUAAACUCAACUAAAUGUACAAAACAGGGAUGGAGUAGAAUUCUACAUUCAAUUCAAAUAAAUAUGAACCAGGGAUGUUCCCAUGUUGAACAUUUGACCUUUGAUAGCGCUUGCCCAAGGGAAGCGGCAAGGUACACAUUUCAUAGCAAUUUCUCUAAAUACGCUAUUAAAUGUCAUACAGUCUUUGAUAGUGAAAAUCUGAGAAGGCUUGCAAGCGCUAUUAAAAAUAUUUUUUGGCAUAAUACACAUUCAACCGAACAUAGAUCUCUACAUGAUAUUGAAAUUCUUUAUUAUAAAUUGGCAUGUUUGAAUCCAUCCUCUGAAGCAUGGGUACUCCAAACAUGGAGAAGUACUGAUAUCUGGUACGCGUAUGGUAUUCGUAACUUAGUACCAAACCGUACCUAUUUUUACUUAGUUGUUUCGUCGUUGUUGGUGCAGCAAAAACGUACGGACGGUUGAAAAAUAGCCAAAAUUAUUUUGCUUUUUUAUUGUAUUUUAAUUCUCUUGCUUUUGAUGAAAAUAUUAGAGGGGGUGCAUAAAAAAUGUAAAACUCUCAAGCAACAUGAUGAUAGAAGUGUAGUAAUUCACUUGAAUUAUUAUUAUUUUUUUUUUAUGUUUUAUACCAACGUAACCAUACCUUUAUUUUUUAAAAUUUGUCAUAUUACGUAUUGGAUACCCUACCCGUACCUAUGCAUCAUAGUAUAUCCAUCUUAUCAAUUGAACGAUACCAAAAGUUAAUUUACCCUUUUAAUAAUCAUAGUGACAAAAAGUUGCGAUUAUAUUUUCUAAUGAAUUAUUAUGAUUAAUAUUUGAUUUGCAUCGAGAGGAUCACAUAAAUUAUGUUUUAGAUUUGUGGAUCAAAUGAACUUUGCAUAUGUUCAAGAGAGCUAUGUGUAUGAGGUUUAAAUUUCAAACUCUACUACUAAUAAUUCCUGUCCUCAUGGAUUAAAUAAGUAAGGUUGAUCAAGAGAAUUUAUAGCCUAACAUACAUCAGGCACAUGUCAUACAAAUUUUUUGUAUAAAUUAAAUAGACAAGGUUAAUUAAUUAAGAUUUAUUUAGAAGCAUAUUUAACUAGAAAGGCGAGAUGAAAUUGAUGUUAUUCCAUACUAAUGCCUCGUUGCAUCACACGCUACGGGAAGGUAACCAGUGCGCAGAUUUUCUUGUCAAAUUAGGAGCCUCUUCGGACGUCACUCUUUCAGCUCACCCUCAUCCCCCUGAUGAUCUUCGCCCUUUGUUGAGGACAGAUGCCUUAGGAACUUUGUUCUUACGAAGAUAGUUUUUUCCCCUAGAGGGUUUAUCUCUUUCUUUUUUUCUGUUUUUUUAGCAUUGUAACCAAAAAAAAAAAAAAAAACUCUUAAGUCACUGAAAAAGUCUUUUAAACCUAUUCUAUAAAUAUUGUACUUUAUGUUAAAUCAAAAAUUUGCUAAUAUAGUUUGUAAUUAAUUAAGCAUCCUAGCUUUCAUCAAUUUUUAACAUAUUUAAGUGUCUUACUACAAAUUAACUUUAAAUAUGAUGUUACAUAAGUCAUGAUUAUCUAAAAAGUCAUGUUAUAGAUAUUAAAAUACAACUUAAUUUAAUUAAUUGGUCUAUUAGUUUGUGUCUAUUUUUGUAAGUAUGAAAUAAAUCUUUAAUUGCACUAAAAAUAAAAUUUAUGACAAGUAACGAGUUAAACUUAUAUCUUAAAUUCUUUUUUUAUCAUAAUAGAUUUCUUGAUUACCUUUGAAAAAUGGUGGUAAUUUACCUACCAACCAAUGAAAAUGAGCAAUUUGUUGGUGGGGUCAAGAUAGUUCAUGGAUGCCACUUAAAAAUGUGUUUAUGUGGCUAUUGUGUAUUGGAUGGGGUAAAUUACCCACCAUUCUUCUAUGGGUACCCUAGUUGUCACCCUUGAAAAAAUUGUAUAAUGGAGUCAAAGAUAUGUUUCGUGUGGAGACACAACUUGAGAUCUCAUAUUUUCGGAUUGACAAACAAAUUAACAACCAUCAUAGAAUUAAUAGUAAAGUCAAACAAAACAUAGCUUGUUAAAAAAUAUCAAAGUUUCUUUUUCGUUAAAUUCAAAGCUUAGGACAGGGCAGCAGAUUAAAUUUUAGACUAAUGAAUUGUGGGAUAUAUCACUAAUCAUUCACUAAAGCAAUAAAAAGUCCAAAGGUUUAGAUUUGAUCUAGCUAACUUAAAGUUUGAAUAAUGUAACAAAUUAUUAUGUCAUGCACGUGGUUAACACAUAUAUAGAUAUUAUUAACAAAUGAAGUUUAGCUGUCCAAGUUUAGGUAUAUGCAUGCAUAAAUAAUUUUUUAAUAGGUCGAUUAGCUGCCCUGUCUUCAUGCAAAAUUUCAUCCACAAGCUAACUCGGGGGAGACAAACAAAGAAGACCGACAAAAGUAGGUUUAAUUUCAUCUCGAAGAUCUCGAGCAUAAGAUUCUUGUUUCCUUGUAGGUAUAUAUCCCUCCGUUUUUAAAUAUAAACAAAAAUCAUUUUUUAGGUUCAUUCAUUUAAUAAUGUAUGUGGUUCAUAAUAUGAAAGUUCAUAAUAUGAACCACAUACAUCAUCAAAUGAAUGAACCUAAAAAGUAAUUUUUACUUAUAUUUAAAAAUGGAGGGAGUAAUAAAUUUUCUUUUUUUAGCAGCCUUCCAAAUAUAUAAGUUAUGCCCAAGGGUAUUUAUAGUAUUGUAAAUUAACAUUAUGCUUUAUUGAAGUUUUUUAAAACAAAAAUAAAUAAAUUUCCAGAAAACAUAUUAUUUAUUUCCGGAAACUUAAUUCAAUUGUUAAGGAUAUGAAUAUUGCAUAUUAUAUAUAAGGGUUGAGAUUCGAACUUCGGAUACCACAUUAUUUAAUAAAAAAAAAAAAACGCAUAUUCUUUUUUAUGUUAACCUUCUCUUGGUAUUCUAAUUUUCUUUGACCGAAGAUUCUUUGAGUUAGAAUUUAAAGUUGAGUUUUUUGAACGAUUUAUUGCUGUUAUUGAACUUAAAAGUUAGUCAAGUGAUUGGCAAAUAAUUCUUGAUUGUGAUUUUCUUUGAGCAUCAAACAUUUACAUUUUCCAUUUAUUAACAACUCCAUGUGUUAAGUAUGAAGUUGAGUAUUUUGUGAGCUAUUAUACUAAGAAUUGCAUAAGUAAAAAAGUAAAGUAGAAAAACAAACGACAAAUUUGCAAAAAAAAAAUAAAAAAUAUCUUGAGUUGAAUGAUAUUUAUAGAAAAAAACUAGUCAUGUUGGCCAGUACAUUUUAGCCUAAAAAAUCUAGCCUUGUUCGACUAUUUAUGCGGAUAAUACAUGAAUCUUCAUGUUGUUGUAUGUAUGUGGCACUCUAGGUCUAGCCUGUUUUCCCCAUCUUGCGUCGUUUUCUAUUUUUCCUUAUCAAUGCAUGCUACAUUGCUUCAAAAUGUGCCAUUGUGAACAUAGUUCCUUCAGUUAGCGACAUUAUAAACAUGGGGCACGAGCAAAACAUAGAAUUGACAAGUUCCACAUGUCUUUCAUUGCUUCUAACACUCCCACGACCUGCGUGAACCGUAUUGGACUUAAGAAAGAUUCUCCAAUCUCGAAUUCAUCUUUAUUAGAUUCGGUUAUCUUUCAUUCGACUAUAUUGGGGAUUCAUAUGACCCUUAAUUCAACUGUUUUCCAUUCUCAACUAGCCACUUAAUUAUUUUUAGGUGUAAACAAAUGUUCACAACCAAUUUCAGGCAUGUCCUACCGGUUUCUCUCCUAACUAAGGAUGCAUUUCGUUGAUGACCAUGGAUGCCGACUCCGUUUCAAAGAAUUUGACAUAAUGUUUUCGUGCCUUUUUAUGAACCUUUUGGAAUAACAGUUAUUCCAACUGCUUCAGGUGUCAUCUUAACCAUAUGUUCAUGUCCAAAAUGAUGGUUAGUAUGAUUUAACGUAUCAUUCGUUAUUGGUUUCAUGUAGGGUAAACUGUGACAAAAGUACUAAGAUAGGAAUUUAUGGGAAUGAAAGAUGUCUACUAUAUAGAAUUUUGUUAACCUGCUAAUGAUCCACCAUAAUCAUGACCUACGAAGGAUUUGAAGUUUAUAGUCAGUCUAUGUUUUUGAGAUUUCCUCUAGAAUGCAAGUGCAUGCGUCAAAUUUAAUCAUGACCUGGAAAAUAGUUUUUUUUUUUUUUUUUUGUGAUAUUGGUCAUAAUGUCCCACUAGACGUGUGAAAUAUUUAAUCAUGACCUAUCAAUUGUGAUUCCCUUUGCGCAUCAAACAAAUUACAUGGAGGAAAAAAUUGAUGUGCUUCAACUAUGGGUUCUUUAACUCCUAAAAAGUGAAGGAGAAAUGUUAAUGCUAAAUUUGCGAAAAAUAGUUUGGUUUUGAUUAUUUUUUUGUUAAAUAAAAUCUACGAAUGCGGUAUUUAUGGAAAAAAUUAGUUCAACUGGCCAAUACAUUGUAGCCUAAAGAGUCGAGACUUGUUCAACUAAUUUUGCAAGUAAUGGGUAAAUCUUCCAUUUGUUGGGUGUACAUGGCAUCCCACUUCUAGCAUGUUUCCCCCCAUCUCACAACAUUUCAUCGGUGAUGAUGGUUGUUUCUGUUAAUGGUGAUAUAAUUAUGGAACACUAUUGAAAAUGUUAAAUUGUCAAGUUUCAUGUACAUUUGACUACUUCUGAUACUCCCUAAGACCUACAUGAAGUUUAGUGGAUUUGAGAAAGAUUCGCCUAUCUCAUAUUCUUUGAAUUAAACUCCAACUCGUGACGCCGACAAACCCUUUAUUGAUAAUACUCAUUAACAACAUCAGAGUCAAUACAAACCUCCACAAGCUUAAAAUAUCUGUCAUAAACCAAUUGAACUAGGGACGAACCCACCCUUAUGGGUAGUGUGGGUUAUGGCCUACACUUAGUUUUAAAAAUCAUUUUUUUAGUAUUUAAUACACUAAAAAAAAAACAAAUUAUAUGACAAAGACAAAGACAUAUGCCUCCACUAUGUUUGGAUUUUUUUUUUAAAUAUUUGAGUUCUUUUGUUGAGAAAGUGCAAGAUAUUUGUCAUAAUAAUAGUCUUAAAAUUUAUCAAAAUUACGAAAAUACGCACUUUUUUUUUUUUUUUACAAAAACAAACUUAAAAGUAUCUUUUAUUGAUCACUUUGAUCUUUAGAUAUGACUUUUAUUAAUUAUUUAACUAUUUAGUACUCAAAUGUAUUUUUUGUUAGUAAGUUGGCUUAAAUAUGUAUUUGAUCUUUGCAAUUAAAGGUCGUUUAAAAAUUGGUCCCUGUAUUCGCUAAUCCUUGCAAACUAGUCUUGCAAUCAUUAAUCAUUUAAAAUUUAGUCCUUUGACCAACUUAAUCACUGCCACGUCACUAAUUUGAUGACGUGGCAAUCACUGUCAAACAUGAAAUUUCAAUUUUGCCCUUAAGAAGAGGACAAAAUAUUGAAGAAAGAAUUGGAAACUCAGGGGUAAAAUUGGAAUUUCGUGUGGCAUGGCAGUGAUUAAGUGGGGAGAGGGACGAAAUUUUAAAUGAUUAAACAAUGCAGAGGUAAAUUGCCAGGAUUAGCGAUUACAGGGACCAAUUUUUAAACGACCCCUAAUUGCAAGGAUCAAAUACAUAUUUAAGCCUAGUAAGUUUUAUUAAAUUCAAAUAUUGUAGUCACAACUCAUCAUUCAUUUAGAGAUUAAAACGAUUAUUUUUAAACUUUGUAGUAUCAUACAUGUGACAACAAUAGGAGUUAUAGCCCUUUGAGGAUUUUUGUACAACUUUUGUUUAUGUUGUGUCGUUGAUGGUGUUAGCUUUGUUUUGGUAUUUCUAUUUAUUGAUUUUGGAUAUAGCCCUUUGUUAGGAGGUGUUUUCUAUAAGUUUUUUUUUUUUUUUUUUAUUCACGGGUGUAUGAGUUUUUCAUUGGAUCUUCUCAUCUAUCCUUUAUAUGUUACUACUUUAAGACUCCUAACCUAGCACUCCCUGUACUGGUUAAGAUUCAUCGCGAUGUUAAUAAAUUCCAUUUUAGUUUUUUUUAAAAGAAAAAAAAUACAUGUGACAACAAUAGGAGUUAUAUAGCUCUAUAGUAAUACACCCGAUAAUUCAGCUGUAUAUGAACCUGUAGUUUAAAUUUGUUUAUUAGCUUAGUAAAAAAAUUAUUUUGCGAAAAUUUCUGUGAGUUUUCUAUGAUAACAUGCAGCGAUUGUUAACAUCGAUCUACGCAAUCUUUCACAUUUGAUUAUUUCUCUGUACUGUAUCAUUUCUGUUUUUUAUAAGUCAAUUUAAUUUAUUAAAAUUAUUUGAAAACUAUAACCUUGAGUGCAAGUGAGGAACUAUGCAAGUUGUCCCAAUAACAGAAAUCGAUCAUAGUCCAAUUAAAAUACCGCAAAAUUCAAAUUUGAUGUACUAAUAAUUGUGGCAUACUUUUAAAGACAUAAUUAAAUAUAAAAAUAAUAGAGUGGUGAUAUUUGAACAACUAUUUGAUACAACUUUUGUGACAACUUCUUUUUUCUCUCUUUUCAUUGGUUAAAAACAAUGGAGAGAGAAAAAUAAAGAGAGAGAAUAAGAGUAUAAUAUGAAUAUGAAAGAUAAAGUUGUCACAAAAUUGUAAAAAAGGAUUGUACAAAUAUCAUUUCUCAAACAAAAAAUAUCAGAGAUGUUGAAUUCCUCAUAGUUCGUGGGAUUUGCAAAACCUAACUAAUAUUCAAAUCUGUCAUUGGGUAAAACAAAAGAAGGAAAAUGAAACAUGAAUUAUAUAUGUCACAUAUUAUAUAUGUGGGGAAAAUGCUUUUGAGAAAGCAUAUGGUGAUGUGAGACUUUAACAAUUUAUAUAUAUCCCCUUUAGGGUUAGGGGUAAGGUAAACACCAAAAUCUUUGUUUUUAGUCUUAAAAAGGAUGAAAAAUUGAAAAAAACAGUGAUUUAAAGAACGACCUAAAGCAAGUCAAUGACCAAAAUAAAUACGUGUGAGGUACUCCAUAAACAAUGUACCGGAUUUCUUGUUUUUGCUUUUCUGACAUUGAUGUUCCACGUCAUAACGUGCAACAUUUAUUUAUUGAAAAGGAUCCACAACUUGUUGACAAAAGCAUGGUAGUAUGGGGACAGCAUUAGUUUUCUAACGCAACCUUAUCUGAAAUAAGAAAUGAUAUUUCUAAAUUGUUUGCUCAAAAACGGUGGUGGUGGUUUAUGAUCAAUUUUUAACUAAAAUUAUCAUUUUGAAAUAUUUUUUCUCUUUUAUUUAAAUAAGUGAUUUUUAUAUUUAUUUAAUUUUUCUUUUGAGAUUUUCUCAUCUUAGUACGAUAGUGUUUUGUUCGUGGUCUAUAUACAAUAUUGUUUGUUUUUUCGUUUUGUUAAGAUGUUUAUUUAAUUCAGAUUGUCAUAUCAACUUUGAUCAAGAACAUAUCCCUAUAAGACAAGGUGCAAAAAUGAAGGUCUUCUACACGAAGACGAUGAACAUGAUCUUUAAAAUGGGACGCGAGCCAUGAUGAACUUUGGGGUCUUCCACACUAGGACAAUUAUAGAGCUUAUAUGUAAAUCUUCUUUUAUUCAAGGUUAUAUAUGUAAAUCUCUUCGAUACAUUAUACAUUGAGUACAAUGUAAUAUUUUGAAUAUGUUAGUUUUUUUUUUGUCAAGAAUAUGGUAGUUUUAUAUGCAUGAUUAAUUAUUAUUAUUAGGUUUAAAUGCAGUUUUAUCUCCCCUCCCUUAUUUUGACUCAAACUGGAUUUUACCCCUCCUAUUUUAAAACUCGGAAUUUCACCCCCCCUUCCCCCCAGUUUAAUGUUUUUCAGAAUUGUGCCCCCCUAUUUUAAAAAUCGGAAUUUUACCCCUCCAGUUUAAUAUUUUUCAGAAUUUGGUUGAUGUGGCGGUGCUAACGUGGCUUAAAUAAUAUUAAAAAAACACUCACCUAUUUAAAUUAUUUAUAUUAAAUAUUCUGAAUUAAAAAAAAGAGAAAAAAUCAAUAAAUAAAAAAUGUAUUGCUUGUUCAAAAAAAAAAAUGUAACUUAAAAUAAUAAUAAUAAUAACAACUUUUCUUAUAUUUCCUUCAAAAAAUCAUUUUGCUUAUAUGCACACACCAAAAUCCAAAAUCCAAAAAAUACCAUAAAAUGCAUAAAAUAAUGAAAAAAAAAAGCAGGAAUUAUUAAACCAAAAAUUAUAAAACUAGAAGGAGAAAAAGCAGUAAAAAUACUAGAAAAUGGAGAUAAAAGGUAGGAAAAAAAAUCAGAAUAACAGAAAAAAAUCCCAUUAAAAAUACAUGAAAGGAAAUGUAAGCAAAUUGAUGUUUUGGAUUUUGGUGUGUGCGUAAAUCAGAAUAAACAACAACAAAAAUCCCAUUAAAAAUACAUGGAAAGAAAUACAAGCAAAAUGAUUUUUUGGUUUUUGGUGUGUGCAUAUAAGCAAAAUGAUUUUUUGAAGGAAAUAAAAGCAAAAUGGUUAUUAAUAUUAUUAUUAUUAUUAUUUUAAGUUACAUUUUUUAUUUAUUGAUUUUUUUUCUCUUUUUUUAAUUCAGAAUAUUUAAUACAAAUAAUUUAAAUAGGUGGAUGCUUUUUUUUUAAUAUUAUUUAAGCCACGUCAGCACCGCCAAAUUCUGAAAAAUAUUAAACCGGGGGGAAUUCCGAUUUUUAAAAUAGAGGGGGCAAAACUCCGUAAAACAUUAAACUGUGGGGGGGGUGAAAUUCCGAGUUUUAAAAUAGGAGGUAAAAUCCAGUUUGAGUCAAAAUAGGAGGGGCAAAACUGCACUUAAGCCUUAUUAUUAUUAUUAUUAUUAUCAUCAUCGUCACUGUUGUUGUUGUUGUUGUUAUAGUUUUAUAUUUUGCACCCCGGCCUAGGGUCAUAAAUACGUCACUGCCACCAACAGCAAUCUCGACCCGCUCUCUUUUUUCUCCCUCAACACCCUUCUUUCCAACCUCCUUCUUCCCACUCGUAACAUCCCCUCCGUCUCCAUCUCCUUAGAAUUCUCAAAGUAAUCAUACCUUGCAACCUUAGCAAAGACCCAAUAAUUACCAAAACAAACAUUAUUCAAUGUUUUAAAAAGUUUUCCAACAUCAAGUACAUUGUUGAAGCGAACAAAACCAUAUGCAUGACCAUUCACGUUACACUUAUUUGCCAAGUAAACAUCUUUCAAAAUUUCACAAACAUCAAAACUUUGCCGUAAACAAAAAUAGGGAAUUUUCUCCAGCACGUUUGUAAGAUAAAAAGAAAAAAAAACCUCUUGAAUUGUGACCCCACAUGAUCGGACCUAUUAUGUUGUAGAUGACGAAUAUCAAAAUUAGAACCAGCCCCUAACCAUGCUGAAACUUGAUGCGAGCCAUGUUGAGUGUAUCGCGACCUUGAAUGCACAAUACUUUGAUCCUGAAAAACCCUAGCCCUAACCUGUUAAAACCGAUGCACACCAAUACCUCCUUGCCGCGAUGUUGCCUGUUAUCUGUCCUGGCCAAUAUGACCCCAUCCAAACAUUUUUCGACGUCGCCGACUCACCUCUGUUCAUUUCCCUCAAUCCCCCCGAAGAACCUUAGUGUCGGCGAUAUGAAAUGUCGACGCGAUUGCCCUCGGCGAAUCCUAGGGUAAUCGCCCCUCUCAACAUUUUUCAUAUUUGCUAAUAGAGAAGAGUUAUUUGAACAACCAUUUGCUUGAUAACUUAUGUAACAACCAUAAUUUACAAAGAAAAAAAUAGGUAUUUGCACAAAAACCAAAAUAAUAAAAAGAUAAAAUAAAAAUUAAUGUGAAUAUAAAAGAGAAAAUUGACACAAAAGUUAUCACAAAAUAAAUGUUCAAAUAUCAUUUCCCUUCCUAAUAACUCCAAAUGCUAAAUAUGGUCUGAAGCCAACAAAUAUGGUGGCAUCUAAUGAAAUGACAUCACAAGUUGACAACCAAUAAAAUACUUGGGUACAUAUGACUCUUGCAUGCUUUUUAUUUUAUGCGAUUUCCCUGUUUCCUUUUGAUAGGUUCUGGGCAAUUUCCUGAGCUAGUACAUUGGUGGAGAAAUAAAACAAAUAUGGUAUGGUACAAUUGGAGAAAUAAAUUUUAUAUGGACCUCCCAAAAUAAUUUUGUCAUCGUUAUCGAAGACAUAAAUAUUGGUCCCCAUCGCUCACGUGUUAUUUGUUUGACUCUUGAUAAUCACGGGUUAAUCAUUAAUUCAUUCAUACACUUUUUUUUUUACAGAAUACAUUCAUAACUUUUUUUUAGGGGUAAAAUUCAUUCAUAAACAUUGUACCAAAAAAAAAAAAUAUAUCAUUCAUUCAUAAACAUAAUAGUUUCUGAUAUUAUUCUCUCAAAAAAAGUUUCUGAUAUUAUUGUUGUUCAGCCGAGGGGUUUGGUGGCGGUGCCAAUAAGUAUGAUUGUACUGCUGGGUGUGCUGAUCUUAUUAGGGAUCAGAAGAUGAGUGAUUAGGGGAUUCUUUGGAUUUUUGGAGAAAUACAUUCGAUAAUUUAAUUGUGACACAUAAAUCAAUUAAAAUAUUUUUUUCUCUCUCUUUUGCAUGUUUUUAUGCUUAAAAAAAAUUGUAUUGUCACAUAUCAUAUUUGAAUUUGCCAAUAUCAUAUAUAUUAUGUUACACAACACAAAUGCAAUCCACCUGUGACUCUGUGAGGGAGUAGUAUAGAAGGUCUUUGUUGGUAUGCAAAGUGGUUGGGUUUUAAUCUAGCAAAUUAUAUGUGGAUUCUUAGGUUGUGGUGAAUAGUAGUAUUAUUAUUAUUAUGAAGGGGCAGCAGUAGAAUGUGAUUGUAAUGUGUCUUGUUCAAAGGAUUUGACAACUCUUACUGGAUGGAGUGAAAGGUGAAGGAUCAACAUUUAUAUCUUGAGGACAUGUGUGUUGAUCUUUAACUAAUACUACUCGUCUUUGUAUACAAGUUUUCUACGUCAUUUUUACAUUUAUUAAGAAAAGUUGUUAAUGUAAUUUUUAUGUUUAUUUUAUGUGUUAAUAUUAUUAAGUUAUUUUUGGUUUAUAUGUAUAUUAAAUUUGAUUUUUUUUUUUCAUAUUUUAAGAGAAGUUAGUAGUAUUUUUUUGAAAAAAAGACACGUCAGUGGUAUUAAUUAGUUAUAUGUUUAAAAAAAAAAAAAAUCAUCUAAUAAUUUGUAUAAACAAUUAUAUUUAGGGACAAUACAUUUUAUCAAAAUCCUUAUAAUUAUGGACGGAGUAAAUAUUAGGUAAAAUGAGAUAUGAGAUGAUGUUUUAUGAAUCUUGUCCGACACAAAUUAGUCAUUUGUUUGCUGCUGAUCAAUCAAGAUUUUCUUUACCACGUUGGGUUAAGAUAUAAUUUCUUCAUGUUAGUAAAAAAAAACAUUAAUUUCCGUGAGCUUAGUUUAGUUGGUAAGUAAAGACAAUGCAUAAUAUAUGCAAGGUCUGUUCGAUCUCUGAACACCACAAAAUAAGAGUAAAAAAGGAUUAAUAUUUUUUAGAAAUUUAAAUUUUUUUUUUAUUAAUUUAUAGAGCUUUGUUUGUACCAAUUAUUUGUGUGCACAUAUAUAUAGGAGAGAUAUUGACUCCAAGAAUAAGUUUAUAGAUUUACUCUAAAUCUCCACCUUUCAUCUCAUUUUAAUCUAAUGGUUUAAAUGUUAAUUUUUGAAGGAGAAGUGAUUUUCUUCUUCUUCCCGGUUCAAAAGCAUAUCAAAUUAUGAUUUUUUUUCGAAGGCAAACUCAAUUAUGACAAAAAUAUCUUCAAAUAUGUCAAAAAAUUGAAAUUUACUACUUUACAUAAAGUGAUCAUAUUUUAAUUUCUCAAUGACAUGUAUGGAAAAACAACAAAUUUAACCUUAAACUACUAAAAGAAAGGAGCUUACUAUUCUCCAAAAGUUGAGGAUGAAAGUUUUGUUUACCACGAGAAAUCAUGUCAUUUUUUUCCUUUCAAAUCACCCAAGAACUAGCAAAUCAACUCAAUAACAUGAAAGAGCUCAUUGAUUUUGCAUAACCUGAAGAGCCACCAAAUUAUAAAAAUGAUCCGCAAUAAUAGAUGAAUUCGCUGAAUGAACUCCUAGCUAGCCAAUUGCAAACAAGUUGCCAAAUUGUACUAAAAAACUACAAUCCAAAAAUAAACGAUUCUAUGUUUCCAACAAUCCACAGCCACACAACUGAGACUCAUGUGAUACAAUUCCUCUUCAGAAUAAAUUCACCUUAGUUGAUAAUCUAUUCAGAAGAAAUCGUCAAGCAAACACCGACACCUUCAACGGGACAUCCCGCCGCCACAAGAGAUCCGAGGAAAUGAAGUCAUCAGUGGGAAUCCUAUUAGUGAGAAUGUGAUAUGCACCACAGACAUAAUACCCAUCAGUUGGAUCAAGGACCCAAGAAUAUCCAGAUUUUUGGCGAGAGAUUAAAACGGAUGGGAUUAAUACAAUGGUGCAAUGUGAAUGGAAGAAGUCUUCUUUAAUAGAUUCGACAACUUUUACAAACGGGAAUGAGAAGUGAAGGUUGGACAUUUGUGUUGUGAAUACUCCAUAAAACAUAAACAUUUGCAUUGAAUAUAACAUGGGUAUUGAUGCUUUAGCUAAUAUUAAGGGUAUAACGGAGUAAGAGAUAAUUUUUAAGUCUUAUCCGAUUUAAAUUAGUCAUUUGUUAGUUGCCGAUCAAGGAAGUGUUUCUUUUCAUGUGUUUGGUUAAAAUUAAUUUCUCUUCUCUUGGGCUACUGCCCUCGUGUGAGUAAAGAAACGUGAAUAUUUUUUCUUCUUCUUCCCGGUUCAAAAUCAUACCAAUUUAUGAUUACUUUGAAGGCAGAGUCAAUUAUGACACAAUCUUCAAACAUGUAAAAAAAUUGUAAUUUACAUCUUUACAUUCAAGACGUGGAAAAAAUAAAAAAGUGGCCAUAUUUUAAUUAUUCAAUGACGUAUAAAUUCUAAUACAUACCUGCUCACGAUAUGACAGCGAUUUGUACAUUUUUUUUCUCUAUAGUUAGAUCAUCAUGAUUGAAAAAUUGAAUAUUAUUGAUUUGAACCACUAAAGCACAAAAUGAAAUGCAGCAUGCACAUGCCAUUUCUUUCUAUAAAUAAAUAGAUCGCAUAUGUGGUAACCACACUUAAGUCUAAGCUCAAAACAAGAGAAAAAUAAUGAACUCUUUCAAUCUCUCUUUGGCAGCUUUGUGCUGUGUAGUAGUUGUGCUUGGAGGGUUACCCUUCUCAUCAAAUGCACAACUUGAUAAUUCCUUCUAUAGGGACACUUGUCCUAAUGUUCAUUCCAUUGUUCGUGAAGUACUAAGAAAUGUUUCUAAGACAGAUCCUCGUAUACUUGCUAGUUUGAUAAGGCUUCACUUCCAUGAUUGCUUUGUUCAAGUAAGUAUUAUUCAUCAUUUUUAAAACUCGGUAUCUGAUCAAGGACCGACUGAUCCGUAAAACAUUUUUGGUAUUUGUAGCUCAUAUAUUUUAUAUCUAUGUUUAUGAAAGGGUUGUGAUGCAUCAAUCUUGUUGAAUACCACUUCUACGAUCACAAGUGAGCAAACAGCUUUUGGAAAUAACAACUCAAUAAGAGGUUUAGAUGUUGUGAAUCAAAUCAAAACAGCAGUGGAAAAUGCUUGUCCUAACACUGUUUCUUGUGCUGAUAUUCUUGCUCUUGCUGCUGAAAUUUCCUCUGUUCUGGUAUGUUCCAUAUCUUCUUUGUUCCAUUUCCAUUUUUUCUAGUUCUAGUUUGCAAAAACAACAACACUGUAAUAAAAAAGCAGUCAAAGAUGAGUUGAGAAUCCUUGCCAUAAAAAAAAGUUAUGUUGGAAGAACUAUUUUCUUCUUUGUUUUUAACAUGAAAGUGACAUAAAAAAAGGAAAAAAAAAAGUAUUAAAGUGUCAUACUACAAACACAAAAUUAUUUGUCGGUUUUUCCUCACGGAAAAUUAUUUGUACAAUUUAAUUGUUAUUCUUUCGAUCUCAUAAUGAGUUUCUUAGAUUUUUUAUUGUUUAUUUUCAAACACCUAGGAACAAACUUCUUAAUCCAUUUCAUAAUGAGAUGUUUUAAAAAAAAUAAAAAAUUGUUUUAAAAUAAUACCACUUUACAUUUUUGAUAUAAUUUUUUUUCCAACUUUACCAUUAAUAAAUACUUCAAUUUUUCUCUUUCUCACUAUUUCCAAUGUAACUUUAAGUUUGUCUUUUUCGCAUAAAGUUAGGAUAAUUUAGUAAAAGUGUUAUGUCUAUUGAUUAUUUUAUUCAAUUUCUUAAUUUGUGCGUCAAAACCUUAAAUGACACUCGUUGUAAAACUGAGUGAGUAUAUAAAAGAAAAUGAAUAAAAUUAUACUAAAUUAUGUUAGUAAGCAUUGGUGCAAAUUUUUUCUUACAAGGUUGACAUUUUUUUUUUCAUUAAAUAUUUUCUUUGUGAAGAAUUUUUAACAUGUGUCUUAAGGGCACAUGGACUUAACAUGACCCUUAUCAUAAAUGCAAAUAAAAAAUAAUACUAAUAAUUUAUAAGCAAUACAUAAUUAGAGGGUAUAAUUAAAAAAUAAUAAUAAUUUAAUUUACAAUAAGAAUUAAAAAUAACAUUCAUUUUAGGUUAGUUGUUUACAAAUGUAAACUUUAUUUUAUCUUUCCUUUCUUUUACUCUUUAUUUAGCUCAAUCCUCAUUUAUUCUAGUAACAUAAUUUGCAGGCUAAUGGUCCUGAUUGGAAAGUGCCAUUAGGAAGAAGAGAUAGUUUAACAGCAAAUCUAACCCUUGCUAAUAUAAAUCUUCCAAGUCCAGCUUUCAACCUUACUCAACUGAAAUCUAACUUUGAUAAUCAAGGUCUCGACGCUACAGAUCUAGUUGCACUUUCAGGUAUAGAAAUGUUUCCUAAAUUAGAGAAAUUAUUAUUAAUACACCAUUUUACAAAUGAGAUUUGAACUCGGUUCGUUAAGGGUGAUAUACCUCAUGAUGUAUGUAUAUGUGUGUAUCUAAUUGUAUAUAUGUUUUGGUAAAUUUUUAGGUGCUCAUACAAUCGGUAGAGGUCAAUGCAGAUUCUUCGUUGAUCGAUUAUACAAUUUCAGCAAUACUGGAAAUCCCGAUCCAACUCUCAACACAACCUACUUACAAACAUUGAGAACUAUAUGUCCCAAUGGUGGACCUGGUAGCACCCUAACCGAUCUGGACCCAGCCACUCCAGAUACAUUCGACUCGGCCUACUACUCAAACCUAAGGAUUCAAAAAGGCUUGUUUCAGAGUGACCAAGUAUUGUCUUCCACAAGUGGCGCGGACACGAUUGCCAUUGUCAACAGUUUCAACAACAACCAAACUCUUUUCUUUGAAGCUUUUAAGGCCUCGAUGAUUAAAAUGAGUAGAAUUAAAGUGUUAACUGGAUCUCAAGGUGAAAUUAGAAAACAAUGUAACUUUGUUAAUGGAAAUUCUGGCCUUGCCACAAAAGUCACAAGAGAGUCGUCAGAGGAUGGUAUUGUUAGCUCAUACUAAGUAAUUUAAUACAAGUUGCAUAAGAAAGGUACCUAAUAAAGAGUGUGUUCUAGAGGCACAUACAUGUUGUGCUCUUGUGGUGGAUGGCGAUAGGUUUCUACUUUGUAAACUAUGGCCAUUGAUGUAGUGUUUGUAUUAACUAUUUUCCUCUAUUAUGAUAAUUAUGUUUCUUAUAUUAUUGAUAAUGAUGAUGAGAUAUGGUAGGGAUAUUGAAGUAUUUAGGCUUAAAUGCAAUUUUAGUUUCGUAAGUUACUUUAUCAAUUGUGCCAUUUUAUCUCGCCAAAUUUUAAUUUUGCAAAUUUAACCCUUAAGUUUAUCUCAUUUAUGAUUUACUAACCCAAGAACUCAUUGCUCACAUUCCUUGACAAGAUUCUCACUGCUACCCUCAAUCAUUGUAUUUAAUAUGAAUAUUUUAUCUUUUUCAAUAAAAUUCUACACACAAUUUUACAGAUUACUAAUGAUUUACUUUAAAAAUAAAAAGAUGACUAAUGAUUUUCUUAUGAAAUAUCUUUUACGGGAGCGGUGUUUGGAGCACUUUCUCUCCUGAGUGAGAAAGAAUCCCUCCAACCAAAUCCUAGGCUUCAAAUGGGGGUUUUUAAAAUAUAAAAAGAAAAGAGAGAAGAAUCGUAAUGGUUGUGAUUAUAAUUUGAGAAAAGACAAGUGAAGUACAAUUGAGACGAUCCAUUUCCGUCUUUAUUUUUAUUUAUUUUUAAAGACAACUGUCGUGAUUAUUUUAUUUUUUUUAAUCCAUUCCCCUCGGGUAACUAUUGUAAAAAAAAAAAAAAAAAAAUAAUAAUAAAAAAAAAUAAAUUAAUAAAAAGAAAGCUCAACCAAAGAUUAUGCAAGUCGUUUACCACAAAAUAUACAAAUUGGCGCCACAUUGUUUGCAAUAUCAUGCAAACAUUCAUGAUAUUAAACAUCAUGUAAUAAAUAAUUUUUAACGGUAAAUGUGACUUUAUUUAAAAACAAUGACAAAUUUUUUUGAUAUAAAACAUUUGAAUAGUCAUUGUUUGAAGAAGGACUUUAGAGGAACUAAAAACGAAAUAUGAUAUAUUUAUAUAAGCGAAAAACUUAUUUAACUCUAUUAAAAAUAAGAAAUGUAUAUAGUCAAUUUAUGGUCCCGUGUUUGUUAAAAAACACUCAAAAGGUUAUUUUUUAAAUUUGUUUUGAAAUUGCAUUUUAAUAUCUCUUUUCAAUUGUAAGGUUAUCUUUUCAAUGUUAACCUUUUUUUUUUUAAGAAAAUCCAAAACAAAUAUUUAAACGAAAUUUCAACAGUCACACAAAGGUAGUUAGAUGUAUUUUAAUUUAAUCAUCAAAAAAAAAUUAAUUUCCCUAAAAAAAAAAAUAUUUAUUCUUAGUUUUCCUUUAAAAAACUUAAAUAAUAUUUAACUAAUUUUUUGAACAAAAACGGAACUGAACCAUGACUUAACCAUAGUCACUCUCAUAAAAUACAGCAUUGAAUAUGAGCCAGUGAUACGAAUGGGGGAGAGAGAUGACAAUUUGCUAGGCAGGAGAAGUAUAUAGGUUUAGGUAAGUAAAGAACUUAAAAACCAGGUUCUAGAUACUCUUUAUUAUAUUCCAAAAGAACUUAAAAAAAAUAUUAUAUUCCAAAAAAAGUUAUUCAAAAGUUGACAUGAACUGCAUAUCGAACAUUUCAACGUAUAAUUAGAUCCUAACGUCUCUUAUAAAGGUAUGCAAAGAAAAAGGAAAAGGAGAAAGAACCUGCAGAUAAGCAAGACCAAAAAAACUAAGGCUAACACGUUUCUUUAUAAGAAAAAAUCAUUGACAUAGAGUAUAUAUAAGGUUUAUGUAAAUAAUUAGAUUAAUUUGUGGAAAAAAUCCAAAAUUUAUAAUUCUUCAUAGGCAAAUGAAAUAUCGAACCCUGUAAUUUGUUUAGGAGAUUUAAAUCUCUUGUCAUUUCGACUAAUUCAUUGUUGUCCAUUUAUUUAGUAUAAGGAAUAGUUAUUUUCUAUUUUUAUUCUAUGAGAAUUGAUAUUUCUACAAUCAUUUUUAAACAACUUUUGGAACAAUCAUUUUUUUUUUUCUGACCAAAACAAUAGAAAAGGUGAGAAUACAUUGUGCAUUGUUAUUACCCAUGGUUGUACUACAAUAACUUCAUAUCAAUUCUAAAAUCAAUAAUCACAAUUCUUUUACUUGUUACUCUCACUGUGAGAUCUUGGCAUACUUUUUCCCGUCAUGAAAUUGAAAAUAAUACACAUAUAGAAUAGGUAUAUUCAAGGACACAAACGUGAACAAAAUGAGUCCUUAUUAGUUUAACGAAUUUAUAUAUCAUGUCUAUGAAAUAGUAUACGUAAUAUAGCCUAGGCACCGGCCUUAAACCAUACACGUACGGUGAUCACCAAAUCUAAGAAAAUCUAAGAGACCCAAAAUUCUAAAUCAUUGAAUAUAACCACAGACAUUUUGAAUGUGAAUCAUAACAAUAUAUGAGGUUGUACAAUGUACAUAUGAAGUUGGUAAUGACUAAUGAGUGUAUGACUAAGUUUUUAAUUGAAAAGUAAACACUGCCUAAUUUUUAUUUUUAUUUUUUAUAGCAGCAGCCCUAGCUUUUUAUCGUGUUCUUUAUUCUUGUUCUUGAAUAAAAGAGGUAAUAGUUAAGGAUAAAUUAAAGGGAAAUUCUUUAGCAUCCAGUUGGUAUGGACAAUGCAUAAUAUAUGCAAGAUCUGGGGUUCAAACUCCGGCCACCACAAAAAGAAUUUAUAUUACCUAUCUUAAUUAAUAGUUUUCGUUAAAUUUAAGGCUAAACUUCACUUUUCGCCCUCUAAGUUUCAAAAUGUUGCGAUUUUGGCCCCCUAUUAAAAAAAAUGGCAAAAGUGACCCCCUAUGUUUAGGGAAAUAUGCUCUUUUGACCUCCUAACAUAAGGGAAAUAUGCUUUUUGACCCCUUAUCUUUACAAAAAGUUGUGAUUAUGGCCCCUUUUUUGGGACACGUGGCGUCUUCUCAGCAAUUUUGGGAUGAAAGGGAUCAAAAUUGCCAUUUUUUUUAAUAGGGGGUCAAAAUCGCAACAUUUUGAAACAUAGGAGGCCAAAAGUGCACUUUAGCCUAAAUUUAACUAACGGUCCUCACUAUUCUAAAAAAAAAAAAAUCUUUUUUCAAUGAUUUUCUAUAUAUGUUAUAUAUUUUCUAUCAAGACUUCAAUAAACAUACAUCGAUAUAUAGUAGAAAAAGUUACAUAUAUAUAAUAGUAUUAAAGUAUGAUGAACUACAACUCAAAAACAAAAUCAAAGUGCAAAAGCACAUGGUGGAGAUUUACAUCCCAAGUAUAUAUGAUCAAAUAUAAUUAAAUAUGUGUUAAUUUAAAAAAAAAAAAAAAAAGAAAUUAAAGCACAAACAUUAUAGUCUUCCUUUAACUACAAACUAAUCCUUUUUUUAGCAACUACUCCUUUUCCUUUUUGGUUCUAGACUCUAGUAAGUAACUACUCUUUCAUAUUGCUUUAAUAAAGGUGGUAAAUAUUAUUAAAGCAUAGGAAGAAAAUUCCACGUUCUUUAAAUAAGAUUCCAACCACCAACAACAGGUACGAACCAUAAUAAAAAUAGAAAGGACAUUGCAUUGGUCGUUUGACCCAAACUAGAUAAAAGCAUCACGUUGUUGCUCAUAAUAUCAAACAUUAAUUGUCUCAAAGUGGAAAAGAAAAAAAAUGAAUCCACUUGGUCUAAGUGCAACAGCUUUUUGUUGUGUCGUUUUUGUGUUUAUUGGAGGAGUACCCUUUUCAAAUGCACAACUAGAUCCUUCAUUUUACAAUAGUACAUGUUCUAAUGUUGAUUCAAUCGUACGUGGUGUGCUCACAAAUGUUUCACAAUCUGAUCCCAGAAUGCUUGGUAGUCUCAUUAGGCUACAUUUUCAUGACUGUUUUGUUCAAGUAUGUGUGUUCUGAUCCAUCUCUUACCUUCACAUUUUCACUUUUGUGGACGGUGAACAUGAUUUCGUCAAAUUCGUUGUGAUUUCAAUCAAACAUACACACAUAAUGAGUUCAAAUGUAUAUAUGCUAAUAGUUGUGAACAUUGUUGCAGGGUUGCGAUGCAUCGAUUUUGCUGAACGAUACGGCUACGAUAGUGAGCGAGCAAAGUGCACCACCAAAUAACAACUCCAUAAGAGGUUUGGACGUGAUAAACCAGAUCAAAACAGCGGUGGAAAAUGCUUGUCCUAACACUGUUUCUUGUGCUGAUAUUCUUGCCCUUUCUGCUGAAAUAUCUUCUGAUCUGGUAUAUAUUUCCUAGCUAGUUUCCUAGUCAUACAUUUAAAUUAACUUCUAGCUAGAUAGUAUGUUGUUUAAUUUCAAAACUUCCAUGUUCGUAGAAAAUAAAAAUGAAAAUCUUCACAUUAUGGAAAACGAAUGCAAUAAAUAAAAUGUAUCCAAAGAUCUCAUAAACGAUCAAUAAAUCAGUUUUGACAAAGUAGUUAAUAGUCAAAACUAUUAACACCCCUACAUUUUUUCUAAUAUACAUAUACUUUUAAUAAUUUAUUUCUGGACGGAAAAAAUUGCCAAAUUUUCUUAUUUUCAAACGGUAAAAUGUAUUUAGAAAAAUACGCAUUCAAAAUAAACUUACAAAACUAUAUUGAUGGUGUGUUAGCAAAAAACAGAUGUCAAUAGGUAAAUAAAUAGGUUAUGUUAUAUGAACAACUGUUUUUGGAACAACUUAUAAAACAAUCAAGGUAUACAAAGAAACGUGGAUAUUAUAUUAGUACGAAAAUCAAAGUAAAUAGAGUAAGGACACGAUGAGAGUAUAAAAAAGAGAAUUGUUCUAAACCAUUUCUGGGACAACUAAUAAGAGGAUAAUAAUAGAAAUGUAAGCAUCGACACUAUAACCAAAUCAAUAAAGAGAAUAAGAAUACAAUAAAAAUAUGAAAAAAGGAGUUAUCCCUAAAUAGUUAUUCAAAUAUAAUUUCUCAAUUAUAUAUAUAAUUGGUGGGAUUUCACAAGCUUGUAAGCCCCAAUUCGGGUAAGGCAAGGCUAUCAAAUGGUGUGGUCCAGCAGUAGCAUAGACUUUUAUAUUGUGUCUGGUUAUGUAUAUUUUGGUUUGUAGAGAUCUGAUGGUUUUAAUUUUACAUGAUCAUAUCUUAUGCUAUAAAGUUGUACUUUCGUUAUCAUGUUGUUUUAUGAUGUUUUUUUAUAUACAUUGGUAAAGAAAUACUAACCGUAAAAUAAAUAGUUAAAAUAGUUUUGUACAUAAUGAAUUAGUUAUUUGCCUAAAAUUUUGACUAGUUUAAAUAAUUCAAACAAAUCAUAAUCAAAGAUAUGUGACAAUGUACGUUCUUCAUAGAAUUUCAAUUUUAUUAAUUAACAUCAUAAACCAUGAUAUAUAUUUUCUUUAUUAUCCUACAAUGCAACAAAAAUUGCAGGCAAAUGGUCCUACUUGGCAAGUUCCAUUAGGAAGAAGGGAUAGUUUAACAGCAAAUAAUUCCCUUGCAGCUCAAAAUCUUCCUGCCCCCACUUUCAACCUUACUCAACUAAAAUCUAGCUUUGAUAAUCAAAACCUCACUACUACUGAUCUAGUUGCACUCUCAGGUAUAAUUUUUUUGUUUCUUCAAAAUAUGUAACAUGAAUGUAUGUACAUAUAGUCUAAAAAUGACUCAUAUUAAGAAUCCCCCCAUUUAAUUUUUUAGGUGGUCAUACAAUUGGAAGAGGUCAAUGCAGAUUUUUCGUUGAUCGAUUAUACAAUUUCAGCAACACUGGAAAUCCCGAUUCAACCCUUAACACAACUUACUUGCAAACAUUGCAAGCAAUAUGUCCCAAUGGUGGACCUGGUACGAACCUAACCGAUUUGGACCCAACGACACCUGAUACAUUUGACUCCAACUACUACUCCAAUCUCCAAGUUGGAAAUGGCUUGUUUCAAAGUGACCAAGAGCUUUUUUCCACAAAUGGUUCUGACACUAUUUCUAUUGUCAAUAGUUUCGCCAAUAAUCAAACUCUCUUCUUUGAAAAUUUUGUUGCUUCAAUGAUAAAAAUGGGUAAUAUUGGAGUUUUAACUGGAUCUCAAGGUGAAAUUAGAACACAAUGUAAUGCUGUGAAUGGGAAUUCUUCUGGAUUGGCUUCUGUAGUCACCAAAGAAUCAUCAGAAGAUGGAAUGGCUAGCUCAUUCUAAACAUACGCUUGGAAAAUAUCGAAGAGGUUCAAUAUUUUCUGCAUACAUAUAUGAUGUGUGUAUGUGGUGGAUCACGAUAAUUAAUCUCUGCUUGUAUGCUCUUUCUAGUUCUAUACUAUGUUUUUGUUUUGUUCUUCAAGUUGAUUGGGGACCGUAGAAGCUCCCUAAUAAUAUUUGUGUCAAAAGUUUUUUAAUGUGUUAUGUCAUAAUGUUAUUUUCUAAAAUACUUAUUCAAGUAUUUAUAUGUUAAAUAUGAUUGAAUGUCUGCAUGAAAUUCUUUUAUAUUGUCAAGAAUGGAGCGAGAAACUUGUUUAAAAAAGAAAUAGCAAAACAUAUAGAACACCCAUACUCAUAGCAAAUCUUCAAAUUAAAUAGGCUUGGUCAGAUUAUUUUUGCAAGCUUAUUCUUGAGAAGUGUAGAAAUGUCAAGAAUGUUGACGACGCCAUAAUUGAAUAUAUAAAGGUUCCUUUUAAUGUAACCAACGUCUGAAAAGAAGGGAUCGAACAAACAGCAUAGAGCUUUUAAUUUUGAUAUCGAAAUAAGGCGCCCAAAUAUUUUGCAAGUUAUUAGAUAUUUCGACAUGGCUCUGGCUUGAACAAGUAGCUAAUUGUGGUGAGCACAGAAUUGAAUGGCACUAUAAAUGAAUGAAGAGGAUCAUCUCUUAAGCGUGAUCUUGCAUGCCUUUGUUUACUUGAUCACAAAGAAAGUGGAACUUGGUCUCUCCAUAUGCCUUGGCAUGCUACAUUGCAAGCUGAAAUGUAUUCAGCUUCAAUAGUAGACAAGGAAACAAUAAUUUGUUUCUUUAGCUCCAUGAAAUUGGAGAGUUGAAGAUUUAUAACACAUAUCCCAUUGAGCUCCUUCUUUGCACCCUAUCGCCACACCAGUCUGAGUCACAAAAACCGAUUAAUUUGAUAGUUCUUCCAAUUUCAUUCAAAUUUUAUAUAGACAACUUAAGCUAUAUUUGCCUAGUAGCUUUUAUUUAGCAUUAUGUUAGUUUCACAAUGCAACAAAAUUGAAGGCAAAUGGUUUUACUUGGGAAGAAGGCUUCAAAGUUCAACCUCGCCCGACAAAAAUCUACCUUUGUUACCCAAGGCCUCAAUGCUUGAUUUAGUAGCACUGUCUCAUGUAUUUGAUAAUUUCUUUUUCACCUUAAUCACUUCUCGCGCGUUCUCUAACAUUUCAAAAAUAUCUUGAGUUUUGGAUUAAAUAAUUCCAAAGGAGGAUUCUCCUAUAUUUUUGGUGGAAAAAUGUUUUUUUCACCAAUUUGAAUUCUAAAAUAAAAAUAAAAAUAAUUUAAAUUUUAUAAUUCGAACACCUUUAUACACCCAACUUCGAAGCAUAUAGAGGGCACGUUCGGAUUAUUAAAUCUGAAAGUGUUUGUUUUUUCAAAUUAUAAAAUCCAAACAUCCCGUCCCCUAUACACCCUCCCUCAUGUGCCAAAAAUUAUGGGAAAAACAAAUUGGGAAUAUAUAAUUGGAAUUAUAUCGGCACAAAUAUCGAAUUUGUUUUGUGACAAGGAUAACCAGUUUAGUAAACACAUUAACCAUUAUAACUGCUCCAGUGUGUUUCUUGUGUGUUCAUAUCUUGAAAGUGCAUAUGUCUAGUUGAAGCAAUAAAAAAAUGUCUGUUUUCGGGCGAUUGGUUUGGUUUCAUUCAAAAUCCAGGAACGAAACUACUAUAGACUCUGCGCCCUCAAAAUUCAAAAUUCUACCGUAUAGACCCAUUUUCCAUUUUUUUUAUAUUCUCAGAAAAAUCCAAAAAAAAAAAAAAUCAUUAGCUUUGUAUGAUUUUUAGAAUUUUUUAGUGGUAUUUUAUAUAUUUUUUUAUAUUAUUUGAUAGGUUUGCUAAUUUUUCACUCUUUUUUUUUUGUUUUUAGGACAAAAGUCGCAGCUACUGAAAUGAGAGGAAGUUAUGGUCGUUGCUAAUACAUAUAGGUAUGUUUUGGGUUAUAUAAUUCAAACCGUAUUAUUUGUUCGGAUUAUAUAAUUCAAAUGGGGCAAAAUGAUAAUUUUAGAGAGCGCAUGAGAAGUUGGUAGGUGGAAAAAGAAAUUCCCUAAAAAAAAUUGUUUGGGAAAUGUUAUGGUUCUAUAAUUUCGUGCAUACAUAUAUUCUAUAUGCAUGUGUUUUUUUAUACAAUUUGAAAAUGGUGGAUAAGGAUAAAUGACCUCUGUUUAUAUUAUAUACAUAGAUCUAUAUUUUUAUUAUUUUUAAGUAAUAAUCUCCUUUACUUUUUAGAAAAUAUUUGGUGACGCCUCUUAAAGUGUAUAUAUUUUGAGAGAGAUGUGGUAGAUUAAUGAUGUGAUAAAAAAAAAAGAGAUAAAAAGGUUAACCAUAGGUGGACCAUCGACUCGACGAAUUGGCACCACGAAAAACGACAUAUUGUGAUCUUAUCUUAUAAGAAAAAACAUGUUAAAAUGUGUAAUUGUGAUUGCAAAAAGUAAAUUAAAAUUUUGAAGAUAUUUUUUUUAAAAAAAAACAUAUUGUUUUAUCUUUGUAAAAAAAACAAAUUGUCAAACUUUUGCAAGAGAUAUGUAGAAAUAAAAAAUUGUGACGGAAAAUAUUUGUAAAAUCAAAACUUCUUGAAUUUUUUUAGAAAGAUUAAAAAACAAAUUUAGAAUAUUUAUAAGGACAAUAACUUAUUUAAUUAACGAUGGUUAAAACUUAUCCAUUUGAUUUGAUUUGAUUAUAGCCGUGUGGUUCAAGAGGAGACAUGACAGAAUUAGAAAAUUCCUGCAAUUUUCUAAGACUUUUGAUUAAAAUCUAAUUUUAUAUUUAGUCUUCUCUAAAACUAUAAUGUGUCUUUCAUUCUUUUUAGGGAUGUCUCUUUCAUCUAUAUAGUUUGUAACUAUUUGGAUUUUGUUUUAUUAAAAUGAAAUUCUAAAUUAAGUGAUAUUGGAUCGUUAAUUAGUAUUCCCUUCGGUCCUAUAUAUAAGCAACAUUUGACUUUUUUGAUUCAUUCCAUAAAUGAUGUAUUUGAUUCAUAUUCUAUAUCAUAUACAUCAAUUACUCAAUAAAUUUAAAAAGUUAAUUUUUUUUUUAUAAAUAUGACCGGAGUGAGUAAUAUAGAGGAGGAACAACCAUUUUUCUGUUUUCUUUCUGACUUUGCUAUGGCACCAACAAGAAUCCUGAUUGAAGUACUAUGUGUUUGUAUCUAAAUAAGAGAUAUUUUUCCCAAUAAUGUCUUUAUUUAUGACUAACAUAAAUAUAAAGUGGAAGAGGUUGACAAAAAUGUGUUGCAUUAAAAAUUAAAGGAAUCUUUUAUUUUAAAACAAACUUCUAUUUAUUUUAUAAAUAGAUCAAGCCGUUGUAGGAUGGAGGUGGAACUAUAAAGUAAUCAAAUUGUUUUAAAAAUUUGACGACAAAAUGCUCUACAAAUAGUAACCAAUUUACUAAUAUCGGCAUAUGCCAUGCCUUUAUCCUGAUUCCAAUACAAGUUAAAACUGUUGUUGUUUGUGUGCCUCUUUCAAAAAAAAAAAAAAAUAAAUGUUGUUUUCUUGAAUAUUGUGUAUAUGACAAAAAGGGUUUGGCUUGUUUUAUUGGAGAAAUUAAACACAUGCCAAAUAUCUAUUGAAAAAUAGUGUUAAAAAAGGGUUUAUUCCUUCAUAUUUUUAGUAAAGAGCAAGUGAGAGUAGACUUAUUAACUUACUCCUUCAUAUUUUAGGUGGGUAUAAAAUAACAUCUUUUAUAUAUAUAUUCAAAAAGAAAAAUACUCCUUUUCAUUCAUUAGUACAUCAAACAAAACUAUGAAUGCAGCAUCAUUAAAAAAAUAAAAACAAAAGACUUGAAUAAAAAUCAAGUUUUGAUGAGUACGAUAGAAGAUUUGAAUCUAGAAUAGGGGACAAGAUUUGAACCUAGUCCACGAAAAUAAUAACAUUUCUGACACAACCCCGUGAAUGCACAAAUAAAGAAAAGAACAAGAAAGUAAAAACUGAUGAUAUCUCAUCUAAGAGUUACAAGAAAUAUGAAAGAUACUUAGUUUUAUUAAUAUGAUGACAUAUAAUUAUCAAUAGCCAUAGAUUACAAAAUAGAUCUUACAAACACACUGCAUUCAAUUUCACCAUCCAGCACAAGAGAAGAGCCCAUGUAUGUUCCCCUAGAACACACUCUUUAUUAUAGGUAGGUAGGUACCUUUCUUAUGCAACUUGUAUUAAAUUACUUGGUAUGAGCUAACAAUACCAUCUUCUGCUGAAUCUUUGGUGACUUUGGUAGCAAGACUAACAGUAUUAACAAAGUUACAGUGUGUUCUAACUUCACCUUGAGUUCCAGUUAACACUCCAAUAUUACCCAUCUUAAUCAUGGAGGCCUUAAAAGCUUCAAAGAAAAGAGUUUGAUUGCUGCUAAAGCUAUUAACAAUGGCAAUGGUAUCAGCACCAGGUGUGGAAAACAAUUCUUGGUCACUCUGAAACAACCCCUUUUGAAUCCUUAGGUUUGAGUAGUAGCUUGUGACAUCUUGUUCCACCAUUGGGACACCAUUGGGACAUCUUGUUCUCAAUGUUUGUAAGUAGGUUGUGUUGAGAGUUGGGUCAGGAUUUUUAGUAUUGUUCAAAUCGUAUAAUCGAUCAACGAAGAAUCCACAUUGACCUCUACCAAUUGUAUGAGCACCUAAUUUUUUUUUAAAAAACAUUAUGUUAUGAUUCUAAAUAGCAUAUGAGAAAAUACACUUGGCAAAAUGUAAUUGGUUUGGAUAAAUAGACAUGUGUCUAGUUAUUGUGCAUAAAUAGGGAAAAAAUGAUUAAUAUUAUUUCCACUUUAAUUUUCUCUUUUUCAAUUCUUUUUACUUAGAAAAGACACACAUGCAUAUAUGUAAAAAUAUAUGUACACUAAUGUUGCGUACACCUAUAGCUUUUUAGGAGACAAAACUUUUAUACCUGAAAGUGCAACAAGAUCAGUAAUGUUGAGACCUUGUUUAGAAAAGGAGAAUAUUAGCUGAGUAAGAUUCAAUUGGGGACGAGGAAGGUUUAAAUUAGCAAGAGUUUGAUUUGCAUUCAAACUAUCUCUUCUUCCUAAUGGAACUUCCCAAUCAGGACCAUGAGCCUGCAAAUUAUGUAACCAAGAAAAAUUAGAAUCACAAGCAAAAAAAUAAAUAAGAAAAGGAAAAAAAUAAUACAAGUAGUAGUAAUAAUAAUAAGUCGUGAGAAAAAAAAAAGUUUAUUAAAAGGAAUUAAAGAAAGGCAUUUUUUAGAGGUACUUGUCAAAUAUUCCUUUUAGUCUUUAUAUUAAGACUAAAAUCAACAAUAGGAAGAAAUUUUGUAGGAUUAAAAAAAAACAGAACUAAAAAUAAAAAGUAGUAUAUUUGCCAAAACUUAAACCAUAACAAAAAAAAAUGAAGGUUGAAACUUAAAAUAAUAUAUUUUAAUUGAUUGGUCUUUUUAUAUUUAGGUUGAAACUUUCAAGUUACUUACAGAUGGAAUCCCAGACAUUUUUUUAGUACUAUGAAGAAACCUAGCAUCAAAGAUGGCCGGCUAAGAGGCUUUCAAUACUAAUGACUUGUAUAACAAAUUUAUCAACUCAUUUAAAAAAAAUUCUGUCACAUAUAUUAAAAUUUGUUUUAAGUCUCAGUUAGAAUCUGUGGAACAUACCAGAACUGAGGAAAUGUUAGCACCAAGUGCAAGAAUAUCAGCACAAGACACAACACUAGGACAAAAUCACAGCCCUUAUUGAGUUUUUUAUUUGGCCUAGCUCCUUGCUCGCUCACGAUAGUAUUACUAUUAGUGGGUUUUUUCUAGAUUACCUUUGAAGAAUGGUAGGUAAUUUACCCACCAACCAAUGAAAAUGAGCAAUUUGUUGGUGGGGUCAAGAUAGUUCAUGGAUACCACUUAAAAAUGUGCUUAUAUGACUAAUGUGUAUUGGUUGGGGUAAAUUACCCACCAUUCUUCCAUGGGUACCCUAGUUGUCACCCUAUUAAUGUCAUUCAACAAGAUUGAUGCAUCACAGCCCUUACAUGUAUAGAUAUAACAUUUUAGAGUAUUAGAAAAUUGGUAAAUAUAUUACUCUUCAUAUUGGUGAGAUCAAGAUGAGUUCACUAUAAAACAUUUAAUUAACUUGAUGCAUAUGGUGAGUUUGACAAAAUCACGUAGUAACAUUUUAGUUUGAUACUUUAAACUUUCAACAAAAUCACACUGUUUCGUGAUUCUAUCAAACUCGUUGUGGCUUCAACAAAAUCACAUCGCAAUUAUACUAAAUACUAUAAUACAUACUUGAACAAAAGCAACAAAUGAAUAACUUCUCUCAUGUUUCUCCGCUAAUCAUGGGAGAACGAAAAUUAUGUGGGACCCACGCCAAUCUUGUUCCUCUUCUCUCUUUCUCACCUUUGCCAAACAAGAUAAAUGCCACACUUCUCUCCUCUUUCUCUCGUUGAUGUCUCUCUCUUCUACAUUUCUCUUGUACCAAGCAGAGGAUUAGGGAUAAAGAUUUAUAUUUUAGAGAAUUUAUAUUUAUGGACAUAGGUAGUAGCUAAUGGGGAAUAAAUAUUCUAAAUUGCACAUUAAUACUAGAUGGAUUAAAUAAUAUACCAUAUAGAGAGAUGAGCGAGAGAGUUAGAGAGAAAAAAAGAGGUGGCGGUUCAAAGCCAAGCCUUGGACCACCAUGUCGGUUUGCUUCGCCGGCUGAUAGGUUCUAUGGGAGGGGGGCAUAUACUGGGGAUGGAGAAAUUGGGGGGGGGGGAAUUGGGGAGAGUGGGCCAAGGUGAGAAACACACGGAUGAAAGCGAUGGAACCGGAGUUUUAGAGACAUUACAGACAACAUGAAAGCAGCAUGCAUGUAGGAUUUGGCAAGGACAAGGGUUAUGCUUUUGGAAAGUAGAUGAAAGGAAGGUCUUUUGAUCGAUUUGACAGGUUUGAUACGGAUUGGGAUUUGAGACCUAGGGUUUUUUAUGAUCACAUGAGAAGAAGGUUUGUUUCUCAGAGAAGGGUAAGGUCAACCACCCGCUGCGGUGAACAUUCUAGAUUAUGGGCGGAGGUGGAAUAACCCUACAACGCAGUGUUGGCCUGCUCUUUCAUGGCAUCAGCGUGCAACCCUUAGAGAAUGAGAGGAUAAUUGUUGAUGGUCGUACAUGUAUGUGUAAGUCCUCUCACCACAUUGUGAAUGAAGGCUCUAAUCAGUUAAAUGAUGUAUUCUAUAUUACUAAUUUUCCGGAGGACUUUGAGUUAAUUGAUUUGAGGAAGGGACUAGAAGUUUGUUGGAUUUUAUCUGAUAUUUUUGUUUCAAUAGAACGUAAUAUUAGAGGGCAAAUUUAUGGUUUUGUUUUUAAUGUGAUUAUCCUUUUGUAAAGUCAAUUUGAGCCUGUAGAUUUAUAACUUUUUGUUCGGUGACAAGUUACAUUACAAGUCUAGAGACCUUAAAUUGUUUACCUAAAUAAUAAUUAGAGUUAGGUUGUAGGGUGUUACUAAAGUUUAAGUUCGGGGUUGAUUUUGAAAUUUGCAACCAAUUAAGUUUGAGGGUGGGGAUACUAAAGAACUUAAGAGAAUAAAAUAUCUAUUCGAAAAUGAAUUGAUAAAGUGCAACAAAAGGUAUAGCAAAAUCAGAUAAUAAUAAUAAUAAUAAUAAUAAUAAUAUUAGAGACAAGAAAAAUGAAGAAAACAAUAAUAAUAUUGUCUCAUGGUCACAAUAGUUCUCUAGUACUUGAGUUUAUUUUAUGGGGUGAAUAAGGUAAAUGUACAAUGCGUAACUCCAUUGUUUGUUUUAACCUACUUUUUCAAAAAUUAUCCCGCAUUCACCUGAGCCUUGUUUCAACUUUUAAAGACCUUGACAGGGUGUUGACAUUGACUUUGAUAGUCGUUUUAUUUUUUUUCAAGUUUAUAGUAAUAUGUAGACCUGCAUGUCGACGGUGGAAAACACCUGUCAAAAUGUUGUGUGAAGUUGUGAAUUGUGGUUGUAGUCAAGCCAGUUGGCCCAUCAAAUGGCUAGCAAUGAGAUGAACUUUUUGUAUUAUCACUUGAUUAGAUAAUUGUUAUUUUUACUGUAGUUUGUCAAUUUUACAAGUAAAUUCCUUGAGGACAAAGAAUGAUUUGACAUGUUGUCAUUACAUAUUUUUUUUCCUAUUUAUUUUGAUGUUUUUAUUGAGUCUGUAACAAUUUUAGACAGCCUGAAGGUGCAAAAAGCAAAAAAUAUCAAGAAGUUGAAAUUAAAGCAUCGUGUUGGGAUUUUGCAACCGUGACACAAUUUUUCAACCAGAAAUUAAAGUUGUCACUGCCAGAAUAAUCGUGUCACGAUUACAUAAUCGUGACAUGGUUUGGAGGUGUGCCAGAAUACAAAUUUGAAUUUAAGGAAGCAAUCGUGUCACGAUUUUGGUCAUCAUCACACGAUUUUGAGCGCCCAAGACCUUGCCUAUAUAAGCUAACCUUGUUUUUGGGGAGGGGGUUCUGAAUUUUGGAGAUUUGAAGCAUGCUUUUGAGAGCACAAGACUGAAGAGGUGGCCAUUCCACCAAACUCAUAGUCAAUCCAUUGUAUGUUAGAAUGCUUCAAUUGAUUUUUUUUAUUUGUAAUCUUCAUUAUGAGUAAUUAAAUCAUUAGAGGUUAGGUCCGGAGAUGAUUCUGAUGUAGAUCUGUUUGAACCAUGUAGGUUGUGAAACACUAUUUUAUAUAAAUGUCAAUCUAAUUUUUAUUUAAUUCAAUUUGUUUCUAAUGCUUUUUAUUUUAUGUAUUGAUCACAUGUAAAAUGAAACCAAAGUAUGAAUGACUACUGACAUUAACUUUCAACUUAUACCUAAUUGAAUUGUUUAAUUAAACAUGGUUAGUCUAGGAAUGGAUAACCGUUUAAUUGUGAGAAUAUAUUAACAUUCUAAAAACCUUCGAACAAUAUGAGAGCACCUAAGAAAUUGGGGGAUGUAAUCUAAGAAGAGAACUCUGACUCAAGGGAUUGAUUAGAGUAAGUUUUGUUAAUCCUCGUAAAACUAUAGAAACAUUUGUACUCCCUCCGUUUCAAAAUGAAUGUCGUUUAAGGUUCUUACACACAUAUUAAUAAAUGCAUUAAUCAAAAGAAAGAGAGAUGUUAUUUUACCAAGUUAUCCUAAUCAACUAUUGGGUUGUUUUUCAUUAAAGAAAAAAUAAUAGCCUUAAUUGCACUUUUGACCCCCUAUCUUUUCAAAAGUUGCGAUUUUGGCCCCCUAACUAAUUAAAAUACAAAACAGCCCCCUAUGUAUUUGAUCUUUGGNNNNNNNNNNNNNNNNNNNNNNNNNNNNNNNNNNNNNNNNNNNNNNNNNNNNNNNNNNNNNNNNNNNNNNNNNNNNNNNNNNNNNNNNNNNNNNNNNNNNUUUAAUUAGUUAGGGGCCAAAAGUGCAAUUAAGCCUAAAAUACUUUGGAAGUAGUGUAUAUAGGAUUAAUUGAAUGAUACAAUUGAAAAAAAUAAGUUAUUGUUGCAUUGAAAACUGAAAGUGACAUUCAUUUUGAAAUAAUUUUUUUGCUAAAAUGACACUCAUUUUAAAACGGAAGGAGUAUUAUUUAGUUGCAGUCUACCAAUUGAUCGUAGUCAGAUGAUUUAAUAGACCUAAUCUCAUUUCUCCUAUUAUUUUCACAACACUUUUACAAGUUUUCUUAUUAUUUUAUGCAAAUCAAACAACCGCAUAGGACAACCCCAAAAUUUUACACAUAUAAGAUAAUAACCUUAUUGUUAAAUUGAAAUUAAUAUAGUCUUUGUGGGUACGAACUUAGAAUUAUUAUUUCGCUAGUUUUAAUACACUUGCUAAAAUUCUACUAGUAACUUAAAAAAACUAAUAAUAUAAGACAAAUAAUGUUGCAUUAAAAAUUAAAAGAAUCUUUUAUUUUAAAACUUAUUUCUUUGUAUAAAAAUAUAUCAAACCGUUGUACGUGGUAGGAUGGAGGUGGAACUAUAAAUUAAUCAACCAGGUGUGCUAUAUUGAAGUUUUAAAAAUUUGACUGACAAUAGUCUAUAAAACAAAACUAAUUUUCAGAAAUGUUGCUAGUAAGUGUUUUAAGGCACUUGUUAAGGAUUUAAAAAAGAAAAUAAUUUAUUUAUUUGAAAAAAUAAAAAAUUAUAAAUUUUAAGUAGAUUUUUUUUUAAAAAUUAUUGAAUACAUAAUUCUGAUAACGUUUUUUCUUUCAACAUCUUAACAUUUCUCUCUAACUACAAUCGAUAUAUGCCAUUAUCCUAAUUCCAAGACAAGUUAAAACUUUUUUUAAAGAAAGAAAGAUUAUUAUUUUUUUGACAAAAACAAAACAAUAUUCAUUUAUUUUAAUUGAUAGAGUACAUCGUUUAACAUCGUAAAAAAAGUAAAGGAUAAAUAUGUGAGCAAACUCAUAUCAUCCAAGUUAAUAGCAUACAGCUGUAAAAUACCGAUAAAUAAUAUGAUAAAAUUUAAAUGACGAAACACCCAUACCUCUAGAUCUACAACGUUGACGUCCAAAUAAUUGAAUAGUUGAUCUUUCAAUAACAAUCAGAUGAACACCACAACAAGACGAGAAAUCAAACAAUACUGCACAAGACGACGUAUAACAUUGCGUCACUCAUAGACAAUGAAAUCACGAAGAAAAAACCUAAAUCUACUAAAAAAAGUAGUUUAUUUAGAUUGAAAUAGAGAUGAAAAAAAAAAGAUGAAGAUGUGUAACCACACCUCAAUGAAGAAAAUAUAAGAGAUUAAGAUCUUUUAUUUUGUCUUAAUUGAAACCCGUGACUCUUCUUUUAUACAUUUUUUAUCACAACCCCAUGACUCUUAAAUAAGUUUUUUUUUUUUUUUUUUUAGGGAUAUUGCAUGUUAUAUGCAGGGGUCGGGGGUCGAACCCCAGACAUCCCACUUCUCCACAAUUAAAUUGUGUGAGCUCUAGCCAUUAGGCUACUUGACCCAAAAAAAAAUUACAAGUUUUUUUGUCAGGUAGCCUAGUGGCUAGAAUUCAUCUUAUAAGGUGAAUAAGUAGGGUGUCUGGAAUUUGAACCCCGGCUCCUGCAUAUAAUAAUGCAUUGGUCUACGAAUUGAGCUAUGCUCACGGGACAUUGCAAUUACAAGUUACUUCUAAGAUAAGACGCUUUUUAGUAUACACAAUUUUAUUAUUAUGCAUGUCGACAUAUCGGUGUGAGGUGUCCAUAUGAUGUCUAUGUUCAUCGUUCAUAGAUAUAAGCAAAUGUUACCUAUUUCUUUUUUAUUUAACCAUAGUAUAUAUCUCUAAAAUAUCCUUAAUCUAAUUACAGAAAUUGCAUAAACUGAAAGUGAUCAAACCUUUUUUUUACAUACACAAUUUUAUUAAUAUGACAUAAUUAUCAUAAUAGAGCGAAAUAGAACUUACAAACACACUGCAUUCAGUAGCCAUAGAUUACAAAAUAAAAUACAAAACAUAUCACAAUCCACAAAAGAGCACAUGUAUAUAUGUGCCCCUAGAAAACACUCUUUAUUGGGUAGAUACCUUUCUUAUGCAACUUGUCUUAAAUUACUUAGAAUGAGCUAACAAUACCAUCUUCUGAUGAAUCUUUGGUGACUUUGGUAGCAAGACUAACAGUAUUAACAAAGUUACAGUGUGUUCUAACUUCACCUUGAGUUCCAGUUAACACUCCAAUAUUACCCAUCUUAAUCAUGGAGGCCUUAAAAGCUUCAAAGAAAAGAGUUUGAUUGCUGCUAAAGCUAUUAACAAUGGCAAUGGUAUCAGCACCAGGUGUGGAAAAAAGCUCUUGAUCACUCUGAAACAAACCAUUUCCAGCUUGAAGAUUGGAGUAGUAGUUUGAGUCGAAUGUAUCGGGAGUGCUUACAUCCAAAUUGGUGAGGUUGGUACCUAGAACGCCAAUAUCUGGGCAUAUUGCUUGCAAUGAUUGUAGUAAGGUUGUGUUUAGAGUUGGAUCAGGAACUCCGGUGUUAUUGAAAUUGUACAUUCGAUCAUUGAAUAAAAGGCAUACACCUCUUCCAAUCGUAUGAGCACCUAAAAAAUGAUCAAAGCAUAUACAAUUAGACACCAAGUAUCGAGUUUAAAUCUCCUCCGAAACGGUUGUAAAAUGUACACAUGUUAUGUGUAGAGAUAUAGAUUUUAAGGAGACAAACAUUUAUACCUGAAAGUGCAACAAGAUCAGUAGUGUCGAGACCUUGAUUAAGAAAGGAGGUUUUUAAUUCAUCAAGAAGAAAUCGGGGACCAGGAAGGCUUGAAUUAGCAAGACUUUGAUUUGCAUUGAAACUAUCUCUUCUUCCUAAUGGAACUUCCCAAUCAGGACCAAGAGCCUGCGAGGAAAAAUGUGACACAAGUAAAAAAUUAUGGUCUCACACUAGUAGGAUUAAAAAAUAAUAAUAACCAGAAAUAAAAAGCAGUAUAUUUGCCAGAACUAAAAUCAUAACAAUAAAAAAUGAAGGUUGAUACUUAAAAUAAUAUAUUUUUAUUGAUUGAUCUUUUUAUAUUUAGUUUGAAACUUUCAAGUUAUUUACAGAUGAAAUCCCAAACAUUUUUUAGUACUAUGAAGAAACCUAGCAUCAAAGAUGGCCGGCUAAGAGACUUUCAUUACUAAUGACUUGUAUAACAAAUUCAUCAACUCAUUUUACAUUUUUUUUUUCUCUCUCCUUGAGUAGUUGACAAAAAAUAUCAUAUACAUGAAAACUUGUUUUAUGUCUCAAUUACUAUUAAAAAUUACUGGGUCGUCUUGUGAACGAGAUAGAGAAAAUGUCAAUAAUAUAUAGAGGAUGUGAAACGUACCAGAACGGAGGAAACAUUAGCACCAAGUGCAAGAAUAUCUGCACAAGACACAACACUAGGACAAGCAAGUUCGAUUGCGGCUUUGAUUUGAUUCACAAUAUCCAAACCUCUUAUUGAGUUUCUAUUUGGCAAAGCUCCUUGCUCACUCACGAUAGUAUCAGAGUCAUUCAACAAGAGUGAUGCAUCACAACCCUUUCAUAAACAUAGAUAUCAAAUAUAUGAGUUACAAAUAUCCAAAACUUAGUUAGAUGUUGGUGAGAAAUUUACAGUUAGUUUGAUAGAAUCACGUCGUAGCAUUGACACUUUAAACUUUCAACAAAAUCACAUGUUCUUUGUGAUUCUAUCAAACUCGUUGUGGCUUCAACAAUAUCACAUCGCAAUUAUUAUAUAUUAUAUAUAAUAUAAUACAUACUUGAACAAAACAAUCAUGAAAAUGAAGCCUAAUGAAACUGGCAAGGAUACGAGGAUCUGUCUGAGAAACGUUUGCUAAGAUACUUUGGACAAUGGAAGUGACAUUUGGACAUGUGUCCUUAUAGAAGUUAGGAUCAAGUUGUGCAUUUGAAGAGAAGGGAAACCCUCCAAGCACAACCACUACACAGCACAAAGCUGCUAAUGUGAGAUGAAAAGAAGAGUUCAUUAUUAUUUCUAUUGUUUUUUGAACUCUUGAAAUUUAAUUGUGUCUACCACAUAUGGGGUUCAUGUCUAUUUAUAUAGAGAGAAAUGGCUUGUGGAGGCAAUGUUCCUGCAUUUCAUUUCGUGUUUUGGUCGUUCAAAUUAUUAAUAUUCAAAUCUUCAUCUAAUCAUGUUGCUCUAACUAAAGACUAUAGAGAAAAAAAAUAGUUCUAAUCGCUGUCCAUCGUAAGCAGGUACAUAUUGACAAGAAAUAUUUACGUCAUUGAAAAUUUAAAAUAUGACGACAUUUUCUCAUUUAGGGAUAAAGAUUUAUGUUUCAGAGAAUUUAUAUUUAUGGAAAUAGGUAGUAGCUAAUGGGGGAAAAUUAAUCUAAAUUGCUCACUAAAACUAGAUAAGUCUUGAAAAUAAUGUAUAAAAAGUGUCACAUCUGAUUUCGUAAGAUGGUUUUUUAAUUCCCUAAAAAAAUGGUUUUUUAAUGAUAAAUCAGAUAUAACUAAUUUUUUUUUUUGACAAAAAAAUCAGAUAUAACUAAUAUAAACAAUUUUAAGGUUUAAAUAUGUUAUUAGUCUAUGCACUACCAUAAUUUUUGGGUAUUGAUCCACCACUUUUUUUUUUUUUUUUUAGGUCCAUGCAUUUGUAAAAAGAUUAUUAUUGGUCCCUCUGUCGAUCAACGGUUAAAAACAAAAAUAAAUUAAGUGUCACGUGGUCCAAUUAUUACACAUCAUGUGACGUAUUACAAGCUAAAAUUUUGAAAUUAAAAGAAUUCAAAUGAAAUAAUUGUUUUUUAAUUAGUAUCUUUCAAUCAGAUGACCUAUAAACAAUCUAGCCAAAUAGUAUAUAAAUAAUAACAAAUUUUCUUAAAAAACCGUUCUAGCAUGCCAAAAUACAACAUAUGUGCGGAUAAAUGGGAAGGAUUUACUGAUUGAAUAUCAAGUCAUUGCUUAACCAAUAUUCAAAUGCUCCAAAACACGUCACAUUCCAAAAAUAAAUAUGAUAUACAAUAUUUUCUUGAAGACCACAUCCAGUAACACACAUUGAAUAAUUCAUCGUCGAACUAAAUUAUCUUUUGUAGCUAACCUAUUAUUUAGUAAAUGUCAAGCAAAAAGUAGAAACUUUUAAUGGUAAAUAAUAUUCUAAAAUCCAUUAUGAUGGGAUGGUUCCUCCUCAAUUAGUAGAUGAUAAAUGUCUCUGACGGUAUAGCUUUUGUUAGGCGUAAGUUGCCAUUUUCACCUCCCUACCAUCCCAACCUGUAAAAUAAUGUUAGAUAGAAGCUCACUACACUCCCUCCAACAUCUCCUCCUCCCAAGCAAACAAUUGCCGCCAUCUCCCCCAAUCCACCAGUCUAAAGCAUACACCUCUGCAACUAUUACCAACCGAUUCCCUUUUAAUUCAUAAAGACGCUGAAGCCUAUCAUAGAAAUCCCCCCUCGAUCCACUUAUCUGAUCAGAAAAAAGUUGUAAUCUCAUCACCCAAAAUUCGCACCAAAUUAUCAUCAGACCAUAUAUCCAGUUCCAUACUUACCCCUACGAGUUCCCAUCUUUAAACUUAUAUAAAAAUUUGUAGACAUUUUUAUCGACAAAAGAAACUUCGAGAUGUUACUUAUAAAUAAAAUUUCAAUCUAAAAAUGAGUUCUAUAAUAGGAAUAUCCACAUUAAGAAUUUAAAAUACUGUUUUACUUUUUUUUUUGACACAAAAUAUUGUUUUACUUGCAACUAUAUAAAUUAGACUCUUAAAAUGGUACAUACUUUUCUAGAGUUUAACGAGAUAUAUCAUGGUUACAAAAUAGUUUUACACCUCCAUCCAAUAACAACCCAUAUAUUGUCAUUUAAGUUUAUAGUAUUAUAUAACGGCUUUGUAAAAGCCAAAUACUCGAUUGUUAUUAAACACCAACGUAAAACUAGUAUAACUAACAACAUAUGUCCAAUUUUCACUUGUUUUGAAAUAUAAUUUUUAUUUAACUAUUUCACAUAAAUUAAAAAGUUAGAUAAUAUUCAUUAAAAUAAUUCAACUCUAAAAUAUUUUUUUAAAUAUAAAGUAUUUUUCUAAAUAAUACUGUAACAGCAAGAAAAUAGGAAAUUAAGAGAGAUAUUUUUAUAAAAAGAAUAAUUAAUACAUUGAGUAAAUUAAUAAAGACUUCUAUGUUUUAGCUUAAUAAAAUAAGACUUUUUUUUAGGGGAGCUUAAUAAAAUAAGAUUUAUAUAUUUAUUUUUUAAUGACAAAAAAUGACUUGUAUUUAGGACCCGCCUGCUCAAUGUACCAAACAACAUUUAUUAAUUUUUUUUGACAAAACCACAUUUAUUUAUUUUUUUUAAGGACAGAACAACAUUUAUUAAUUAUUCCUUUCUCCCUCAAAAAAAAUUAUUCCUUUAAAAAACAUUUAUGAAUUAUUUAUUAUAAUUAUUUUGGUACAAACUACGGUCACAUUUUAAAAUAAAAGUUGUCCCUAUGUGCAUACAUGCUUUUGUCAACAAGUUCUGCACCCUUUUUUAAGACUCUUUACAGAUAAAGACUUUUGAACCAAGUGUUUAAAAUGAUAUGAUUAAUCAGUUUCAUUAAAUGAUGAAUUGUUCGGUAGAAUCUUAGAUUAACAUGAGUUAAACAAUUUUUGAGCGCUUUUACUUACUUUUCAAUUAAUUUUUGGAUUACCAAAGGUCAUUCUCUUAAGAAUCAAAGAUUACACAUAAAAUAAAUAAAUAAAGACUUCGAGGUUUACCCAUUCGAGUUAUAUGUUUUUAAAGUCACUAACAUCACCAUAUGUUGAUCCAUGUUCGUCUUAUGUAGGGAUAUAGUUAUUGAUAAAUUUUGCAGUUAAAAUAAUAGGUAAAAUAUCUUAUAUUUAGGAACACAUCAGAAAUACCCAAGGAAAAAUACUUUCUUGGUGGUGCCAUAUCAAUGACCCAAAGUAAGAUCAAAUAGGUGAUGGUGUAUAGAGAACGGAAAACUAUUUUUGUACAUUCAUUACCCAUUCUAUAUAUGAGAGUGAUGUGCGUUGGAUAGAUAUGAGAUAAGAAUAUGAUAUGAUAGAAAGAAAAAAAAAAAUAUAGAGAAAAUGUUGUAUUGAAUGGGUGUAAAAAAAUAAAAGGUCUAGAGAAAAAAGAGAGGGAGUAUUAAACAACACAGAGAGAAAAAAAAAAAGCACUUGGAAACUACUCACCAAAGGGGAGUUCGGGAAAAGUAGAAAGUUUGACUGAUCCGUAUCCAUUAUACAUGUUAAAAUACUCACCUUCAAACAUGAAAUUUAAGAAUCAUAAGAUAUUUAAGGUUUAAAUAUAUCCAAUGACUUUUGAAUAACAUAGAACGGAAAAAAAAAUUAAAGACAUAAAAAUGGAAUAUAUUAACAACGGUAGGGAAACACCUAAGUAUAAGAUGUACUAAAAGUGUCACCCCUAAUAAUAGUCAGACAUGCAAAGUAAAGUCAAAGCAAAGGUCAAUCGAUACUCAGACAUAAUAAAGGGUCCGACCACCAUCUUUGAGUACCGAACAUAAAAUUGACUUUGUUAGCUUUAAGCCACCAUAAAGAGUGAAAUUUUACUUUAUCUGCUAGUUGUUCAACGGUGGUUUGGAUGUUAUUAUAAAGCAUAUUAUUACGUUCAUUCCAAACCAACCAAAUAAAAAGUAACCAAAUAAGUUGGAGAAAUUAUUGACGAGCCUUUGAGUGACCUGUAGAGUGAGUAAACUGAAUGAAAUGGUCAUCAAUAUUAAGGAGGUCGACACCUGACAUUCUGAUCCAAGACCUGAUAAGAUGCCACAAUGAACCAAAAGUGGCGCAGUGAAUAAAUAAAUGAGACGCAAUCUCUGCCAUACCGCACCCUGUAACACACAUAACUGCCUCGCCAUUGAUUAUGCCACGCCUUAGAAGAUGGUUCUUAGUCGGCAACCUAUCUCGCAACAAUCGCCAAGUAAAAAUGGAAACCUUCAGCGGCACCUGCUUAUGCCAGAUAAGAUCUCCUAUAGUAACAUCUGGAGGUUCAGCCUGAGUAGUAAGGUGAUGAUAGACGCCUCCCACACUGUAACCACCAGCAGAAUCAGAGUCCCAUUGCCACCUGUCAGAAAUAUUAUGCUGCAAAACGACACCAUUAAUUAAUUGCCUACACUCCUCUAGCAUCUCCUCCUCCCACACCCUCAACAUUCGCCUCCAACCCCACGCCUCUCCGUCAACCUCCCCACCAAUAGCAACCAUAUCAGCCACCGUACUCAGUUUAUUAGACGCUAAGUCAAAUAAACAACGGAACCUGGUACAAAAAGGAGUAUCACCAAGCCACCUAUCAUGCAAAAAGAAAGUACUAGUGCCAUCCCCUACCUUUUUCGAUACCCUCUGUGCAAACCAACCACCCUCUACAUCGCCUACCCCAUCCCUAAUCUUAGCUACUUCCCGCCACCAAGAUGAAACACUCCGGCCCCCAACCUCCAACCGCCCAACUGUCUCACCAUACCGCGCUACCAGAACCCUAUACCAUAACCCGCCUCUAUCCACCAUCAUUCGCCAACACCAUUUGCCUAACAAAGCGCUAUUAAAUUCCUGCAACCUCCUUACCCCCAACCCUCCAUACUCCCUACACAAACAAACAGAGCUCCAAGCAAUCUAGGAAAUUUUCCUGUUAUCCUCACUCCCUCCCCAAAAAAAAUGUAUUAAACAUAGAUUCAAUGAUAGAGAUUAUACCUGACGGAGCCUUGAAGAAUGAAAGAGCAUAAACAAAUAACACGGUCAGGACAGACUUCAGAAGGACCAACCGACCUCCAUAUGAAAGAAAACGGCUUUGCCACCUCCAUAGAACGAAAAUUUGAAAUAAAGAAAAUGCAAACAUAUGAAUUCAUGAUGAAAUUGUGAGUAAUAAAAUAGUGGUAUUGGUUGAGAAAGUGUAAACAUAAUCACAAACAACGAGUCAAAAUUUCUAAUCGAAAUUGCAAUGAGGAAUUUAAAAUUGAAACUCUAGUUACGAAUAAGAUUAGAGUUAAGGAUUAGAGUUCUUUUGUAAAUUGCAAACAAAACCUUACUUUCUUUUUAUCUUGUAUGGAUUCGAGUUAAAAAUUAUUGCAGUUAAAUCUAUAAACUUAAGUGUUUAAGACUCAAUAUAUUGAGUCAAAAAAAGGUCAUUGUAUAACCUCAUAUAAAAUUUACAAAAAAAAUAUAGACACAAAAAAAAAAUAUAAAAAAAAUACUAAUAUGAAGAGAGAAAAAAACUUGAACGAUUUUGGUCUAUGUUGAUCCCCUUCUAACUCCGUAUUACUAAUUAAUGAUUAAGGUCCAUUUGGUUUAAGAUUUACAAUUAAAUAAAAAUAUCCAAAUAGUUACAAACUAUGAAGAUGAAAGAGACAUCUUACGAAAAUGAAAGAGACAUUAUAGUUUUAGAGAAGACUAAAAUGUGAAAUUAAGGAGUAUAUUUUAAUCAAAAGUCUCACCUUUGUUUUUUUGGCUCAAAAAGACGGUUAAGACACACUUAAUGGAAAUCACUCGAUGCCAAGAUCACUCAUCUACUUAAAAGUUCAAACUUUAGCAAAAAAACAAACUUAAACUUUUGAACAGAAAAAACAAAUUACAAUACCAAAGGCCAUGGCCACAUAACUCUAUAAGUUAAGGUUCACUACAUGUUAAUUCUCGCAAAAACAAAAAACACACAAUUUAAAAUUAAUUUUAGAGAGAAAAAUGAUCUAUGUAGUGGUUGUUCUUGGAGGGUUACCUUUGUUCUCAAAUGCACAAUUAGAUCAAUACUUUUACCGUGAAACUUGUCCCCAAUUGCAUUUUAUUGUACACAAAGUUGUAUGAAAAGCUUCAUUAAGAGAUACUCGUAUUUUUGCUAGUCUUGUUAGGCUUCACUUUCAUGAUUGUUUUGUUCAAGUAAGUCCUUCAAACUAAUUUUCAGUUUUGUUUUCUAAUUACAUGGUUAAAUUUGUAAGAUAUAUAAAAGACAUGCUUUUAUCUAAUCAUGGUUUUGAACAUUUUCACAUGGAAAAUCGUGGUUAAAUUGAUUUACUCUAUAAACUAUCGCAUAAAUUAUUUUGAAAAGUUUACUGAAAUAAACUAAAAUAUAUGUUGAUAAACUAUUUUUACAAAUAUUUGCUCUUUUAUUUUUAUUUUUAUUUUUGUUAAUGACAAAUGUUAGUAUAUUAAUUAUUAUGUUGGUAUUUUUUUUUUCUCAUGUCAUGAUUCAAACUCAUAAUUUUUAACUAAUUAACUCUUUCAAAAUGUUAGUUCAACCAAGUGAGUUAUCCAUCCUCAUUUCCCAUAAAUAUUUAUACUCUAAGAUAUGUCCGAAUAAAAAAUCGAUAAAUUAUUCCAAAAGGACCAAAAGCAUCCAUAUAGUACUAAUGUACUUUUGCUGCAUAUUGUAACAAAAUAAAUAAAUUGCAAAUUUAUUUUUAAAAGAUUAAUUUUUAUGCACCGGUGGUGUAAUUUAGACAACAUCUAAAAAUAAAUCAAAUACUCUAUAUACACCAAAGUAAAAUAAAAUAGCGUAAAAGUAGAGAACAAUAACACAUGCGAAGUAGAUUGAUUUUUUUUUUUUGACAAAGUAGAUUGAAAUUUUAGCACCCCAAAACAUCAUAUGUCAAAUGCAGCUAUUGAUAAAAAGAACAACCUAACAAAAAAGUUGAUGCGUCUCACAUCGGUUUUUUUCCGUAUUGUUCUCACAUCGGUUUCAUAAUGAUGAGUGUGUUUCACAUGAUCUUGAAUUAUCAAAUUCAAUUCUACAAUCCUUUCAAUCAAUACAAGAAAAUUGACAUUACUAUAUUGAUAUGAUUUAUUUUUUUGAAAUCUUUGAAAAACAAGAUUAAGAUUAAUUUCUCUAGUAUGCCCAUUUUCAACUAAAAUAGAAUUUGUUUUGCUUUGAAAAUCAUCUCAAUUUCUUGCAUAAUAAAUAUCAUCGAUAUUUUUAAUAUUAAUGAGGCACAUUAUUAGGAACAAAAGGCCCAAAAAAAUAUCACUAAUUUCUUCGAUAAUAAAUUUUUUAGCAUAUUAUUAAGAACAACAAAAAAAAAUAGAGGAGAGUGUAUAUAGAAAUAUUUAUGCUACAUGUGGUAUAUAUAGAAAAUCUCGUUAAAAGGGCCAAAAACAAUAACAGAUUUCAGCCUAGUCUUUUAUCAUGUCAAAGUUUGGGCCUUUCAGAGAAUUUUGCUAUAUAUACCCCCAAAAUCCAAAUAUUUCUAUAUACACCCCACCUUUAAAAAAAUUGGGCCCCCUACCGGCAUGGCCCUUGGUCGUCGUACUCCCCGCCUAUGCCCUAGGGCUGGCCUUGACACCCAUUAGAACAACCCCCACCAAAACCAACUUCACCGCCUAAAUCAAACUCCAUCGCGAAACGCCACUAAAAACAAAAUCCAUAAACCACCUUCACCCGCUUAUCAAGUAAUAUAGUUGCUAGUUGCUACACAGUUUAAAUAUGAAAAAAAAAAAAAAAGUUUAAAUCUUGUCCUCCGUAAAUAAUGUCCUUAUUAGCCUUUUUUUAAUAGCAAUGACCUUAUUAACUAUCAAUUAAGUUACACUUAGGAAACCUAUAAAAUUUAUUAACCAUGCUUUAAGAUUACAGUUAGAUGCAUAAGGGAUCAUUUCGUUAGUCAAAUUUGUACAGCCUUUAUCAUAAGUCUAUGAGUAAAGUUUCAAAAUAUAUAUCAUAUACAUGUGAUGCAUCGGUUUUGCUGAACAACACAGCAACAAUCGUAAGCGAACAACAAGCUUUUCCAAAUAUCAACUCCAUAAGAGGUUUGGAUGUUGUGAUUCUUGUGAACAAAAUCAAGACAAACUUUGGCUAAUCAAAACCUUCCAACACUACUGAUCUAGUUGUACUCUCUAGUAUAAUGUAUGUGUUUGUGUUGCAAUUAUUUAUGCAAAAUAGAAAUUAAUGAAUCAAAAUAUAAUUUUGGAAUUAAAUCAUGUACAAUUUAGCAUCUUAAUUAACUCCAAAAAAAUUAGCAUCUUCGUUAAUCUUGGCUGACUUAAAAAUAUUUUUUUCUUAUUUGGUUGGAUUCAGAAUUUUAGUAUAUUACUUGUUGAUUAUGUUAAGGAUUUAAGUUUCAUAUCAAUCACAACCGUUAAGUUAUUAAAAACAUGGCUUAAAAUAUUGCAACCCUUAUCUCAAAAUCAGUUAAACAAUCCAACUCUAAACAUUUUCUUAAUAAAAAUGUACAUAUGAUAGUAUUGAUAUGUAUGUAUGGAUGUGUUUAUAUAUAUAUAUAUAUAUGCAUGUUUCGAGUUCAGGUGGUCGUACAUUUGGUAGUCUUUUUGUUGAUUGAUUGUAUAACUUCAACAACACCGGGAAUAAAACCUGAUCCUACUCUUGACACAAGUUACUUAAAAAAAAACUACGCAAAAUAUGCCCCCAAAAUGGAACCGGACCCAACCGUCCCUAAUUGAUUUCUUUGUGUCUAGUUUUCUCUAUGUGAAUGAAUUUUUAUACUUUUCAUGUUGAAUUGUUGGUGUUUUAGGGUUGAAAUCGAAUGAGUUUUCCAUUUGAAUCGAGUUUUCAGUUUUGAUUUUUGGGUUGUGAUUUCGUUUUCAAUGAAAUCUGAGCUUUUUGUUGUGAUUUUAGUUAAGUAUAUCAAUUUGGGACCUUUUAAGUUUCUUUUUUGAAGAUGUUGAAGAAUAUGAUGAAUCAAGAUAUUUGUGAUUUUUUAUAUUUAUAAAAAUUAUCAAUUUGUUGAUUUCGAUAAUUUAUGCAGGAGCCGAGUUCGAACCCCGAACAUCUCACUUCUCUACAUUUAAUUGUGUGACCUCUAGACUAGGCUACAAGCAAAAAAAAAAAAAACCACACAAACACUUUUAACGAUGUUGUUUAAAUUGACUUAUUUAAGAUCAUCUACUAACAUAAGUUUUUUGAGAUUAUUUCUUCAAAAAAAUAAGUUUUUUGAGACUAUUUAUGAGAGCUUAUGAAAAUAGUUUAUGACAACUUUCAUAAGCUUUUUUCAACUCAUUUUUCAUAAGUUCUCCAAUAUAGUAUACAAAAACAACUUAUAGUAUAUACAAAAACAAUUUUACCUUAUUUUAUCUUUUAAUAUAAAAACAGCUUGAUUUAAAAAAUGAUUAAAUAAUAUUUUUUAAUUUUUAAAAAUUGACUUUCUUCUGUAAUGGUUGAAGUUUGAACCUCAGAUCUUCUUAUAUAUAUAUAUAUAUAUAUAUAUUAUGUAUUAUUCCUACCAACCCGCCAACUGAGUUAAAACAUUUACAAAGAUGAUUAAAUAUUAAAUACUCCCUCCGUCCCUAAUUAUAAGACCCUUUUGAGAAUUUAUUUUUUUCCUUUUUAUAAGACACUUUUGUUAUUUCCAACUACAUUAAUUAUUUCUUUACAUACAUGCCCCUAUUUAUUAUACAUCUUUUUCUUCAAUCAGCAAUAAGUAGCAUAUGGAAAACAUAAACUAACUCUCACUCUUAAGGAUAAAAUUGUAAAAACAAUAGUGAUUACAAACAACUUUAAUACAAAUAUCUGCUUUUUUAAUUCGCGUGAUUUUAACAAAAGGGUCUUAUAAUUAGGGACAGAGGGAGUAGUUGUUAAAAUCUAAGUAAAAAAAUACAGUGAAAAUUAAGUAAAAAAAUACAGUGAAAAUAAAAACAUUUGUAAAUUCUACACCGUUCAACCGAGAGACAUAAACCCACUCAUUUCUGAAACUUAAACCCUAGCAGCAACCUUUGUUUUGUCUCAUCAAAAACCCUAAAAACCAAAAAUCGCAAAUUUCCCAAAUCUCUCAAACCCUAAUCAUGCCCGCUAAGAACAACCGCAAGAAGAAUUCACGCGACCCAUUUUUCGACGACGGUCCCACCAAACGCCGCAGAGUAGCCGCCGACGAGGAUCAAGAUGCUGAGAUUGAAAGUGAUAGUGAUUUUGACGAAGAUGGUUUUGUUCCAUCGAAAGGUGAAGGGGAACAGGAGUCUGAAGAGGAAACUACAGCUGAAGCUAGGAAGAGACUAGCUGAGGAGUAUUUGAGGAAGUUUAAAGACAGUGCUAGGAGAGAGAAGGAACAAAGAGAUGAAGAUGGUGAUGGAAGUGAUGAUGAUGAUGAUGAAGAUGAGGAUGGGGUGAGGGAUUCGCUAUCUACGAAGAUGAUAAAGGAGCAGCAAGAGGAGAGUGGUCGCAUCAGAAAAGCUAUUGCUUCAAGGUUUGAUUUUGAUAAAUUUGAUACAUUAUUCAUUAAUUGCCUGUGUUAUGUUAUGUUGUGUUUUGAUUUUUAAUUUUGAUUUGAUUUCAAUGCGACCCUUUUGGUUAAAUUGCUUGUUUUUGUGUUUUGAUUUUGAUUUCAAUGUGACCCUUUUGGUUUAAUUGAAUAAUUGAAGCAAUGGGUUGUGUUUAUUUUGAUUUCAAUGUGACUCUUUUGGCUAAAUUGACUGAUUUGGGUGUGUUAUUUAGGGUUAAAUUGGAUGGUGAUGGUGGAUUUGAAAAUUUAGUGAAGCAUAAACAAUGUGUCACUGCGGUGGCUUUAUCUGAGGACGAUUCUAAGGGGUUUUCGGCUUCGAAAGAUGGAAGCAUUGUGCAAUGGGAUGUUGAGAGCGGGAAAUGUGAGAGGUAUAAGUGGCCCAUUGAUUCGGUUCUGAAGUCUCAUGGCUUGAAGGAUCCUCAAGGUUCUGCUGCAAAGCAAAGUAGACAGAUUUUGACUUUGGCUGCAAGUUCGGAUGGUCGCUAUUUGGCAACUGGGGGACUUGAUCGUCAUAUUCAUAUAUGGGAUACACGCACUAGGGAGCAUCUUCAGGUACUUUUGCCUUUUCAUUCUUUGAAAAUAAAAUUGUUGGAUAUUUUUUGGGGGUGGAACAGAUUAGUACAGCUCUAGGUGCACUGUGAGAUUGUUUAUUGUUUGUAUUUACAGAUUAAGGAAAAUUUAUACUCCUUUCCCUUGUUUGGUAACAUUCAUUUUUCGAUAAAAUUGUCACAUAACUGUUGAUAUGUCUUGCUCUAUUGAUGUGUUUGAUAUAUUUGUUGUGAAUUGUGUGUAAAUUUGAUUCAAACUGAGCAAGAUUUUAUAUGUUAACAUAAGCGGUUAACUUACCUUAAUUUGUAUUUAGUAAUUCUUGGCAUUUGCACAAGUACAAGCCUAUUUAUGACCAAAUCUGUAGGAUAUUGGACUGUUUAGUUGGGACUUGUUAUUGUUGGUGUUUGAUUUUGUCUGUUGUCUUUUACAGGCUUUUCCUGGUCAUAGAGGUCCUGUUUCUUCUCUGGCUUUUAGGGAAGGAAGUACCGAGCUAUUUUCUGGAUCGUUUGAUCGAACGGUUAAGAUAUGGAAUGUUGAGGACAGAACUUACAUGAAUACUCUGUUUGGCCAUCAAAGUGAAGUAUUAAGUAUUGAUUGUUUACGCAAAGAAAGGGUAUUAUCUGCUGGCCGUGAUCGUAGUAUGCAGUUGUUUAAGGUAAUCUCACCAAGAUGAAGUCUUAAGUAUAUGGCUGCAAAACCAUAUUGUAUAUGUCGGAUAAUUUCUCCCACCAUUGCUCUGUUUUUGGAAAAAUAUCAAGUGAUUAAUUAAUAGGAAUUUUUUUUCCUGUCAUCAAAUGCUGUUUCUUGGGUUAUACUGAUUUCCAUUUCCUCAUGAGACUUUUUUCUGAAUAUUUACUGAUGUGUAUUCUCUGUAAUUUAGGUCCACGAAGAGUCACGUCUUGUAUUUCGUGCUCCUGCAUCUUCUUUAGAAUGCUGCUGUUUUGUUAAUAAUGAGGAAUUCUUGUCUGGUUCGGAUGAUGGUAGCAUUGAGCUUUGGGGUGCAGUACGAAAGAAGCCUAUUCAUAUUUUGAGGAAUGCUCAUGCUUUACUGACAGAUAGCAAGAAAUCUGACCAAAACGAUAGUGAAAGACUACCCAACGGUAACCUAGGUAAGCCUUUAAAUACUAUAUUAAUAGUUCCUUCAGAAAAUUACUUCUUAUGUGCAACGUAUUUUCUUAUCCGUUGCUUACUUUUCUGAAUGUGUUCUAUUUCCUCUAUGAUUCUAUUUUCAUUUACUCCAUAAAUAUAUCUGUCAUUUGUGUAUUUGUAGUGUGAGUUUAGUUAUAGUUAGCAUUAUGUUAGGAUCAUAAAGUGAUACCAUUAUCUUCACUAUGCAGAAAAUGGUCACCACCAUCCCGAGAAUCACCAUUGUUCUUCAGUACACUCUUGGGUCAGUGCAGUGACCGUCUGUAGGAACAGUGACCUUGCCGCAUCUGGUGCGGGUAAUGGUUUUGUUAGAUUAUGGACAAUUGAAAACGAGACCAAAGACAUUAAACCUCUUCAUAAUGUACCGUUGGUAAGUAGAAGGAUAGCAACUAAACUCAUUUAUCGGAUUCAUAUUCAUGCUUAGCUGUAAUUGCAGUUGAAAAUUUCACUGGCAUGUAAUAAAUCUUUUGAAUCACAGGUUGGGUUUGUGAAUUCUUUGGCUUUUGCGAAAUCAGCAAAAUUCCUUGUUGCUGGAGUUGGGCAGGUACUUAAACUGUUAAAUUCGGCAUGUAUUGCUCUGUUUUUCUUCUUUGGUAUACAUUUUACUUAGUUAUCUCUUUGACUCUGCUUGCGAGUUUGGAGGGAAGGGGAGGGGAAGGCUUUGGGGGGAUGGGAGUAGAGGGAAAAAUAGAGAAAUCUUCCAUCUUUUUUGAAAUAGUGAUCUUGUAGAGAAUGGUAAAUGAAUGUUUAUGAUUCAAUAUAUUUUUCAUUUUGAGAGUAUGAUAACAUAGAUUGGAUUUAAAGAAAUUAUCUAAACCCUCCAAAACCCUUAUACAAUACAGUUUGAGUUUCCCCAUUUUGAGGGAAUUUUGUAUUUGAAGAAAAAUAAACCCCUCAAAGCCAUCCCCUCCCAAAACCCUUCAUCCCUUACACUUCAUUAUUUCUUUUACCCAAAGCCCUCCCUCUCCCUUCCCCUUGCAAACAGAGCCUUAAACUCUAUUGACAGAAAAGCUAGAGCCUUAAAAAAUUUCUACUUCGGAUAUUUUCUUUUACCGAACUACUUUAGAAGUUAGUUAAUUGUUAUGGGAUUAUCAUAAGCAUAUUAAUAUAGAACUAAAUUUUCUGUGAUUAUGGAAUUUUGUGCUCUCUUGCUUUGUUUUCCUAAUACUCUUACCCCCUAAAAACUCUAUUGCUUAGAGUGCAUUUGAUGGAGUGGUUGUCUUACAGACAAUUCUGUGUAUGUUAGCUUGUGACUGUGAAGCUUCCCCCAUAUUAAGUGAUUAAAGUGGAGGAAUUAAUAACAUUAAGGGUCUCAGGUCUAGAUUUGGCUGCACUCACUCAGUUAGGUUUCAGGUUGACCACCACAAUUGUAUCCCAAAAUGGAUAUCGCUACAGCGGGGCUGACGAACCUUUAGUAAACUACAUUUAGAAGGCUAAUUUCAUUUUCUUGACUUCUUUUAUACGCCAAUUAUAUGAAUUAGACUUGUUUUAUCUAGUAACUAGUAAAUAGGUGGCCACCAACAUGGAAGUGGUUGAAAUUAUUGGAUGAGAGAGUGAUUGAUUGCUUCAAUUCUAUGGAAACACCAUUGGAUAUUGUUUACACUUUUAGAUAGAUUGCAUUUUACAGAAUAAUUGUGGCUAUUGUUGGUUAGUCAUACCCAUUGACGAUCAAAUUGUUUGACUUCACAAAAAACAAACCUUGAUCAUCAAACCUAACUCUUGCUUUUAACUGUAAGCUUAGCUGAACUCGAAAGUUGGGAGGGGAUACAGAAAAGAUGUUUAGGACUCUCAACAUAUAAUCUCUGUAUAGAUUGAGGAUUUAUUAUUAGUUCAUUCAUUAGUGUAUUGUUUAAUACUUUUAACUUAACAAAAUGUCUGUUUACAGGAACCGCGUCUAGGAAGAUGGGGAAGAAUACGUGAAGCUCGAAAUGGAGUUUCAAUUCUUCCACUUAAAUUGUCAUGAGAUGUGAGGCAACGAUUGUACCUCUUCAAUUUUGACUAAUUCCAAAUGCAACAUUGAGUUGAAAGAUAUCUCUGUCCGUGAUCUUAAUUAUAUGUAUCAAUUACAUUUGUUAUUAUUAGUGCCCGAUUGUUUGAGAAUUUUGAAUCAUGAUACGAGGUUCCUACAUUGAAAAAGACUUGAGGACUCGAGUUGAACUUAUUUAGUUUCAAGAAAUCAACUGUUUUUUCUUUUAUAGACAUUUAUUCACUUAGGCAUCUAUGAGUAAGCAUGACUUUGGUUCUAUAAUAACAAAAAAUGAUUUGGAUUGAAUUAAUCUUAGAAAAUCGAUUUCCAUGAAAAAUGGUGAUUUAUGAUUUUGAUGGUUUGGAUCAGAAUUGUUUGAGAACAAGUUGGUCACUGCAGAAGCUAAAAAUAUUAGCUUUUAGGUUUAAUUGACUUUGGUUCUACAAUAACAAAAAAUGAUUUGGAUUGAAUUAAUCUUAGAAAAUCAAUUUCCAUGAAAAAUGGUGGUUUAUGAUUUUGAAAGUUUGGAUCAGAAUUGUUUGAGAACAAGUUGGUCAUUGCAGAAGCUAAAGAUAUUAGCUUUUAGGUCUAAUUGACUGAGGCUGUAAUCAAUGUUAAAGUUGGAAGCCAAACAUAAUUUUUUGUGAUUUAAGUAGAAUCAUUUAUGGUGCUCCAAUCAAUUCUACUCAAAAGCAAUUCUGCACUAACAAAAUCAAUUUUGACAUUCCUGAAAGUGGAACCAAGUGGAACCAAACUUGCAAUAAAUUAUUUUUUAGGUCAUCAAAAGCGAAUUUAUGCAGACUAUUUAGUUAACAAGAUUGGAAUGAUCAAAACUUUACCCACUAUUAUAGUGUAAAUUAAUUUGGGAAAAACUUUUUCCGUUGUAUAUACUACAAGAUUUAUGAACAAUCGGGACGAAUUAUAGAACCCGAAUGUCAUAAACAACUAUUGGAGUUUGAUCGUGAGGAGGUAAGUAUACUAUUUUGUUACAGUUAGAGGAAAAGGUUUUGGUAGACUAAAUAGGUUCCAUCUUAAUUAAUAACUGGAGUAAAAAGUUUCACUCUCUAAGUA